AAAAAAAAAAAAAAAAAAAGGUCAGAAGUUAAUACUCUCAAUGAUAUAAGAUUGAAAAAAGACAAUAGUGAGAUUAUAGAAAAAUAACUAGAUUGCCAAAAAAUUUGUGACAACAUUUUUGGCCCUUCAUUUCAGUCCCCCCUCCCCUCCCCCUCCCCCUCCCCUCGGAUAUGAAGCAACAAAGUAGAUUUAGAUUCUAAAACUACAAAUAAUUCUUACCUAACAAUUAAACGCAUCCGCAAGGCACAAUUGCAUUCUAAUGAUUCCAAUGCAAAAUAAUUCAAAACCGUCAACGCAUCAAACAUGAAAAAAAAAAAAAAACUUGUUACCUGCUCAAUAAGUGAAGCGGCAUGUGAGGUCGAUGGGCGACCAUAGCCGUGGGUGACGAUAGCCGAUGACAGAUGAUUAUGGAACUACAACCCACACUCACAUCGUCACAUUCCACACAUUAGUUACUAUUUACCAACUCAAAGAAUUGACGAGAAGAUCAAAUGUCAAAACAAAGGUAUCUUACAAUUAAAAAAAAAUGUCAAAGAUAUAUAACCCCAAACUGCAACUUUUCUUCCAAUUGAAAACUUCAUCACAGUCCUACAAUUUUUACAGGCUUUUGAUGUACAUAUUAUUAUCAAUUACGAUGAUAAUUGGAUUAUUAUAUUUAUGUUUUAUGUAGUUUAGGAGCUUUUGUAAUCUCCAAGAACAAUUUAAAGCCAUUAAACAACACAGAGAAGAAAAUAAAUAAACACAUGACAAAAGAAAAUAAAGUUAGGCAUGUUCUUCAUCAAAAUUUAAAUUUAUUGCAUGUGAAUCCAAAAAAUUAAGAGAAAUAAUUUCAGUCCAUAUGAAUCAAAGAUAUUCCUAAGUUUGAUAAGGCUGGUGAUGAAACCUUUCAACCUUAAGGAAGAUAUCAUACUCUUUCAACCUUAAGAGAGAUUAACAAUAAAAAUUAUGGAUUAUUCUCUUCUAUGUAGCCACCCCAUUGUUCUUUAAGAAUCUCUACAAUUGUGACAACAGUAGUGAUUGGUGUAAUAUUACAAAGAAGGAUUUGAGCCAACAAAACCAAAAAUUCAUCAGAUAUAUAUCCAUAAGCGUUAAAAUAAACUACAAGAAACAAAACAAUACCCAUUCCCAAGGCAGAAAGCUCAACUUCAUUAUGAUGUUGAAUGUACCUCUGAAUUUAGGGCAAACAACGAUUAGAAUCCUCAAUAAAAAAAACAACCAAAACAACAUAGAAACUGAAAUUAAUUAAACGAUUCUCCAGGUAGUACAAUUACUCAAAUCAUAAACAAAACGAGAAUCAAUAAAAGUAUAACUUUGAAGUCACUUAAACUAAUAUCAAUAAAAACUCAUAAGAGUAACAAAAACUAAUCCAAUUCUCCUAAAUUACUCAACUUGCCAAAUAUCACCAAAGAAGAUUUUGCACGCAAAUCAAUUCACAAGUAAACAAAAACAAAAAGUUUGUAGACCAUAACUCUUAGAAAGCUCUUAAAUGACAAGAAUUAAAAGGUAGGAAUUGAUAAUUCAGGUAAUGGAAAACAACAAAAGAAUCACACAAACAUUUUAUAGGAAUAAGUUAGACUUAUUGAAUUGGUGAGAUUUUCAUAAGUUGUAGCCAAAUUUGUCCAGUCACGCAAAUAAGAAGCUGCACCAAUUUUGGGUUGGAACGUAAACAUUUAUUAGCAAAUUAAGUUAGCAUGCAUAGUCAAGUAAAACUUUAGGCUGCUUAUAUUCUAGACUAAUACUAACAUUUUUAAAAAAACUAAAUACAACAAGGUAUUGUCGUGAAUAACGAAAUUACAACAAGUCUUGUCACUAACCAAAUAUCAAUCACUUGCUUGGUACGUAGCUGCAUUAUUAUAGUAGAUCGAUCGGUUAUUGGUGUAAAACCUAAUAAAAACACAAUAAUGUUUUAUUUGAGUUUGCCGGAAGAAUAUGAAUUAAAUAAGUUUGUUAGUUGAAUCUUUCUUCUACAUAAUGUGUUGAUUUAUCCCUAGAGUAAGAAAAGUAAAUGAUGAAAGAGAUAAAUUGAAAAAACUUGUAAUUAUAUAGAAAAGAAAUGUGAAUCGUGGAAGUUUAGAAAAAGAGUAUAACAUACAAGGAAGGAAUUUAAUUCUUGGAUGUACCACUAUAGUAUGCAAGAUCACAUUUCUCCAUUUAUAAUUUCCAAAACGAUGUUGAAAAAGAUCUACAAUAGCUUAGUAUAAACCAUCAAUUAAUGUAUAUCUUCCUUUUUACUUUAAUUUGAGUUAUUUGAAUUGAAAUCACAUACCAGAAAAUCAAGAAAAAAUUUAUAAGAAAGCAUGCCAAGUUUAUGCAUAAAAUAGCAGCACAAAGUAUCCUAUGAAAGCCACACUCACCUUAUUCUGCUUUUGUCAAAAUUCCAAACAUUAGUUCGCCAUGUAACAAUAACUUUCUCGUAUUCUUCACAACUUUUUCCUCCAUUUUCUCAUAUUCUUCACAACUUUUUCCUCCAUUUUCUCAUAUUCUUCACAUUAGCUUCCCUGUUAUACCGAGUUACCAGGGAAACUACGAUAUGCUUUAAAAGAAAAAUCAUAAGAUUUACUAUAGUCUAUAGUCCAAAUCCAAUCUAAUUGUAUAUUGGGUUCUCCUCAUUCUCAUCCACGAACAUUCUGAUAUUUCUGUUUAAGUUCCAAGUUUCAAAUUCUUAUAACAUGAAAUGGCUCAUCUAUCAAAACAAACAUUAGAGUUUGACUCCUCUCCAAAAAAUAAAAUCCAUAGUCAUCUUAAGCUUCUACUUGUCUCUGGUUGCUUUGCGAAUUAUCUAACUUUAAUGGUAAAACCAUCUUGCUACUUGUUCUUUGCUUCUAGUAAUAAGUUCCCCAAAUCCAACCAUUGUCAUAAUUUACUAAAGAAACAUGAUAGUUCACUUUAUCACUAAUACUUCAUAUUUGAGUAUGCUGACAUGCGCUAUCCAAUCAACUUUUGGUUUGAUAUUGAGAAAUGGACAACAAUGUCGUUUUUGAAAAUGUGGAUGAUUAAUGUCGGUUUCAAAUCGACAUUAAUGAGAGAGGUUUAAUGUCGUUUUAAAACCGACAUUAAUCAUCCGCAUUUUCAAAAACAAUAUUUAUGUCCAUUUCUCUCUUUAAUUUAUUAACUAUUAUUAUUUUUUAUUAUUUUUAAUUUUACAAAAAGUCAAAAAACAUAUCUCUUAUACUCUUUCUCAAAAUCCCCUUCCUUCACGAUUUUUCUUCAUCUCUCAAAAUCUCACACUACUUUUCUCUCUCUUCUCCAAACACAAACAGUGGCCGCUGCCGCCACCAUAGUGUACCUCGUACCCAGCCCGUGCCCGCCGUGCUAAUCCCUCACCACCACCUUGUCUUUUUCACGAUAUGCUCGUCACCACUAAGUUGAAACCCUCGUCUCUUUCACACUUGCCUCUUCACCAACGUCAGAAUCCUCAUCUCUUUCACGUUAUGCUCGCCACCACCGUUGAUUGUUAACUACUUUGGUUGAUUCUCACAUUUACUUUAUUGCAUCAUUGCAUGUAUAAGAUUGCAACUUUAGUUCUCUAAGAAAAAGAGACUAGUUGGUUCUUGCAAAACCACCAGUCUUGGUUUAGGAAUUACAACAUAUCGGAAGAGAGGUGUUAUAGAUAUAUAUAAAGCUAUUAAAAUAAAGUAAACAAUAUCAAACUAAUGUGAAAAUAUUUGGAUGAUUGUUCUUACACUAAAAAAUUGUGUUAAAAAAACAAAAGUGGAAAAGAAGUGUUAGCUGAAUUUUUUAAAAUAAAAAUUAAGAAAAAACGGUUGUGAAAGGCAUCUUAGUAUAUUUUUUUAAAAAAUAAUUAAAGUUUCCUUCCUUAUAGAUUAACUUACAUGCAUCUACUUUUAUUAAUAUCACAAUUCAAUUAUGGAAGGAAGGCAUUUGAAAUGUUCAUGUUGAAAGAAAGUUCCUAAUAAUUUAUUUACAAAACUAAUAUUUCCUUAAAAGAACAAUAAAUUUCUUUGUUUUUUUUAGUUUUUUACUUUGUUGCAAAGAGAGAUCACACAAACUUGUAUCCCAUGUGCUUCACUAAUUAAAGAACUAAUUUCACAAUUAUUUUUCAUAGCCCUAGGUGCCUUUCUAGUAUGAAAUGAUAGUUAAAGAACAACUUAUUUUUUAUCUUGCUUGAAACUUUAAUUCAAUUAUAAUAUAGAACUAACCGGUCUAUAAGCUAGUUAGCUAAUGCUAUAUAUAUGAUAACUAAUAGGCAACUUGAAUAAUCAUACUCAUAAUUAUAAUAAUAAUAAUAUUGAAAAAUUGAGUUUCCCUAACUCCUUAUGGUGAAGAUAUUUAUCAAUAAAGUAAGUUAAAUCAGUUUUAAGGAUGUUGACAUUAAUAAUUAUGAAAUAUACAACUUUAGAUUAUAUUGUUGUGAAGGAAGGCAUUCCAUUGAAGAGAGAUGAAUAACCAAAAUAAAAGAAGUGAAAUUUUUUAGGAGACACUCGUGUGCGGUGAUUACAUUGGGGUCGGUGCCCACUUUUACCAAAGCCAGUCAUCAAAUAAAGUAAGUUAAAUCAUCUCUUCAUGCAUGUCAUUAAAGAUGUAAAAUAAUAAUCAAUGAAUUGCACUUUGCUUUACACACAGCCUGCUUCAAAUUGAAGCCAUAUAUAUGGUUUAAAGGUUUUGCUCUAUUGCAUAACUAUGCUCUUUUUUCCUUUUCUUUUUUAAUAUUGCAGUUAUUAACACUCCUUCUCAUGCGUAAAUUGGAAUAUAAUAGGAAGUUAAUUUAGUUUCUUUUCAACUGAUCUCUCUUGCAGUUCUUUCUGAUUUCAUGAAUUGUCUGUGAAUAUGGGGAUGUUAGGUUGUGAUUUUCUGUUUGUUCUAUGAAUUAAAAAAAAAGGUUUUUCUUCACUGUCAACUAUGUGUUGUAGUUUGCUUUUUUUUUUUUUUAAAGAAAAAUUGGUGUGAACAUUUGAACAUAUGAAAAACAUUAGUGAAAUUAAAUGUGACAAACUUAUGAAUGGGGUAGUUUGGGAGGUAUAAUUUGGUUGGAGAGAAUUAGAGAAACAGUGGGAAAAAAAAAUCUAAAAAUGGCUAUGUUUGGAGGCCCCCCUCCUACUUCUCUUCUACUCCUAUUUUACAUUUUUCUCCCAAAAAACCACUUGGAUUUUCCCCCAUUUCCUUCCUUAUCACAUCAACAAAAUCACUGUCUUUGCCCUUUACUCGUUCCAAUUCCUAAAUAUUUGUCGUGGAGUAAUAUACAUCAAACGAUUAAAGCAAAACUAAGUAAUAUACAUCUAACACAUACCUAAUUUUAUUGAUAAAGUAUUUACUUUAUGAAACCAUAUGAAAUCAGUAUUUUCCUAAGGGAAAAUGAUAGCUUACUGGUCUGCUUGAUACUAACUACCCAACCAAAGAAAAGAACUAAACAUCCAUGUAGUACAUAUCUAUAGUUAUGUAAAGUUAAGAAAGUCAUAGAUUUAAUGGCUUGGUUUGGUAAGAGUUACAGAAGGAGGAAUGAAAAUCAAAUGGCUGUUUUGAGUUGAUUCCAGCCAGCCCCCAUUUUUAUAUUUUGCACAAAUUUUUUGUUUCAUGCCUUGAUUAUUGCAGAACUUCAGGAUCUAAAAAGAGAAGAAAUGUUGGGAGAGAGGCCAAGGUAACUACAAUUGCCCUAUGUACUCUAUUGUUGUCAGUAGUUUUAUUUUUGAAGGUUGUACUGAUGUCUCUUUAUUUAUAGUGAAAUUGUUUUAGAUUAUCAUCAUUGGCCAGAUGUAAAUAUAAAUUUUCGUAAUUUGACUGAAAUUCUCAUUCAAAGUAUCAUAAUUGGUUUGUUUUGAUAUUGUUUGUAGAAUGAUUGAAGUCAUAUCGGGUUGAAAGCUAAGUGAUCGUGUAGACAACCAGACAAUCGUUAAAGGUUGAAGACUGAGAAGACGUCUAAGAUUUCUUAUUUAAGUCAUGUAUUAGGAUCUUGUACUCUUGUAAAAUAUAUACAUAACACAAUAUUAAGAUUUCAUUUUGUGUAUACACAAGUAAAUGACAAAUAUUGUAGUUUCUAAAUUAAUAUUAAUUUUAUUGAUAUGUUGGCACGAAAAAAAAAUAUUUAUCUACAAUUAAUGUUGGUUUAUAAAAAAAUGGACAAUAAUGCAACAAUUAAAUAAAAAUAAAAUUGCAAAGGUGGACUAAAAACUUAGGCUUUAACGUCGUUUUUAAACUGACAUUGUUGGCCUCUUUAAUGUCAAUUUUAAGGUCAACCGACACUAAAGAUCUUCAAUAACACUAUAAAAAAUAUCGGUUUAAAAAUGACAUUAUUAAUUUCGUUUCUAAACCAACAUUAAUGAGACCUUUAAUGUCAUUUUUAAACCGACAUCAAAGAAAAAACGACAUUAAAGACCUUUAAUAACGCUAACAUAGAUGUCGGUUGCCAACCAACACUAAAGGCCAUUAAUAUCAGUUUUAAACCGACAUUAAAGGUAAAAUUUCUUGUAGUGGUUGGAUAAGUAAAGAAAAGAUCUAUGAUAUAAGUAAGGACAACUAUAGCUAAUUGCACGAGACCUUUGGAGUAAAAUUAAAAGCAAAGCUAUGAAGGCUUUAUGCUUAAAAAGUAGACAAUAUCAUAUACCAUUUUGGAGAUAUGUUGGAGACCUACGACAUUGUGGAUAUAUGUUAGAGGGUUCGUUGUGCGACUGUCUCACAAGUAAAAAUGAGCCUAAUUACAACACAUCUAGAAACUAAUCCAACCCAAGAAUAUCACAAGAUCCACUAUUUCUCAUCCGAGUCUUGGAUUAUUUCAAAAGUAAGAGGCCUCAUUUCUACCAUCAUCUACCAAAUUACAAGACUAAUUCAACUAUAUAUAUUUCAAAAAUCAUAAGACCAACAUGAAGGUUUUUUUAUGAAGAAUUCGUGAAAGGUUUAUUUUACGCUAAUCAACCUUGUUGGGAAUUUAAUUUGUACUGAAAAUCAACCAGUUUGAUAGAACUAAUGCAAAAGAUUAACAUGGGGAAAAAAGUUUCAACAAUAACCUUGAAGCUCGAUAAUAGUGAUCGGUGAUUGUAACCCUAUUACUUAAGAGUGAUGGCAUAACUCUUACUUAAGAGUGAUGGCAUAACUCUCCAAUAAUGUAACUUCUGAUUCAAGUUGUGUAGCCCUUUAAUUUCCUUUGUUUGCAUCUAGAGGCAUUGAUGACUCUAAAAUUUACAUUCACUGUCUUGCAGCCGUUGUCUCAGUUCUCUAUCCUACAAUGUGUUUAUUGAGCGGAAAAUAAUUAGAAGGUAGCAUUGAUGAAUAGAAAAAAUUGACCUUUCUUCUGAUAAGAAAGAGAAACCGAACUUCAUCAAAGAAUUAGGGAAACAAAAUAUAAUGGGAGAUGAGGAAUCGACCCAAAAGGGCAUCACGUGAGUGGUGAAAAGUUCUUCUAGUAAUUUUUUGAAGAAAUAAUAGAAAAAGAGAAUAUGAAAGUGUUUUUGUAAGAUCACUCGAGUACAACUCAUUUUAUGGUGUAAAUAACUAAUAGUAUUAUUUUUUUAAUUGCAAUAUUGAAUAACUAAUAGUAUUAUUUUUUUAAUUGCAAUAUUGUCAUGUGGGUAGAUGAAAUAUUAAAUCAUGAUGGUACUGAAGAGAGAGAAUGAUCAAAAGAUGAACUAUAUGUAAUAAUUAAAGCUCAGUGCUAUUCAUCUUACAUAACCUCAAUCUCCAAACUUCAUAUCAUUCUCUUCCUCUUUAAUCAGUAAAAUUUGUAGUUGAAGGACAACACAUUACCACCAAAAGUAAUAGUAAAACUUAUUAUAUAAUAAAAAGUGUCAUAGAAAAUUUCUCCGUUUUAGAAUUUUUUUACAUACUAUAAAUAUAAAUAAUAUACACACACCCACGUAUGAAUCAUUAGAGCUUAUAGAUAUAAAUAUAAAUAAUAUACACACACCCACGUAUGAAUCAUUAGAGCUUUUAUAUACUAUAUACUAUUGAUAUAGAUAUAAAAUAUAUAUAUACACCCACACACAUGAAUCACAUUCAAUCACAAAUACAUAAAUAUAUAUAUAUAUAUAUAUAUACCACUUAUCUUCAUGAUCACAAACGUAUAUAUAUAUACACACACUCACAUAUGAAUUAUUAGAGCUUUUAUACAUAUUAUAGAUAUAAAUGUAGAUACAUAUAUAUCCACACAUGAAUCACAUUCAAUCACAAACAAAUAAAUAUAUAUAUAUAUAUACCACUUAUGUUCAUAAUCACAAAUGAAUAUAUAUAUACACACAGGCACAUGAAUCACAUUCAUCACGAAAGAAGAUAUAGAUAUAUAGCCAUUAAUCUUCAUGAUCACAAAUAUAUAUAUUGAUUUGUUUUAACAAUUCAAGAGAUGUGCUCAUAGUGUUAAGGGUAAAUUAAAAGUAAUGCUAAGAGAGGUCAAAUACGGUAUUUGCUUAUUAGGCAUCUGACAAAAAUCACUUCCAUAUAUUUAGUGAACAUUACCUCUCUCAAACUUUCAAUAUUGAAAUUUGAAAUUUGAGCUCGAUUUUAUUAUAUACGAGUGGUAAAAGUGAAUCCUAUAAUUUGUAAUAGUCGUAGGAAGUUGAACACUAAAACUAUAAUAAAAUGUUAACUUUCAAAUUUAUAUUAAAUGUUUUGAUCUAUUUACUUUUUUUUAGUUUGAGAAUCCAGUUUUUACUAUCAAAAGUUUUAGAACAAUUGCAGUUACCAUCCUAAUUUAAUUAGGGGUAAAUUCUUUUAAAAUUUUUCUUGUUUAUUUAAAGUUUGAAUUCAUUGUUAUUUCUAAUUAGGUUCUAAAUUUUCAUAAAUGUCAAUGUACAUUUUAUCAAAUUAGUUUUGAAAAAUAUAUUAGGGAAAACUUUAAUUUCUCAGUUUUAAUGUUUGGAUUAAUUUAGAACUUUUGUUAGAAAUAUAUUUGAAUAUCGUUAAUGCAUUAAAUUCGUACAUGUGCGUAGACUUUCAGACUUUAGCUAGAUUAAUAAGUUGCAAUUGAUGAGAAAAUACCAAUAAUUUUUCUCAUAAUUUCUAGAAGUAAAGAUGGUAUUGAUGGUUUCUUAAAUCGUAAAGAAAAAUUAUUUUAAAUGACAAAAAUGUUGAAAUUUUUUAUCAAUAUAACACAAAUAUCGUAUUUUGUUAGCGAUAGAGACUACUAUCUAGAUCUAUUACGACAUAGAUAAUAGUUCAAGAUGGUUUAUCAUUGAUUCAUAGACGUAGACAGUAAAAUUUUGUUAUAUUUAUAAAUAUUUUAAUUGUUUUACUAUAUUAAAAAAUAUCUAAAUAAAUAUGAACACAAAUUAAUAUUAAUAAUCAAAUAUAGCCAUGGAAGUAUUCGAAUCUUCCACCCAUAUAUUAUAAUAUAAUAUAAUUAUAUAAUUAAUAACUGACAAUUUUGUAUAGGUUUUUAUGUUGGGUAGGAAUAUAUAUAUAUAUAUAUAUAAAAGAUAGGAGAGAAAUUUCCUAGUUAAUGUGGACAUAUUAGACUUAAUUAUAUUUAAGUUGUUAUUAAGUUAAGAAAAACAUGUGAUAUUGAAUAUUAAAAAAUUUGUUCUUUUAAUUUAGUUAUUAGGUCUUUCUUAAAUUGACAAUUUUCAAUCUAGCUCAAAGUUGACAAAUUAAUAAAAAUAAUUUUAAAAUAUAGUAAGAAUGAACAUAUAAUAAUUAAUAAAUACAUACCAAUGUUGAUUGUUUGGUGAAAAUCAAAGAUUGGUCGUGGAAUAGACAUAUAUGAAUUACGUUUGAUAUUUGAGAUUCCACAAUUUUUGUUUUAAUUUGAUUAGUAUAAUUUACUUGUCACCCCCAAGAAAAAAACAAUAAUAGAACUUUUUCUUAAAGUUUAAUAAUAUAAUGAAACUUUAACGUUACAAUUAUAAGGUCGAAAUUGAAGCUCCAACGUCUAAGAAUGAAAAUAUAUCAUGUCAUUACCUUGAAAUAAAACUAAGACUCCAUUGACUGUGAGAAUAUUAGUUAAUGAUCGUUUAGGAUCCUCAUAAGUAUGAAAUUUUUCUCAAUAUAAUGAAUCAUAUGCUCCUCCUAAUUAGGUGUGAGACUUCCUCUUACCAGUAACUUUUUAUCUUUCCACCUUUAAAUGAAAACAACGAAUCUAUUUGAUAAACUUAGUUCAAGAAUAAAUCAAGUUUCUAAACAAUCUAGAUAAACAAUUUAAGACAUUCUCUCUUCUUACUUCACAAUCACUAAGAUUGACACACUUAUGAUUUACGACAAACAUCCAAGAUAGUGUAGUGAUAAUUCUUCAAUACAACCAACCCUAAAAGAAAUACAACAACGUAACCUCUUAAAAUUUGCCCAAUGAAGGAGAAUGAAACAAAUGCAUAUCAUCACCAACAAAUUUAUUAGUGUAGGCACAUGGGGGCUUGAGACCCCCUAGGGCCUCAUCUUUAUGCUUUUUGUAAUAUAUAUGUUACACAUACGUAUAUAACUGACAUUAUAUUAAUAUUAGUAGUUGACCAGUUGUAAAUUAGUUUUAUCGAUCUCCUCUAAACCUAGGUUUAAGCCCUACUCUAUACAGUGUAAUGCCACACACUACAAGAUUUGUUGUUUUUUCCAAAAAAAAUUCUGGCAACAUAACAAACAAAAUCGAUAAAGAUAUGUGUUGCCUGCAUAUUUUCAUUACGUGGAAACAUCAUUUCUACCGAUGAAAAUAUAUAUGUGGGAAAAAAAAAAUUUCCAAUGCAUGGUAUGUUUCGUGGGAAGAAUUGCAUUUUUUACCCACGUGUUUACUUGUGUGGGUGUUUAUACUGAUGCACGCCAUAAAAUCGUGGACAGAGAAAAGGACGACAAGCUUUUACCAUGAUACACAUGCUCAAGCAAAAACAAAAUGUCGACAAAGGUUUUACCAACUUUUUUCUUAACAUUUGUUGACAUUUUUUUGUGUCGAUGGAGACUAACACUACAAGAAAUAGGAACAAUUGCGACGUCAAAAACAACGUUGGUGAAAGGCGCAUCGUCAUUGAUCAUCUUUCGUCGAUGCACGCAAUGUUACGUCGUGGAAAGCCCCUUUUCGCGACGUAUAGGAACAAGACGUUGUUGAAAGUGUAAAUUUAAAUUUAAUGCGUUCAUUUUUUUCUAACGUGUGGUAGAGUGCAGGUUGGGGAAGAUUAAAUAAUAACUAUUGUUUAAACUUUCCUCGAUAUCACCUUGCCACACAUCGCGAAAAGGGAACGCAUUAAAUUUAAUUUUAUACUUUUCCCGACGCUGAGUGGAGUAAUGUCGCAAAAAGUUUAAUAAUAAUAAUUGUUUAAACUUUCUCUGACGUGCAACCUGCCACACAUCGUGGAAAGUGUCCAUAUUGAAGUGACAAUGGUCACCUUUCCCUAACGUGUGGCAGGAACACGUACGUCGAAAAAAGUCAACAUUAUUUAUUCUCCCUUCAACACAGAACAAAAUGCAAAACAAAAAUAAACCCAAAAUCGACCAAGAGAAAGGGAGGGGAGGAGAGUUGUACCGCUACUGUCGUCGUCCAUCUUCAUCGCCACAUUCAUCGAAAGUGUCCUCUUUUCUUCUCUUUUUCUUUUCCAUUUCAACUUUUUCGUUUCACUGUACCCUUUCAAAUCAUAGCAGAGUCAAAAUACAGAGCACCGCAAAAUGUGUUUAUGAAUCCAAACUGAAACACAAAGUUAAAAAAACUAUGAAGAAACUACAAGAAUAAUAGAAGUAUGCAAUUAAAACAGAACGUAACAAAGCUAGAAGAUGAUGAUGAUAAUGAUGAUGAUAAACAAAGAAAAGAAAACAUAAUGUAAAAGAAAAAAACAAAGUUUAGGUUUUUUCCGACGUGACGUGAGGAAGGGUUUCCUCGACGUGUUGACAAUGUGCGUCGGUGAACGUUUUUCCGUCGUCGACGCGAUUUGUGUCGGAGAAAAUAUUUCUAACGUGUUUUUCCUAAUGUACAUGAUGACGUCGACUGAGACGUCAGAGUAACCUUCCCCAACAUGUUUUGAGAUUUUAUCGAUGUGGGGCUCUAUUGGGGAAAACUCUAUUUCUUGUAGUGUAAAUUUUUUUUUUAUAGUAAACAACUUUAAGAAAUAAUGCGACCACCAAAUCUCUAACAAAAACAAUCAUAUUAGUCUUUUAAAUUUUUUAUAUUUUGGGAUAGUUGGAUUACACGCUUCUAAUUCAAAGUCAAAAAAUUAUUUUUUCUCUUUUUUUUCUUCAAAAAAAAUCACAAUAAUGAUCUAAUAACUAAAAUAAUAUUAUUUUUUAUUUAUAUAUAUAGAUUUAAUUAGAUUUGUUUUUAAAUAUAAAAAAAGACUAAAAUAUUUAUAAAUAUAGAAAAACAUGGUUGAUACAUAUUUUAAUAAUCACUAAUAAAUGCUAAUAUAAAUUUGAUAAACAUCUACAAGUUUCUAUCAUUCAAACUAUUUUUCAACAAAAAUAAUUUUGUCUUUUACAACAAUUUUUUGUUUUUGUUACCUAUUUAAUUUUAAAUAUUAAUUGGAACUAAAAUAGUGUUUAAUUAUUUAAUAAUUAAAAUUUAAUAUUUUAUUUUGAUUAUGAUUGAUCUUAUUUUUUACAACAAUGAUAGAUUUGAUUGUUCUGCUUAACGUUAUUUUUGAAAAGUUCUUCUUUGAUUAUUAAUUUCUAAUUAUUUAAUUAACUAAGAGUUUAAUUAUUCUAACAUAUUAAAUAUUUAUAAUAAGUUCUCAUUUUUUUAUCUUCUAGUUUUAAUCCAUAGAAAUUAAGUUUAUUAUUUAAUUUUCAAGUCAAAUUUGAGUCUUUUUAUAAUGCAUUUAAUUUUUUUUCACAACAUUAUUAUAUUUAAUUCAAGUUGUACAAUAAAUUAACGUUAAUUAUUUUUUAAUCACUUUUCACAUUCUCACACAUUGUCAUGAUCAAAAUAUAUAACUUGUACUUAAAAAUCUAUUUAUAUACAUAUUAUAUAUAUAACUCUCUUUACAAACAUUUAAGUUUUUUUUUGUAGGUUGAGGUUUGCUUCUCUUGAUCUUCAUAUUCAUUGUCUUGCUUUUAUUUAUUUGGGAUUACUUAACCUAAUUUUGAUCAAAACAUUUUCAUUUUCAUUUGUUUGUCUUCGUAUUCAUUUUCAUCUUCAUAUUUGUUGUCUUAUACAAUUUUAAAGUAUUCUUUAGUAAAUAAAAAAGGUUUUUUUUUUAAUCAUCAAAGUAUUAAUUAUUUAAUUAAUUUGAAAUUAAUGGUGAAAAAGUCAACAAAAAAAUAUUUAUACAAAUUAAAUAUUCUAGAUAACUUCUAUGUUUAGAUCUCUAUUGUAGGUUCCAUGAAGUUUUUGUUUUCGUUUUUUUUAAUACGUGAUAUAUAAUAAAUGGAAAACAAAGCUUUUCCACCUAUAUACACAAUUUUUUUUUAAAAAAAAAAAGUCAAAGAAAUGAAAGAAAAAAAAAACAAUGUGAACAUUGCUCAAAUGUCAUAAUUGUUAAAAUAAUACUAAGAAGAAAAACCAAAUUUUAAUUAUAAAAAGGGAGUCAAUUAAUUGUAAAUUUUGCAGUGCCAUCUUCCACAAACAGCUCCCCACUUCAUAAUUUUCUCCUUAUUUCAUCAUUGCAUUAUUAUUAUUCUUCCCUUCAAUCUCUUAGAAUUAGAGAUGGCAAAAGUUGCAAAUCAGCCAUCGUUAAUUCCUAUGCCUUUUCUAGUCAUCUUCUUCGUUUUCUCAAUCUUUUUUGGUUUUGGAAUAACUCUCUCUAAGGCUGUUUCCCAAACCAGAUACUACAAAUUUGAAGUUGAGUACAUGUUUUGGUCCCCGGAUUGUAUCGAAAACAUUGUCAUGGGAAUCAACGGUACGUUUCCCGGUCCACCAAUUAGAGCCAAUGUUAAUGACACCGUGGUUGUUGAGGUGAUUAACAAUCUCUCCACCGAAGGUGUUGUUAUUCACUGGCAUGGAAUUCUACAACGAGGAAGUCCUUGGGCCGAUGGCACUGCUUCCAUCUCGCAAUGUCCCAUUAACCCUGGAGAAAACUUCACUUACGAGUUCAAAGUGGAUAAGGUGAGAAGAAUUAAAAUGUGAAUGUCGACAGAAGUGUCAUGAUUACAUUUGAUAAAAUCUUUUCAUUUAUUGAUUUUUCUUUAUUAUUAUAUAAUUUCUAGCCUGGGACAUAUUUCUAUCACGGUCAUUUUGGGAUGCAACGAGCAGCUGGGUUGUAUGGAUCCUUAAUAGUGGAUCUAGAGGAAGGAAAAAAAGAGCCCUUCCAGUACGACGAAGAGAUCAAUUUAUUACUUAGUGAUUGGUGGCAUGCAAGUGUCCACGAGCAAGAAGUUGGCCUUAAAUCAAACCCAAUGCGUUGGGUUGGAGAGCCUCAGGUAGUACAUGUGUCUAAGUAAAUUAUGUUCAUAUUGACAAUCAAAUUGAAAAGGACAAAACUUAAUAUUUUUCAUCAAAAUUUGACCUAUAUUUUACCAAAGUAGAUAAUAAAAUAAUGAAACUUAUAGGUAAAAACGAAAGUAUUUUCAAGCUUAACAAUUUUAUUUAACAACCAUCUCUUUCUCCCUUUUAGAAUUUGGAUAUCGAAAUAUUUUGAAAUAAUAUUAUCACAAAGUUAAUUGAAAUUGCUCAAUCAACUUAGCUAACUCAUCUUUUUAACAUCUUUUUAACAUUUGUCACCUCAUUUGCUUUCAUUAGUUAACUAACAAAUUUUAGAGACUAUUUAAAACCAUUUCUUAAACUCUAUAAAUUAAAGUUUUCAUUUUAAAAUUUUGAGAUUAAACACAUACAUAUGGACUAGUUCAUUUUAUAAUUUUAAUUUUUAGCCAAUUUUCUAAUGGAAAUAUCAAUUAAAAUUUUAGCCCAAAUUUAAAGGACAACAAUUUUAGCCCAAACUAGAAUAUAUAUCAUCAUAAAAUUAACAAAAUAUCAUAAAGUAUAACUAUUUUAUUAUAACUUUGAAACCAUAUAAGAAAGUAGAUAAUAAUAAAAAUUCAACCAUAAGGCUAAAGUUGAUUUUUAUUUUCUUGAAAUUUGUCGUUAGUAUAUUUGUUUGAUUCAUGUAAAAUACUUGAGAUUUAAAUCUAAAAUUUCUUUUCCUCUUGUUAUUGAAGACCAUACUCAUAAAUGGGACAGGGCAAUUUAAUUGUACAAGCUUAGAAAAAUACAACACGAGUUCAGAGCAUUGUGAGUGGAAAGAUCAAUGUGCACCAUUUGUGCUCAAAGUCGAACCCAAUAAGACUUAUAGGAUAAGAAUUGCAAGUACCACUUCAUUGGCUGCUCUCAAUUUUGCCAUUUCGGUAAUAUAAUCUCUCUCUUAAGUAUAUUAUUUUUACAACAAUGUAAAGAUAAAAGAUCGAAUCAAAUGUUCCACCUUAGGGAUGAAAACUUAUAUCAUAUGUUUAUCUUUGAAUUUUCAGGUGUAUGUCUAUUUAACUAAAUAAACAAAUUGUUCGUUUAUAAUACGUAAUGAAAAUGAAACUUUUAAAGACAAUGGAUUGUGAAUUUAGAUUUUCUUUUUUCUAAUCAUUAAUUUUUCAUUAUUUUUAUAGUUUUGAAAAAAGAAAAAGUUCCAUCAUUUUUCUUUUCUUUUUCAGAAUCACACAAUGCUGGUGGUAGAAGCCGACGGUAACUACGUUCAGCAAUUUGUAACCUCCGAUAUCGACAUUUAUUCCGGCGAGUCCUACUCUGUUCUCGUCACCACUAACCAAAGCACAACGCAAAACUACUGGGCUUCCAUAGGCGUCCGUGGUCGGGAGCCUAAAACAUCGCCGGCACUCCUCCUCUUCAACUACCUUCCCAACUCCGUCGCCAAAUUACCCAUUUCUCCACCGCCAGAAAUCCCCAAAUGGAAUGAUUACGAUCGAAGUAAAAACUUCACAUAUAGAGUCUUAGCCUCUGCCAUGAACACAACAAAACCACCACCAAUCUUCACUCGCCGGAUCUCCCUCCUUAACACCCAAAAUCUUAUGAACGGCAACUUCAUAAAAUGGGCAAUCAACAACAUUUCAUUAACCCUCCCCUCAACCCCGUACCUCGGCGCCAUUAAGUUCGGUCUGAACUCCACGUUCAACCAGACCGCCCCACCAGAAACAUUCCCAAAGAACUACAACAUCAAAAUCCCACCGCCGAACCCGAACACGAACACCGGAAACAGCGUUUAUCGGUUCCGAUCGGGGGAAAUAGUGGAUGUGAUUCUACAAAACGCCAAUGCGUUAAGCAACAAUACAAGUGAAAUUCACCCUUGGCAUUUACACGGCCAUGAUUUUUGGGUUUUGGGGUAUGGAGAGGGGAAAUUUUCCGACGAAGAUGAGACGAAAUUGAAUCUGAAAAACCCACCGUUGAAGAACACGGUGGUGAUUUUCCCAUUUGGGUGGACGGCGAUUCGAUUUGUGGCGGAUAAUCCCGGCGUUUGGAUAUUCCAUUGCCACAUUGAACCUCAUUUGGAUAUGGGAAUGGGGGUUAUCUUCGCGGAAGCAGUUGAAAAGGUCAGGGAAAUUCCUCCGUAUGCUUUGGCUUGCGGCCGCACUGCCACACCUCAGGUUGUUCCAAUAAUCCCACGACCCAACCCACCGGGACUAGAUAACCCAUAUUACAUCAUUUGGAUUGGGUUAGUUAUAUUUUUGUGUGUGAUUGGAUUGUGUUAUGUAUGUCUUUAUCGUAUCCGAUUCAAUAAUUUGAGUUGGAGACCUUAUUUAGGUAUUUCGGAGAGUCAAUCCAACCAAAUUGAAUUUUCAGAUUUGUCUCAAUCCAACCCAAAUCCAAACCCAACUCAUGAAGAGCCCUAACGAGAACAAUGAUUGGUAUAUUCUUCCUUCGAAGCAAAUCUCUAGAACAGCCUAGAACACAAUUUUUUCGGUGUAAUUUGGAGUAUGUAGUUUGUUCGGUAUUUUUAAGAAAUCAUUUUUUUUUUUAUUGCUUGUUCAUUUGUUGACCUUUUUAAAACUUUUUUGUUAUUUACUAGAAUUUCACUCAUGUGUUUCUUUGAACAUGGAAAUUAUUACUGUGGUUAAGGUAAUUUGGAUUAAAAGAAACAACUUACUAAAUUUAAGAUUUAUGGAAAUUACAUCAACUAAAAUUUGGAUACAGUUGGAUAUUGUUCACUUCUUCAACCUUUAUUGUUAAUGCAGCCUAAAAGUAAAAUUGAAUGAAAUUUGAAAUACAUUGAACAAAAGACCAUUUAAUUUUAAUCUUUGGAGUGAGUGAAGUGUUCUAAUGUGAACAAAAAAAAAUGUAAUGGUAAAAGUGAGGUGUGUGAUCAUUUUCAUCCUUUUGUUUUGUAUAAAUGAUCUAAAAUUGUGGAUUUGAAUUUGGGAAAAUAUCAACUUAAUUACACCUUAAAUUAUAGGGUUUGCUUGGUUGUAUUAAUUUAGAUUUUCAACUAAUAAUUAUAUCAAUUUAAUUUUUAAACUUUGGAGUUAUCUAUCCAUCUAAGUCUCAAAAUAAUUUUGUAUCAAUUUUAGGCUCUAAACUAUUUUAAGUGUAUCAAUUUCAAUCUCAAACUUACAUGAUUGUAUCAAUUUAACCCUUAAAUAUAUGUUUUAUUUGGAUAUACACUUAUGAAAGUCGUACAUUUAUGAAAGUUCAGAGUUUAAGUUGAUCCAGUUGUGAAAGUUCAAGGUUUAAAUUAAUACAAUUAUUAGUAGUUCAACGUUUAAAUUGUGAAAGUUCCAAAUUCAAAUUUUAAUUUUAUAAAAGUUUGGAGUUUAAAUUGAUACACUCUCAAGGUUUAUGGUUUAAAUUUUUUUUGAAAAAGAUAAGGUUAAGUGUACCGAAGCAUCCCUUUUAGCACCAUCCUCAUCCUCUAUCAAAUAUAUUUAUUCAUUGAAGUGCAAGGAACAUGAUGAUCCAAAAGAACAAGGCUAGAGGUAAGCCCAAAAAAAAAAAAAAACAACGAACAGAGAAGAAUAGUCAAGUAAAAACACUAGAGUUUAGAGCGAUUACAAUUGGAGAGUAGUUUGAAAAAAUCUUGUUUUCAAAAGACCAACAUCCGAUGAGACUGCAUAUAUUCUCUUCUGUGUUGAUAAUUCUAGCAAAGUUUAUGGUUUAAAUUGAUACAACUAUUAAUUCAAUGUCUAAAGUGAUUGUACAUGAUAUUUGUACGCUCUACAAAUUUAUAUAGCAUAUAUAUCUUGUCGGUUUAAGGAAAGAAUUAUUUUAGACAAUUCUACCCCUUGCCAAAUUUUAAAUUUACAACAUUAUCUUAUACUUUAAAAUAAAUGUUAGUGGUUGCUUAAAAUUUUUUUAAAAAAUUAUAAAUUAUAUUAUUUUAUAAUUGAUUUACUAUUUUUUAUUUAUUUAAUAUUAAUGAAUAUAAUAUAUAUGUAUUAAUAAUUAAGGAAGUUAUCACUCACAACUCACAUCAAAUGAAGUAUAAUAUAAAUAAGGAAAUGAUUUGAAUUUGAUUUCAAAAGCUAUAUAUAAUUAAUAAUUAUGAUAUAAUUGUCCUAAAAAUAUACGAAAACCUAAUCAAGAAAAAAAAUCAUAAUCUAGUACAUUCGUGAAAUUUUCUAGUAGAUUUAGGUUUUUUUUGUCUAAAUAUUUCUAAUUUAAAAGAGUUGAAGAAAAAUAUGAUUUUAGAGACAGAAAAUAGAAAAAUUAUAUAAUAUUAUUCAUUAUAAUAUAGUUUUAUCUGUGUACGAAGUUGAAAAAAAACUAACAGUUUUUCUCUUUUUCUUCUUCUUCAAUUUUUUUGUGGAUAGUUCAAGUUCAAGCUAAAGAUGAAUUUUCUUAUUUAUCUUUUUCUUUAUCCAUUUUAUUUUAAGAUUUGAAUUGUUGUAUUACAGUCAAUUUAUAAAGCCAUUUUCAUAAAAUUUAUUUUUAGAUCACAUUUAGAACUAUAUUUUUUUGUGCAAAAUUAAUGUGAACAUGUGAUCAUAGAUUUUUUUUAGAGAUAACGUGAGAAUAGUAAAAAAUUAGAUUAAAAAAUAGAAAAUUCAAAAAAUAUUAAGAUUUAUAGCAAAAUCACGGUUGUAGACUUUUUUUAACCGAUUAUACCAUUUGUAUAGGAAAUUUCUUUUCCGUGAGAUACAAUGUUUUUGCAUAGGUAAAAAUGAUACAUGAUAUCACAGAUUUACAGAUUCAGUGUAUUUGCAAAAAUCGUUAAUUUUGAAAAAAUCUUAAAUAUUUUGAAGUUAAAUUUUAUAACAUCCACUAAAAUCAUCAAUUUUGAAUUCUUUUAAACUAUCUUAAAAAUAAUGGUAAACAUAAAUUCAACAUUUUUAGAUUAUUUAUAUUUCUAAAUAUUUCUAAAAAAUUUGAAUUUAAAUAACUCCAAAAUACAUUAAUAACAAUUUGAAUUUAAAAUUUUACCAUCAUUCCUUCAAAUUGUGCUAAUUAAGAUUAUCCAUUUAUUUUAUUUAAAAAAAUCACUCAUAAAAUCAUGCUAUUUAGUUUAGUUGUCGCUAAAAUAAUGACAAACAUAAAUUUAAAAUUUUCAGAUUAUUUAUAUUUCAAAAUAUUUAUAAAAAUUUGAAUUUAAGUACAUCAAAAAUAUAUAUUGUUAAUAACAAUUUGUAUUUAAAAUAGUAUCAUUUCCUAAAUCGUGCUAAUUACAAUUAUUCACUUAUGUUAUUAAAAAAUUAUAUUAUCCCCUAAAAUCAUGCUAUUUGAUUCAUAUCUCUAAAAUAAUGACAAACAUAAAUUUAACAUUUUCAAAUUAUUUAUAUUCUAAAAUACUUAUAAAAAUUUUGAAUUUAAAUACCUCCAAAAUACAUAUUCUUAAUACCAAUUUGAAGUUAAAAUUUUGUCUUCCCCUAAAAUCGUGCUAAUUGGUUGAUUUUUAUUUUUAAAAAAUUAUUUUAUUGUGCUAACUAUAUUGAAUAAUUAUUUAGACGUUAUUUUUUUAAUUUACUUUAAUAUUCACAUUUAUUUUCAUUCUGUGAGAGUCUCAAAUACACCUUAAGUGAUCCACGAUCCUUAAAAUUUCAUAGUCAUUCAUUAUACAAACAUAUUACAAUUAUUUGGCACUAUUCCAUUUUCAAAUAUUAAUAUUUAUUUGCUCAUGUAAUGACAAAUAUAAAUAAUUUUUGUAUAUUUUAAACAAUUUAUUAAAUAAUACAUAAUAUAGUUUUAAUAAAAAAUUGAAUUUAAAUUUUAGAUCCUCCCCUAAAAUAAAGCCAAAUAUAAGUACAAGAUUUUCACAUUUUUUUAUAUAUUUUAAACAAUUUAUUAAAUAAAACAUAAUAUAGUUUUAAUAACAGUUUGAAUUUAAGUUUUAGAUCAUUUCCAAAAAUAAUGUUAAAUAUAAAUACAAUAUUUUUACUUUUUUAAAAAAAAAUCUUAAAUAAUAUAUAAUAUAUUUUUAAUAACAAUUUAAAUUUAAAUUUUAGAAUUGUAACGAUGCCUCAAUAACAUUUUUGUAAUUAUUUAAAUCUUCUUCCUUUAAGUUUUAUUCGAGAUUAUUUAAAUCUUCUUCCUUUAAGUUUUAUUUUCUUUUCUCGAAUAAAACCUAUGUGAGUGUUUUUCUUGCAAAUCAAGAGAGGAGAAAAGUUUCAACGUCAGCAACAAAAAUCAUGGGUCUUGUGCCAUUACAUACAAAAGAAUGCAUUUUUUGUGUUCUUAAAUCCCCUCAUGUCCAUCAGAAUGCAAGAUUCCAUUUUGAAAUCAGAACUCACCAACGCCUCAUUGAUAUUUUGUACCCUACUGCCCAAACGAUUGAUUCUUUGACGCAACUCGACCUUCCAACUAUUAUUGACGUAGGAGGAAGAAAUUGAAGGUUUUCAAGGUUUUGAAGUUGAUUUGAAGAAGUUGAAGGUUUUGGUAGAACAAACCCUAAAAAAUUAGCAAACGAAAUAUUUUAGAUAAAUGAAACUUGAUCUAAUAAAACGGGUUUAAAAUAUUCAUAUAAUAACAAAAUAUUUAUUGUUUUGUAAAGUUUAUUAAUGAAAUAUUUUGAUAGCUUUUUUAAAAUAUUAAUUAAAAUUUUAUUAAUGAUAAAUAUAAUUAGUUUAAUACAAGUUUAAAAUAAUGAAAAGGAAUAAAGAUAUUUUAGAAACUUUAUUAAACAUAUGUUUUUCCGAGAUCUUAUAAAAAUAAAAUAAAUGUUAUGUAUUAGAUAAAUAUUUAUUUUCGAAGUUCUAAAAAAUAAAUAUAUAAACAUUUAUUAAAUAUAAUUUAGGAUAUAAUUUUAUUAAAUAAAUAUAAUAAAUAUUUAUUAGAUAUAAAUGUUCCAUUAGGAUACAACUAAUUGGAGAUAUUAUGAAUAAAAAUUUCAUUGAUAUAGGAAAAUUUUGGUUUAAUAUUCUUCAGCAAACAAAUGUUGCCAUUCAAUUAGAAUCUAACAUAAUAUCCAACUUUGCAAAAUAAAUUGUGUUUCACAAAUCUAGUCACCUUACAAAGGUCUUAUACGUUCAUAAUACUACGUUGAAAAUCAUAACAUAUCACGAAAUCACGGGCAAAGGAAUAAAAAAGGCGCACGUCAUGUACAUUUCAAUUUUCAAUUGUAUUCUUCAAAAUUAAAGUUUUGUAUUAUAUAUCGUAUAUUUUUUUCUAAAUUAAGUGAUAACUAUCUUAAGAAUAAGGCAUUAAGCAAAAUCAUAAGCUUUCAUAAUCAAUCUAAUAUUAUCAUAAAAGGUAAAACAAUUAUUUAAUGUUAUAAUUUCAGUUUAACACAUCUAAUCUCUGAUCUCAACAUUCAACAUAUUAGUAAUGAAUGACUAAUCAAUUAACAUCAAAUAGCAUAUAACUCAACAAUAUUCAUUAUAGCCAACAUGAGUUUAGCUCAACUGGCACCUGUAUGUUCGUGUGGACAAGAGGUCCUGGAUUCAAAUCGCACAAGUGAAAACCAAGGAAUACUGAAACGAAAGGGACAAGUCUUUCAAAAACCAAAAGGUUAUGUCCAAAAGUUAAUUAUUUAAAUGUGAACAAAUGAAUAAACAGUUGAGACUAAAUUUAAAACUUUAUUAAAAAUGGAGAAUUAAAAUGGAACAAACUCCAAAAUACAAACACCCCAUUCAUAAUUUAACCAAGAAAGAAGAGUGCUAGCAAAUAACACAACAAGAGAAUAGAGUAAAUUACUUCAACAAACCCUAAAUAGCCACAUUUUCUAUAGCUUUUUCAGGAGUAUUUUAGGGAUUUCAAUUCUAGGGCUUUUGAGUGGGGUUCCGAAUAAGCGCUUUCGCAGUGCCACCGCAAGCCAUAGCGUUCGUCGGAAUUCUCCCAACCUUAUGAACUCCUUCGGCGAAUAUAACCCCCAUUCCCAUAUGCAAAUGAGGUUCAAUGUGGCAAUGAAAAGCCUAAACCCCUGGAUUAUCCGCCACAAAUCGAAGCACCGUCCACCCAAAUGGGAAAAUCACCACCGUAUUCCUCAACGGCGGGUUCUUUAGAUUCAAUUUCGUCUCAUCCGCAGCAGAGGAAAAUUUCCCCUCUCCAUACCCCAAAACCCAAAAAUCAUGGCCGUGUAAAUGCCAAGGGUGAAUCUCGCUAUGCUUGUCGUUCAAUGUGUUGGCAUUUUGUAGAACAACAUCCACGAUUUCCCCUAUUUGGAACCGGUAAACGCCGUUUCCGGUGAUGGUGUUUCUGUUCGGUGGUGGCUUGUUGAUGUCGUAGUCUUCUGGGUAUGUUUCCGGUGGGGGAUUCUGGUCGAAGGUGUGGUUUAGCCCGAUUUUAAUGGCGCCAAGGUACGGCGUUGAGGGGAGGGCUAAAGAGACGUUGUUGAUUGCCCAUUUUGUGUAUCCGCCGUUCAUUUUAUUUUGGGUGUUGAGGAGGAAGAUGCGGCGGGUGGAUUUUAGCGGUGGCUUUGGACUGCCCAUGGCAGCUAAGAUUUGGAAUGUGAAGUUUUUGCUUCGGUCGUAAUCGUUCCAUUUGGGGGUUUCGGGUGGCGGAGAAGUGGGUAAUUUGGAGACGGGGUUGGGGAGGUAGUUGAGGAUUGUUAGGCCUGGAGGGGUUUUGGGAUCACGGCCGCGGAUACCGAGGGAAACCCAGUAGUUCUCCGAUGGUUUUUGGUCGGUGUUGAUGAGGACGGAGUAAGAUUCGCCGGAAUAAAUGUCGAUGUCGGAAGUUAGAAAUGGUUGAACGUAGUUGCCGUCGGCUUCUACCACUAAUAGUUUGUGCUUCUGAAGAAGAAAAAAGAAAUUACUAUACAAUUUUAAAAAUAAAUAAAUUCUGAAUAAUUAGCAAGUUGAAUUUGACGUUUUAGUUUUAAUACACAUAGUAAAAAGAGAGAGAUAGUUACGUACCCCGAUGGCAAAGUUGAGGGCAGAGAGUGAAGUGGUACUUGUAAUUCUAAUCCUAUAAAUCUUAUUGGGUUUGACUUCGAGGAUAAAAGGUGCACAUUGUUCACUUCCACUCAACUUACAUUGCUCCAUUUUCUUCAUGUUCAUGUAUUUAGCUGCAAUUGAACAAUUGCUUUGCCCUCUCCCAUUUAUGAGUAUGGACUUUGAACAAGAAGAAGGGGACAUAAAAAUACAUUUAAUUAAACCUCUCAAAUAGCAUUAAUAGAAUCAACAAGAGAAAGUACAAUAAUUAUAUCCCUAACAAAAUAAUUUACCUAAAUCCAAUUAACCAAAUCAAAACCCUUACGACACUUUAUCUUCUAUUUAGGUUGGUUUAAUUUCCAAUUCUUUUUACUUUUUUUAACUUCAUUACAUGGUGAGAUUUCAUCUAAGGAUAUUAUGGUAACUUUUGAAAAUAAUAUAAAAUGUUUUUUUUUAGAAAAAAUAAUUCAACAAUGAUAAUUGGAAGUUUGCAAAAAAGUUUAAGAAACAAUGUCUAAUAUAAAAAGUAAUUGUUAUGUGUAUAACAAAAACCAUGUUUCAAGCAAGUAAGGUAUUUAUAAGAGGGACAAUAUUACUUUCCUCAAUAUGUUUUAUUUUGGUAGAAAUUAUACCUUAUGUUAUUUAUGUGUCUCAAAAAGAGACAUAUAUGUUUGAUUUGUUGUUUCUUUUAACGGAAAAAAAAAAAAAAAAACUAAACGUGUUCGAACUCUUAUAGUUUGAGCUAUCUUGUGUUUUUAGUGUAGAGUAAGAGAUUUAAAUCAAUUUCAAUUUUUAGAGAUAAAAGUAAUGUGAAUGUCAAUGAAUCAAACUCACUCCGUUAUGUAAUUUUGACGUUGAAUUUUAUUGGAAAAUUGUUUUAAAUGGUAAAACGGUUGAAAAUACUUAUAAAUACAAUAAAAUUUCAUGGGCUUUCAGUCAUAGACAACUAUCCAUGAUAUUUUGCUAUAUUUAUAAAUAUUUUUGUUUAUUUUGUUAUAUUUGAAAACAAUCUAAUUUUAUAAAAUGUUUUAGUUAUUUUUUUGUCUAAGGAAGUUUUGUUUUUAAAAUGCCAUUGAGAGAAUAUUUUGUGGACAUUUUUGUUUGUUUGUAGUUAAAGCAGCAAACAUUUUGAAUAUUAAGAAAUAAUUAUUAAAAGUAUAAUUAUACCAUUUCGACAAAAAAAUCUAACAUUAGUUUAGUUAGAUAAUUAUUAAUAAUAAAGUAUAAUUAUACCAAAUUGCUACCUAACAAUACUUUUAUUUUUUGCUUUAAAAAAAAUAUAAGCUUAUAAUAUUAUUUUCACAAAUAAUUAUCUUCAUUAAUUUUAUUAAUCUACCAUUUAGAUAUACAAAAUCAAAGUUUUGAUAAAUAAAUUUGUAAAAGUAGAUUUUGUUGUAAAAAUUUAACAAAAGAAUCCUACACAAAUGUUUCAAUUAUCUCUCUUUUCAUUUGAGAUAUGCUUUAUUUUUAUACAUAAAAUUUUAAUUUAAACACUGUCCUUCAAAAAAUAUCCUAAAAUAUAAUAUUGAAACAAACUCCAUAAUUCUUUCUUUCUUUAAUUUCUUCUUCUUCUUCCUUUUUUUUUUUUUUUUUUUUUUGGUUAAAGUAGGACUUAAUUUUUAAACCUUGACCAUGAUGCCAAUAUUCAUAUUUUUGAACUUGUAGAAAUAAAAACACUCUCAAAGGUGUAUAUAUAUAAUAAUAAUAAUUUUCAAAAUAAAUAGAGGGAAUAUAAAUGAAAGUUUUGUUAGAGAAGAGUAUAGAAAACCUACCUCACAUCUCAUGAAUAUUCAGUAUAAUUUAAGAAAAUAUCAUAUUUGAUGGUUAGUCCAAACAUAAUUAGGAGAUAAAGAUAUAACUUAAACUACCUGUGGUUCACCAAUCCAACGCAUUGGGCUAGAGCUAAGGCCAAUUUCUUGCUUUAGAAUGCUUUCGUGCCACCAAUCACUAAGCAACAAGUUGAUUUCUUCGUCGUAAUGGAACGGCUCUUUCUCUCCUUCUUCUGGAUCCACUAUCAAGGAUCCAUAUAACCCAGCCGCUCUCUGCAUACCCAAAUGACCAUGAUAGAAAUAUGUCCCAGGCUGCCAAACGCAAGUUCAACAAAACAAAUAAAUUUUGUUAGAGAUUAUAUUUUAUGUCACUUUAUUCAGCAUCGACAUUUCGAAACCUUCUCACCUUAUCUACUACGAACUGGUAAGUGAAGGAUUCGCCUGGGUUAGUCGCACACUGCGAGAUGGAAGCAGUGCCAUCGGCCCAGGGAGUUCCCUUCUGUAGGAUUCCAUGCCAAUGAAUGACAACAUCUUCAGUGGAGAGCUUGUUAAUCAUCUCUACAACCACAGUGUCACCAACAUUGGCUCUAAUAGUUGGCCCGGGAAACUGGCCGUUGAUUCCCAUGACGAGGUUUUCUUUACAGUCCGGGGACCAAAACAUGUAUUCAACUUCCCAUGUGUAGUGUCUAGUUUGGGAAACAGCAUCAGAGAGAGUUAUUCCAAACCCAAAAAUGAUUGACAGAAGAAAGAACAUGGCUGGAAAAGGCAUAGGAAACAAUGGCUGAUUUGCAACUUUUGUUGCCAUCUCUUGGUAAAGAGAUGGAAGGGAAGAAUAAUAAUGCAAUGAGCAAAAAAGAGGAAAUUGGGAGUGGGAAGUUUGUGGAAGAUACCACUGCAAUUUACCAACGGCUCCUCCUUAAUUUAUAAUGAAAUUUUGUGAGGUUUUGAUAAUACAAAUUUAUGUCAACUUAUUUUUUCUUUUGUCUUCAUUUGUUUGAUACUUUUUUUUAUUGGUUUUAUAGUUCUAAAGGUUUUUUCUUCUAUGGAAAACUUGACGUUUAUAUGAUGGAUAUUGAGAACCUAGAGAGAGAUUUAAAUGUAGAAGUUUGUUUGGAUGUUUAAUUUUUUUAAUUAAAAUGUAUGUAUAACAUAAUAUAAUAACUUUUUUUUAAGAAUUUGCAUAGUAGAAAGGUACUGAAAUUAUGUGUUAUGUAAGAUUGUCUUUGCUAAGCUUUAGGUAAUCUAGAUACUAUUAAUUUCAUAUAAUAAAGUUUAUCUAAAUUUUUUUUAAGCUGAAGUAAAUUUAUUUGUUCUAACAUUUUCAUCUUAUAUUUUUAUAUCAAUUAGUUUAUAUUAACUUUAUUUUUUUUGUUUUUUUUAUCAUAAAUAAAUUUAUAUUAUAUAUUUUUUCAUUUAUACAUAUUUUAUAUUUCACAUUUUCAUUUUUUUAUUUAAACAUGAAUUUUUAAUGCAUGCAUGAGAGUCUUUCUAAAUACAAAAGUAUUAUGCCUAAAAGAAUAUACAAACGUAUUAGGUAGUUGUGGGAAAGAUAAAACGAACAUUGUAGUUUAAUAUAUAAUUAAAAAGAAUCCAAAUAUUAUUUGACUUUAUCUAAAGUUAAUUAUUAAUUACAUAUAAUUAAUCACAACCUUGCAUUAAUUUAUAUUUAUAUAAAAACAAGUGAAAUAGAGAAAGUGGAUAAAAAAAAAAAAGAAAAAUCCACCAAACUCAAUCAAAAUAUCAAUUUCUUUUUGCUAUAUUUUUCUAUCUCUAACGAUUUACCUAAAAAAAUGAGAAAAAUGAUGGGAAAAGGGUUAGUAAAAGAUUCUUCAAAACAUGAAAAGUCUUAAGAACCGUGAUUAAAAUAGAUAUUAACAUUAAUAAAAUGUUUGGUUAUAAUUAGAAAUAUUGAGGUUUCAAACCUUACGAAAAUAUCAAUAAAAAAUUUGAAUAAAUUAUGGAAUGAAAUCGUUAUAAUUAAUUAAUAAAAGUACUUUUAUUGUGACUUAAUUAGAAUUAACCAUUUUUAAUAGCAAUGUCUAUAAAGUAAGACAACCAUUUAGGUGCCUAUUGUUAGUGCAUGUGCAAAUGUUAAUAAGAUAACCUAGAUUUAAAAAUAAAUGGAAAAGUAGUUACCCAAGUUUAAGAAUGCUUUCGAGUGAAAUAUUCCACGAGGUUAAAAGUAAGUUGAAUUUUUUGGUUGGAGGAAAAAUACAAAUAUAACAAUUAUAUAAUCAAAAUAAUUAAACAUACAACAACAUUUUAAAAAAAUUAUAAAUAUAUAGCAAAAUCUAUUAAAACCUGUCAAAGAAAGAGUUAUCUCAAUAGAUUUUGCUAUAUUUAUAAAUUUUUAAAAAUGUUUUUAUAUAAUUAAUAAUUAUUUCUAAAACUGCUAUCCAUUAUAAUUAUCCUAAUUAAAAUUUAGAGCUCUUCCUCUAAAAUUUCGAUUUAUAUUGUCCAUGACUUUCCUACGUGUCAUUCAUUAUUGUUAUAUUUAUUUAUAUUAGUAGGUUAAAGAGUUGACCUUUUACUAUAUUUAAUAUUAUUUAUUAAUAUGUCAAUAUGAACUUUUAAUUAAUUUAAGGAAGCCCUAAUAAUUCCAUUAAGAGAUUUUUUUUUUCAUCAAUAUAUAUAUAAUGUAUUUUUAACAAAGCUAUAAUAGAGGUUGAGAUUAGAAGAAAAGUCUUCUAAAGUAAAACAAUGAGAGACAAAACAAAUAUAGACAAAAAAAAAUCAUAAAAUUGCAUCACACACAAGAUCAAACGAACCAAAAAUAUUUUUUAAAAAUUGAAUAUUCAAUCUCACUCUCACAUGUUACUUCAAAUUAAUGUACUCAUUAACUAAUAAAAGUACUUUACCUAUAUAUAUAUAUAGGACAUGAGGUUUUUUAAAAAAAAAAUCAUUAUCGACGCCUUCUCCUCUCAUCGUCUAUUUUAAAAAAAAAGUCUACACAAAUACACGUGUAAGAAUUUAUUAUAUAAUAAUUUUAUUUAUUAAAAAUUUAUAAGAUGUAAAUCGAUCCAUAUCUAAAAGUUUAGAACUAAGGGCUAAAGUUACGUAAUUUUAUAAUUACGUUUGGUGAUAGAAAAUUAAGGUUUUAGGGGCAUAAUUGCAGUUAGAAUUAUAUGAAGGGUGCUUUUUGCAAUUACUUCAUACACUCAACAUCAAAGUGAGUGUUUAGUACACAAGGCAUGUCAUUCAUUGUAUGUCCACUCCACAUAUAUAUACAAUACAUAUAUGCUCAAAGGUGUUAUUAACAAAAAUGAUAAUUUUUUGAAAAAAAUAUCUUAUAUCAAAACAACUAUGUCUUUGUCCUUACUAUCAGUUAAUUUCCAUCUAUAUCUUUAUUCUUUUACAUUUCUACAUUUUCAAUCUUUUUCAAGGGGCAAAUUGACAUUUUAUGCCUUUUUUAUAUUUAUGAUAAUUAAUUGCAACCUUAAUUUUUAUAAAUAUAUAUAACAAAACUCUAAUAUAUUUACAAUCGUGUAACAAAAUCAACAAAAUUCAUGAAGCUAAUAAAAUAUUUUCAUAAAUUCCAUAUUUGUUCCUGAUAUUGCAAAUGAUUCGUCGCUUCUCUUUCCUCUUCUUCUUUACAAUUUUUUUAUCUUCUCUUCCAGAUUUCUUCAACUCCUUUGAUGUUCUUUCUUCUAUUUUUAUUCAUCUUCUUUUUCUUUCUUUCCUUCGACUCCUCUUCUAAAUAUUAAUUUGAUAUGAUCUAAACAAUCGCUUACCUCAACAUGAUCAAAUAGCAUGGUCAACACGAUUGUUUAGAUUUAAAGUCAUUUUCCAUCGAUUAAAAAGAACUACACGAUCGUGUGGAAACGAUUUAAGUGAUCACUUACCUAGUCAACAUGAUAUAUAUAUAUCAUUUAGCAUGGUUAACACGAUCAUUUAGAUUUGAAGCCAUUUUUUCUAUCGUUUCAAAAGAACUACACGAUCGUGCAGAUAUGAUCUAAACGAUCGCGUACCAUAGUCAGCUCGAUCGUUUAGUGUGGUUAACACGAUCUUUUAUAUUUAAAACAUUUUAUUUCAUCGUUAAAAAGAACUACACAAUCGUGUGGAUACUACCUACACGAUCAUGUAUCAUGUUCUAUGUCGAAGUGUCUCAUGAUCGUUAAUUUAGAAAAAGAAUUAUACAUGUCCAUGCGGCCGAUUAAUCGUGUGUUGACUAAGAUAUUUUUUAUAUAUUUUUUUCAUCAUUGGCCCGUAACUUCUUCCAUUUUCAAAAUUGUUCUAUACAACGUAAAUAUUAUGUUAAUUUAUUAUAUUUUUUAAAAACACUAAACAAAACAAUAAUUUGGGUGUGAACUAAUAAUGUUUCAAUAAAAGAAUAUAUACAUUUUUUAAAUUUUAAAAAGGGAAUGAUUAAAGCUCAUAUUUUGUUUUCGUAUAAUUUUUCGAUAAAACUCAUAAUUUAAGGGAAGGGAAGGGAAUGACUAUAAAAACUCAUAUUUUGUUUAUAUUUAUAUAUUUGGUUAAAUUACAUUUUUACCCUUGAAGUUUAAAAUUUGUACGAUUAGUUCUAAUGUUUCAAAUUUGCAACAAAAAAAAAAGUACUCAAAUUUUAGAAAAUGCUCGAUUACGAUCCAAUUGGGAUCGGUUAAAUAGACAACAAAGAUGAGACAAAUUUACAAACUUUAGUAUGAUGUGUGACGAAAAACGAUUCCAUGAAGAUGUGGCUACAUUCAAAUAGUACCAUUAUUUGUAAGGUGAAGUUUUUUUCGUCAAUCUCUUCCCUCUUCUUACAAAAUUUGUUGUUACCAAUUCUUCCCAUCACUUGUCUACUUUUCUUGAUUUUGACAAGAGAGAAAAAAAGUUGGUUGACAACAUCCUCGAGAGGGAAGGGUGGGAAGAGAAAACAUUUUUUAAAAUUUUUAUUUUCUGAAUAAUAGAUUAAAGUUAACAAUAAUAGUUAAUUUAAUGUCUAAAUUGUGAGGAAGUUGAUUGUUUAAUUUUAAAAUGUGGAGACAUACUUUAGGAUCAAAGGUAUAAUUUCUUUAUAUUUUGAAAGCUACCAAAUUUAGUUCACUACCUCUAUUUUAUUUUUUUUCAUUUGUUUUUCACGUGGGAACAAUGAAAAUAUGUAGUUUCCUUUCAAAUUGGAAAGCAAUUCUGUCUGUUGGCUACAAAGACAAAAUACUAUUUGUUUUUCUUUUUAUUGUCUAAAUAAUAAUAAUACACGUUAUUGCUAUGUAGCUUUUAAUGAAGUAUGUUAGAAGUGUUAGGUGUGUCGGAGGAUAGAGGUAAAUUUAAACUUAACUUUUGUGAAAGUUGGGAGGUUGGACAUAGCGUAUUCAUGAAUUAAGCUCGAGUAAGUUGGAGCAUUUGAGAUUAGAAAUAUAAGACUAAUCAAUCUUAUUUAUGUUUUAAGACUUUUAACGAGAUUGACAAGAGUUGGAUGAAAAUUAGGAAUAGGUUUUAAUCGAUUAAGCACAGAGAAGAAAAUUUUCAAUUUUUAGAGGUUGCAAAAUAUCACGACAAUAAUUAUGGACGACUAAGGUGUCCAAGCAAGAGAUGUAUGAAUUCAAAUUGAGACUCAUUAGAGGGUGUGGAGCGACAUCUAUUAACAACUGGAAUAUCCCCCAACUAUACAGACUAGGUAUAUCAUGGAGAGCCUGUGAACUUACACAGAGGUAUGCAAAGAUUUGAUGAAGGAACUAGCAUUAGUAACCCCUUUUGAAAUGUUGGAUAUGAUUCAUGAUUUACAAACUCCAAACGAAUGCGAAGAAGAGACGGAGGAAGAUUUGGAGAAUGAAAUGUCGUGUAACAGUGGGGUAGAUAUAGAAGAAGAGACAACAAACGUCGUAUUUCAUGAGUUAUUAAACCAAGCAAGUUGUGAACUAUACCUCGACUGUUCAGAAUUUUCGUCCUUGAACUUUUUUGUUAUGGUAAUGCAUUUAAAGGUUCUUAAUAGUUGGAGCAACAAGUCGUUCGAUAUGAUGUUAGAGAUAAUAAAAUGUGUGUUUCCAAUGUGUGGCACCAAUAUCUCUAGUUCAUUUUACGAAGCCAAACGAAAAUUGCGUGAGUUGGACUUGGGAUACGAGAAUAUUCAUGAUUGCAAGUACGACUGUGUAUUGCUCUAGAAGUGUUUGGGGAUUUGCAACAGUGUCCAACUUGUGGUGAGUUUCGAUACAUGGUUAGUUCUAAUAGAUCAAGAAAAAAUUCUGCAUAAAGUAAUCCUACUACUUUCUGUUGGUGCCGAGAUUUCAACGCUUGUUUGUAUUGCAAGAAAGCUCGACAGACAUGAGAUGACAUAAGGAUAAAUGAGUGAGAACAAAGGAUUUGUUGAGACGUCCAACUGAUGUAGAGGGAUGGAAGCACUUUAACUCUGAAUUUCCUGAUUUUGCUCUAGAUUUACAGAACGUCUGUUUGGAAUUAGAUGCAAAUGGGUUUAAUCCAUUCGGUUAUAUGAGUGUCUCGUACAAUAUGUGGCAUGUGGUGUUAAUUCCUUACAAUUUGCCACCAUAGAAAUGCAUAAAAGAGUCAAACUUUUUCAUGCCAUUGUUCAUUUUUUGUCCAAGAUCUCCUGGUAGGGAAACGGAUGUGUACCAACAAACCAUUGAUUGAGAAACAGAAAGAGUUGUGGACUUUUGAUGUGCGUACGUAUGACUGUAUUACAUAUCAAUUUUUUCAAUUGCACGCAACCUUGUUGUGGACAAUUCAUGACUUCUCGACAUAUGGUGACCUAUCUAGGUGGAGUAUGAAGGGGUAUCAGACAUGUCUCAUUUCAUGGAAAAUAAAUCGUCGUUGGAUAAGAGAAAAAUAGCUUUCAUGUGGGACAUCGACGCUAUCUUUCAGAUAACUACAUGUUUGCCGUCGAAGUAGGCUACAUGAUGGAAAAGUCUAGCGUAAGCUAAGACUCCUCCAAUAGUAAUAAAUGAGCAUGAAAUCUUCAAACAACUAGAUUCGUUAGAAUUUCCACUUAUGACUAAGUAUCAUUCGUUAAAAGAUAAGAAAAGAAAUAAAGCUUUUGAUUGGUACAAGAAAAGUAUUUUCUUUGAUUUUCUUUACUGGUCGAGACUACUAAUUCGUCAUAAACCUGAACAACUUAAUUAUAUUUUUUUUGUUAAUUAUAUCGAUUUCAUAUUUUGUUUUAUAAUUUGUAAUUUUUUUAAUUUUAAUAAUAUGUUACAAAUUUUGUUUCUUUCAAUUUGAAGCGGAACUGAAAAUAAUAUACCUUACAAUAAAAAAUAAAAUAAAGAAAACAAUAAAAUGAUAAAAUAAUAAAAUAAUAAAAAAGAAAUUUAUCCCAACCUAGAAAACAGGUCGGGAUCCUGUGUUCACCCUGACUUACCCAUACGACAUCGGGGAAACUUUUCUCGAUGCAUGUCGAGAGUACCCUUUUCUUGACGCACAUAGACAACAUCAAGCGUAUUCCACUACCGACGUCUUGCCUGUGUCGGCAUGGACAGUGUUGGGAAUAACCCUAUGUUGACGUCUUCACUUUGAUGCGUCGUAGAAAGCUGCCCCGGCGUUGAAAUCCUGACGUUCUAGUUGACGGAGAAUUAUGCGUCGAUAAUACUUUGACUGACACCUUUACUAUUUUUGCCGACGAUUUGUGGUGUUAGAAGUCCUCCGCUUUCUUGUAGUAGGAGUUGCUCACAAGUCCUGACGUGUUAUGAAGUGCGAUGAGAGAGACUGCACCAAACGCGUAUAUGAAUCGACAUUAGGAGCUUGUCCUUACUUUCGACGUCAAAAUGAAGCGCGUUGGGAAAAGGAAACUCCUGACACCGAUUCAUAUACGUGCUAGGAAAUCGUCUCCCAAUGCAUUAUUUCUUUCAACUCGUCUCCUGACGGUCCUGUAUGCGUCGGGAUCCUUUCUAGACGCAUUUGGAUAUAUAUGUCAAUGCUUUUAUGUGUCGAAAGAGCCACUAUUUCUUGUAAUGAUAUUUGAUUCUUUGGUUCUUUCUCUUGAAAAAAUAAAUUUAACUAUUAAAUUUUCUGAUAUUCUUGGAUAAUCAAAUUUAGGCUUGAUGAACUUCUUCAAUGAUUGACCUUUAUUGGGUUUGUUGAUCUUUUAGAGAAUCGACCUUCGAACUUAUUGGUCUUUUCUUAAAUGAUCGGUAUUUAGGUUAGAUGAUUAAUUUGGAUUGAUCAUUGGUUUGGUGAUAUGCUUAGAUUUGCCUUACAAUUUUAAGAGAGUUAUAUUUUUUUGAUCUUAAGAGUUUUGAUCAUAUAAAUUUUAGAUUUUAAGAUCUUUAAAGCCUCCAUCUCCAAAAUUUGAGAACUUCAAAGUUUCAAUUUUUAGAGAAAUCUGUGUGCUUUAAUUUAGUCUUUUAGAAUAAUUUAAGAACGUCGAAAUCUUCCCAGCUUUCAAUUUUUCAGAAGGUGAUUAGUCUCAAGAUUGAUAAGAACUUUAAUGUCUUGAGAGCUUCAAAUCUUCAGAGCUUCGACUUUUCAUCGUCAAUUCUAUGGCCCAAAUUUUCAUGGGGCUUGAAUUCGGUCAGGUUCAAGAUACUUUAAUUAGAGAUAACUGUGAAACUCGCAAAAUAUUAAAUAACAAACUGAAGAAUAGCAAAUCCCCAAAAUAUUAAGAUUUAUAGCAAAAUUGUCGAUUGCAUAAUUUUUUUGACUUUUUUUGACUUUUUGCAUAGAAUAACAUUUUGAGAAUAUGAUAUAGUAAUUAUAGCACGUUGUUUUAGAAUUUUGCAAAUAUGACAAAAACUCUCCAUCUUAAAUUUGUUAUUAUUCUUAAACUGUCAUUCAAUAACUUAUUUCUCUUUCUUUUUUUAAUGCCUUACUCAUUAUUUAUUUAUUCUCUCACUUUUUCAAGUCCUAAUUAUUUGUUUAUUCUUAUACUAUAAAAAUUAUUUAUUAUUUAUGUCUUAAUCUUAAUUUUAAAAUUAUAGUACAAUAAUUGCAAUAUGAAAGAUAAUAUAAUGAUUGUUGAUCGAAGUAAUUUAACUUCAUUUGUGGUUCUUUUUUUUUUUUUUACUUUCUUCGAUGUGUAUUUUAAGUUGAAUAUGAUUCCAAAUGAUUUUAUUUUAUUUUUUUACAUCAAUUUUUUUAUUUUUCUUUGUCUCAGUUUUGUAUAUCAAUAUUGUGAUAUACUUGUAUUAUAUGUAGUAGUCAGUUAAUAUACUUAUUACGUGAUUUUCGAUUUUUUAAAUUUUAUGCAGUUUAUUAGAGUAUUAUUAAGUAUAUGAAUGAUGUAACUCGGUGUAUCAUUAUCAAGAAUAUCAAUAAUAUAUUGUUAAAGCAUAUCAGUAAAGUGAAUCAUUAUCGAGUAUAUUAAUCAAGUUUACAAGUGUAUAUCAAAUCUAUAAGUAGGACUUCAAGAAUAUCAAGUGCAUUUAAUCAAUCAAUUGUAUAAGUGAAGAAUACUAAAUGUAUCUGCAGUGUAACAAGUGUAUCAAACAUAUAUUAGUAAUGUUUUAGGUGUGUAUCAAAAGAUAUCGAGUGUAUCAAAGUGAGUAUCAGGUAGAUCAAGUGUAUCAAUCAAAUGUAUCGAGUGUAUCAAGAAGUAUCAAGUGUAUUAAGGGGUGUAUUAGGUGUAUCAAACGUAUAAUAGUAACGAGGGUAUUUAUGACAUUUUACCUCUUGAUAUGUGGGUCGGGCUUCAAUUUUGCCAUUUUCGCAAAUAAUAAAUUGUGUGUCCUAUAGACUUAAUUAUUAUAAUUUAUUUUGUCAUUUUUUUCAAGUACCCCUUAUAUAAAACAAUUCAUUUCUUACACAUACAGUGAAUGAGGCAGAAUAUCACAAGUUCAUGAAUAUAGUGUAUUUGCAAACAACAUUAAAUUUUGGAAAAUCUUAACUAAAUAUGAUAUUUUCGAGUUUGAUAAGAUUACACCAACAUCCCUAAAUAUAUGACGGUAAUUUAUAUCAUAUUUUUGGAUUCUUAAAAUUUAAAUCAAUUAAUUAACAAUUUAUUGAUAUAAUUCAUAAUAGAUAUGUUUAACAAUAAUGUGAAUUCAAAUUUUAGAUAAUGUCACUAAAAUAAUAGCAAAGAUCAAUUCAAUAGUUUUUGAUUCUUUAUAUUUCAUACUAUUUAUCAAAUCUUUAUUAAAUAAUACAUAAUACAUAUUUUUAAGGUGAUUUUUAAAAAUAAAAUAAUGGACAAACUAUUUCAUGCCCAUAGCAAAAUUUUAAUCCAAGACCAAAAUGGAUAACUAAAAUUUUAACCGAAGCCAAAGUAUUAAUGUUUUUUUUUGCUAUAGGAUGUAAAUACUUUCCAUUUUCUUCUAUUUAUGUAAAUUUAUUACAUGAACACAUCUUCAUUUUUGUCGACGAAAAUAUAUAUGUGGCCAAAAAAGUUGUGUAUUGCGUGGGCACAUCAUCGUCUUUGCCAACAAAAAUAUACAAAAAUAUAUAAGUGGACAAAAAUGUGUGUGGUGAAAAGGAAAAUUUUUAAGUUGGCUUUCUGCCGACAUUUACUUUUGUUUAUCACCACGUAUCGUGUGUUGGUAGAUAUUUUAAAUAUGUGCCCUCAUAAUUUAUGUGGCGAAAAAUCCUACAUUUUUAUACAUAUUUAUGGCGACGCUAGACCUAUACAUACGACGACGCAAGACUUAUAACGUAGGCAUAAGUGUUUUUUUUUAAAAAAAAAAAACCUAAUUUUUCCAAAUAUUUUCCUCCUUUUCUUUUCUCUCACGCAGUUCCUCCUUUACGUGAAUGGCUUGCUGCACCCCAAACACCAAGAUUUUCUUUGCUCACGUUGAUUGCCCAUCUUCGAUUUCACUCCUUGUCGUCACUGCUCUUCGCUCAACGGCUCGCUGCACCCCUUGCUUAUCGAUUUGUAUUAACUCAAAUAAGGUCUGAAUUGUAUUAUUGCAUUAAAAUUUCAGUACCUCAUCUGAUACACAAAAGCAAUAAUUCUCCACUGAAUUCUUAUGAAUUCUUAGUAAUUCUUUGGAUGUAUCUUCUUUUUCAUUUUCCUUACUGUAUUCUCUAAAUAAGAAAUUUUAACAUCCUCCCGAAGUUGAUCAAGGCUAAAAGGCUAGAUGCACAAUUGAGGUAUGUGAGGUGCUUAAAGUACUUGAACUAAUCUCGAGGUUUAGAAAAAACUUUUGCAUUAAACUGUAUGUUAGGAUGAUCGUAGCUUACUGUUCAUCAUUCUUUUACUUUAAGACUCUAGGAUGUGCAAAUAAGUGGCUCAAUCUUUGCAACCAUCCACCAAAUUUAGUUGAAUGUUCCAAGGCAUGGUGGUUAUUGUGUCAACCUUCUCCAAAUCAUAGCAAACUCAACUACCUAUCAAUGGAACAAAAAACAUCUAUAAGAAACAAAUAAAUUGUAAAACUUUUAUUUUGAAUGAGAAAAAAAAUAUCUAUUGAAUAUGACAUUUUUAAAUAUAUUAGUAAUUUAGAAACGUCACGUUGAUAACUCUAUUGAACAAAACAUUAAUUAAAUAGUGACUUUUUAACUAGAAUAAGAAACUUUUUUGAUAGACAUUAAUAUUACGCAUGAAUAUCCUUCAACUAUGAUAGCAAAUCAUGCAUAUAUUUCAUAUUUAUUGUAUGCUUGAAUUAUAAUAUGUUGUGGCUAUCAUAUCGCUACAGUAGCCAAUCAUGUAUAUAUUUUACACUUAAUAUAUGUUUGAGUUAAACUGCUACUUUGGACACGUUUUUCGAUAUUUUGUGUUUGAUUAUGAGUUUAGAAGGCACAUUUGAGCAUUUUGAAAGGAUUUUUUUGGACUUAAAAGGUGAUUUUUAGUUUGAUAUUUAAGACAGUUAGUAGGUGAGUUUUUGUUGGAUUUUAAUUUGAAAGUUACAAUUGGGUUUUUGGUUGUUUUGACAUAUAAAAGGCUACACAAACCCAUUUUUGAGUUAAAGUACCACUUAAACAUUUUGGAGGUGUUUUGGGGGUAGGGAAAGGAAAUGAUUAGUCAUUUCUAUGUAUGGGGGGCAAGAAUUAAGGUGGGAAAGGAAUAAAUUAAUUUCCCACUUAAUCCUUCUCUUUCUUCCAUAAAUACAAUCACAUCAAACUUUUCUCUUUUUUCAAAAUAUAGAUAUGUUUUUCUUAAUAAUUAUAUUUUAACAACUAUAAGUAUCUUUUCACUUUUCCAUAACAAUUUUAUAUAUAUAUCCACAAAUACACAUAAUUAUGAAAUUUCUAUUAAAUAAACACUCCAAGAUAUUUAAUUAAAUUUAAAUUCAACAAUACUAAAAAUCUAAAUCCAAUGGUUAAUUAAAUAUUCAACCCUCGAGUAUUUAAUUAUGUUCAUCCUCAUUUGUUUAAAUCGAAUAUUAAUGAUAUGCAAUAUCUUAACAUUGCACUUACAAUAUCAAAUUUAAAAAAUGGAUAUAAUUUAUUUCGCACGUAACGCAUCAAUUAAUUUAUUGGCAGGAAAACUUUCGUAUAAAACGUACACAAUUGACAUUGUAUUUACGAAAACUAAUAGAGAGCAUGUUUUCCAAUAAAAAAUCGAUAAAUUAAAAUUAUGAAUAUUUGUGUAUUGGAUUUACUAUACCAUUUUUUUUUAAAAAAAAUACAAGAGUAUGAAUUAAAAAAAUAAAUAAAUAAUAAUAAUAAUAAACUUUUUUUUUGUCAUAAUCCUUCCUCUAUAAUCCUUCUCACUUAUUUCUUCCCCGUAUCUUUGAAAAUGCAACAAAAAAAGAAAAAAAAAAGAGGAGCAUAAUUUUUAAUGUAUUGGAUUUAUAUAUCAAAUUGAAUAACACGUUAAAGACAAAUGAAAAAAAAAAUACAAUUUAUUUGUGAACUAAAUUUACAAUACAAAUUUCAAAAACAUAUUUCACACAAAGAAAUAAUAAUAAUACAAUUUGUUUUGUGUAUUGGAUUUAAUUUUUAAAAAAAUAAGAAAAAAAACUACUGUACAAAUGAAAAAAAAGAAAAAAAAAAACUUCACUUUUGAAAUUGUAAUGAGUGUACGUUAAAGUAAUAAAAUAUUUAUACAAAAUCACCAAAAAUAAAAAUAAUACAAAUUUUUGGUGUAAUUGGAUUAGGGUACAACUUAACUGAAAUAAUGAAUUUAAAUACAAUUUUUUGUUGUAAAUGUUUUAUGAUACAAACAGACAAAAGGUUAUACAAAUGCAAAAAAUAUUAGCACAUUUUCAUUUUGUAUUGGGUUCACGAAAAAAAAAACAAGAAUUUCAUACCCAUGAAAAAAAUUAGUUUUUUUCGUACAAUUUUUUUUACACAAAUGAAAAAAAAUACAAAUUUUUUUAACAUAAUCUUUAUCCAGAGAAAUAUUAUAAAUAAUCUCUCAUAAUCCUUCCAGUUAUUCCUUCUCCCCAAACAACGAUUAGAAAUAAUCAUUUUCUUUUCAUAAUUCCCCUUUCCUUAUUCAUUUCCCCUCAUUUUCCUUUCCUUCCCCCAAACACACCCAAAAAGCUAAUAUGUUAUGGUAAUUAUUGCUAUAGGGUCAACUUUUUGUUCAUACUAUUUGAAGAUGAAUAAGGAUUGGAUUAAACUAAAAAAUAGAUUUUCAAGUGAUUAUGUUGAUGGAGUUUCUUAAUUUAUGGAAGUGGCUAAGUGUCAUGUAAAUGAUGUAGGAAAAACUAGGUGCACAUGUAAGUAUUGUCAAAAUUCAAUGACACAAACAUUGGAUGGAGUAGAGCAUCAUUUAUUUGCGAAUGGAAUAUCUUCUUUAUAUGAUAAAUGUAUUUAUCAUGGAGAAGCAAUGAACUUUGCUAGAUUUGAACAGAGUACUACUUCGUUAGAAAGUGAUAGAUUAAGUAGAGAGUCUGAUGUUGGCAACAAGGACGAUGAUAUUUUAGAUCUUUUAACUGACUUGCAAGGUUCAAUGAUAGCAAGGGAAGAAAAUUUUGAUGACGGAGAUGUAAGUUUUGAUGAUGAAUUUUCAGAAGAUGUUGAUGACAUGGACACUAGUAACAUUUUUAGGAGUUGAUGAAUGAAACACGUAAACCGUUGUAUCCUGGAUGUACCAACUUUUUCUCAUUAAAUUUUUUGGUGAAGUUAAUGCAAAUCAAGAUUCUGAAUAAUUGGAGCAACAAAUCGUUUGAUAUGCUAUUAGAAUUGUUGAAAGAUGCAUUUUCAAUCGGUACAUUUAUAACUAAAUCAUUUUACGAAGCUAAGAGAAAAUUAUGUGACUUAGGGUUAGGAUAUGAUUUCAUCCAUGCUUGCAAAAUAUGACGGUAUAUUAUUUCGAAAAGAAUUUGCUAAUUGUCAAAGUUGUCCACUAUGCAGUAAAUCUCGAUAUAAACAGAGAGUGAAAAAGGAAAGAAGAUUCCAAAUAAGGUUUUGCGUCACUUUCCACUAAUUCCAAGGAUGAAACUAUUGUUUUUUAAUCAAAAUAUAUCGCUUCUAAGAUGAGAUGGCAUAACGAUAAACAGAGGAUGUUUUACGACGAUAUCUAGCUGAUGAUGUAGAAUGGAAGCACUUCGAUAGAGAAUUUUCUCAAUUUUCCUCAAAGCCAAGAAAUGUUCGUUUAGGCUUAGCUUCACACGAUUUUAAUCCAUUUGGGAAUAUAAGUACUGCAUAUAGUAUGUGGCUAGUGGUGCUUAUACCAUACAAUUGUGGCUAGUGGUGCUUAUACCAUACAAUUUGUCCCUUGGAAGUACAUGAAGGAGUCCAAUUUUUUCAUGUCUUUGUUUGUACCUGGACCCAAAUCUCAUGGGAAAGAGAUUGAUGUAUAUUUGCAGCCCAUAAUUGAUGAGUUGAAAGAGUGGUGGAAUAAUGGUGUGCGAGCGUUUGACUGUACAUAUGAAGAGUAUUUUCCAUUAUAUGCAUGUUUGUUGUAGACCAUCAAUGAUUUUCCUGUAUAUGGUGACUUGUCGGGAUGGAGUACGAAAGAAUAUCAAGCAUUUCCUACUUGUAAAUAAGAUACGUCAUCGUUUGGGAUAAAAGGAAAAAUAUCUUUUAUGGGACACCAACGUUAUCUUUCUUCUAAUAAUAGUUGACGUCGAAGUCGACAAUAUGACAAAAAAACCCGAACGCAGGCCUCCACCAAUUGUAAUGAGGGGAGAUGAGACCUUACAACAAAUAAACUCCAUGAAUUUUCCAGUGCUAAGUAAGCAUUCAUCCAAGAUGAAUAAGAAAUGAAAACAUACUAUUAAUUGGAAUAAGAGAAGUAUAUUCUCUACACUUCCGUAUUAGUCUAAACUUCUUUUGAGACAUAAGUUGGAUGUCAUGUAUAUUGAAAGAAAUGUUUGUGACAACUUGCUUGACACUUUAUUAAAUAUUGAUGGUAAAACAAAGGACACAAUCAAUGCUCGUUUAGAUUUAGGAGACUUGAAUAUAUAAAAAGGAAUUACAUUUGCAAAGGCAAGGAACUAAGCUGAUAAAACCACAUGCUACGUCUACAUUAACCGGCACCGAAAGAAUAGACUUUAUAAGUUCUUAAAAUCAAUUAAAUUUCCUAAUGGAUUUGUCUCAAAUAUAUCACGAUGUGUGAGUGUCAAUGAUGGAAAAUUAUAGGGACUAAAGACUCAUGACUCUCACAUUUUACUCUAAUGACUUAUUCUCAUUGUUGCACGAGCAUACUUACAUAAGGGUGUGUGUACAACUAUCGUUGAGUUAUGUAAUUUUUUUCAUGAUUUGUGUGCGAAGACAAUACAUAUCAGUGACCUGAAUCGUCUGAAAGCCAAUAUUGUGAUCAUACUCUACAAAUUUGAAAGAAUUUUUUCACCUGCGUUUUUUGACGUAAUGAUACAUCUUGCAAUUCAUUUACCGGCUAAGACAAAGAUUGUUGGUCCAAUAAUCUAUAGUUAAAUGUAUCCCAUAGAAAGAAGCUUACGAACAUUAAAACAAUAUGUACGAAACAAAGCUUGUCAUGAAGGUUCCAUAGCAGAAGCAUUUCUUAUGAAUGAAUGUUUGACCUUCUACUCGAUGUAUCUAACAGGAAUAGAGACAAGAUUCAGUAGGAAUUCACGAAAUGAUGACUCAAUGAGCAGAAAACUUGGUUGUGGGGACUUUGAUGUAUUUAAAUAAAAUAUGUGACUAAUGGAGGGGUCAAUUGUGAGGACGCUAUCUGAAGAAGAGAGACGAAUGUGUCAUUGGUAUGUUCUGAACAACUGUUCUCAAAUAGAAUCGUAUCUCAGGUACAUUUUAUACAUUCAUUUACUUGUCAGUUCAUAGUGUAUAUAAGUAAGUCGAAAUUCUUUUUAAUAUUUAAUAUGAUUGAUAAGCAGAGAAAAUUUGAGUUUGAUAAAUACCAAAUGAGAGGAUGGACUAGAUUUAUUUAGAAGGCACCAAUUAAAAUUUCCUAAUUGGUUUAAUGUACAUGUAAGUGUUGUUUUUAGCUUCAAAGUAUGAUGUUUUACUAUUGAGGUAUUAGUAGUUAUUCUAACCCACAUAAUAUUAUGUAGAUGUAUUCAUUACGUGAAAAAGGUGAAGCAUCUGAUGAUCUUUACUCCAUAGUGUUGGGCCUAUUAAUCAAGUUCGCACUUACAGUGGUUGCUUUGUAAAUGGAUUACAUUUUGAUUCAAUAAAGCGUGACAAUCGCCAGACUACUCAGAAUAGUGGAAUCAUGGCAUAUGGAGAAACCAAAGCCGACAAAACGGAUUACUAUGGUCUAUUGCAAGAGGUCUUGGACUUAGAAUACCCUAAGUGUAGACGUGUAUGUCUUUUCAAAUGUAAUUGGUUUGGAACCGAUGUUAAGAAGAACAAAUUUUGUUCUAAUUUAGGCUUUAAAAUAAUUAAUACUUCUCGUUUGGGUACACUGAUGACCCAGACAUAUUAGUUACACAAGUCGUGUAGGUUUUCUACACUGACGACCCAAAACUCCGCAAUAAUUGAAAAUUUGUGCAAAAUGUCCAAAAUAAACAAGUAUGGGAUGUCCCAUAAGUUGAAAAAUUAGAAAAAGAGUUGUUAGAAGCAUCUAGUUCAAUUGGGUUUGAUAAAUCCAUACAUGAUAUCCCAUUUUGUAGAGGCGAUGUUAAACCUACUGUUUUUUAUAAUCAAGAGAUAGAUAAUCAAGAUCAAUCCCCAAUCGAUGACGACUUUAUAAAUGACGAACCUGAACAACUAGAAUCUUUGGAUUCAUAUGGUAAUGAAUAAAGGGUAUAUAUUAUAUGUUUAUCAAAUUUAUUUACGACAUGUUAUUUUAAAGUCUAACCACUAAUAAUUAUUUUUGCAGCAUAAUGGUACAUACAGAUCAAGCACAAUUGGCAUUGACUGAAGUUGAACAAACAAACACUACACCAGUUGAUCCUUCCACUCAUCAAGACGGUAUUAAUAUGAUAUGUAAGUUUAUUUCUUAUACAUUACUGAAAUGAUCUAAAAAUAGUUUUACUUUUAGGAUAUCAAUCACAAACUAAAAAGUGAGGAAAUGAUGUGAGAGGAUACGGUCCAAACAUAGAAUUGGACAAAUUUGUAGAAAAACGUGGAAAGAUCAAGAUAGAGAUUAACAAAGAGGAAGAAAAACCAAUGACGGCAUUUGCCCCUAAAAUUGGGUUAGGCAUUGGUACUGUCGUUCGAAACACUAUUCCAUUGAGUUGAGGGAAUUGGGAGGCGGUACCUAUAGGCGUAAGGAAGCUCGUGAUUGAUCGGUUGGAGGUAUGUUUAUGUUUAAUUUAUGCCUUCUUAUAUUGUUUAAAUGUAAAAGUUGUCCAUUUAUACAUAUAUUAUUAAAUAUGUAGACAAAUUUUGAAUUUGACCCAACUGACAUAAUUGUGAGAAAAUACUUAGAAAAAAAGAUGCAUAAUACUUUUAGAGAUCAAUUUAGAGCAGGUUUGAAUUGUAUGUACUUGAGUUGAAAUAUUUUGUGGCUAUCCUGCGGUGGCAACCAAUCAUACAUACAUGACAUUUUCAUAAGAACUGUCCACGUUUCUCUGUAUCGGUAAAGACGAAUAUUCUUGUAGUGUUUGUUGUUGGACAAGAUUGCAACAACCUCCUAUAUGAUAAUGGUAAAUAUAUAUACAAGAUUUUCAGGUUUGUUAUAUUUUAAAAAAUUUAUUAAAUACUACAUAAUAUAUAUUUGAAUAACAAUUUGAAAUUAAAUUUUAGAUACUCCUCAUAGAAUAAUGCCAAAUAAAAAUACAAGAUUUUCAGCUAUUUUAUAUUUUUAAACAAUUUACUAAAUAAUAUAUAAUAUAUUUUUAAUAACAAUUUGAAUUUGAAUUUUAGAAUUGUAAUUAUGUCUCAAUGGGACUUUUGCAAUUAUUUGAAUCUUCUUCUUUUAUGUUUUAUUUGAGAAAAAAAAAAAAAAAAAAAGAAGAUUGAGAGGGGGGCAACCGAUGCAAGAGACAAACACUGUGUGAGAGAGAAAUUUUUUCUUUUAAACAAGAGAGAAGAAAAGUGCGAUCGACAGAGAGAAAGACGUCGGAGUUUCGACGUUAGUGGCUAUGGGCAUCUGACGGCAUCUGACGUUGGUCAUGAGUUUGCGGCAAGUUCUGACGUUCUGGCGUUUGUUGGAGUCAGAUUUAGCCAACUUUCAUGGAUUUAGCUGCAAGCAGGAUGAUAGAAGGCUCGAGCAGUGUUUAUGGUGAGUUUCAUCGUUCAUGUUUUGUUUUUCAGCCUUGGUUCUUCUUAGGGUUUUCAGUAGGUUAUUCGACAUGUGAGUCUCCGGUCGGAGGAGCCGGCAAGAUGAAAAUUUCACAAUCUUACGUCAGAGGAGCCAACAAGAAGAAAAUCCAAGUAUGAAGAGUUUGAAGAGUUUGAAGGGGACGAGCUGGAAACUCCAAUAGUUUCUGCAACUAUGGAAGUUUGAUGUUGAUAUGUGUUAAUUGUGUGUUGGGAGUAAGAUUUUAAUUAUAGGGUAUUUGUGGUUUGUUUAAUAAUUAUAUUUAGGAUUCAAUUUUUUUUAUUUAGGUAUGGGCAUUUAAGACAUUUGUUCGUGCAAUUAUUUUCUUAUACUUUUUUAUUUUUCUAUUUUAUCAAUUUAAAUAAAGAUUUGUUGUUAGAGAAAUGUGUGAGAAUGGCAAAAUAACAUUGUGGUGUUUGGAAAAUAGCAAACAUAAAAAGUAAUUUGAUUUUUAGCAAAAUUGCAAAAGAUAUAAUUUUUUUUUGAGAAUUUUUCAACCGAUUUUAUCUCUUGAUAGGAUGACUAUCAUUUUGUUAAUUACAAUGUAUUUGUGAACCGUAAAAUAAUAAAACAUAACACAUAAUUACGAUUACGAUGCAUUUGGAUAUCAUUCAAUUUUGUAAUAAUAUUAAAUAAAUAUUUAUUUUAUCUAUUAAUCUCAUUUAACUAAAUUAUAGAUUCAUGUCUUAAAUUUAUAACAGAUUAUCCUAUUACUUAAUUGUAGGUUUUGUUGGAAGAUUAAAAUUUUAAAAUUUAAAAUAAUAUCUUUGGUUUAAAAUUAUGCAUUUUAUAUAAUAACAACUUCAUAUAAAUGGUGUAUUUUUCCUAUAAUUAUGCAUAUAGCAAUUAUACCAUAUUCGACCAUAUUAAUAAUAAUAAAUUGUUAAGCAUUAUUUUAGAGAAUAAAUGGUAACAUAACGAUAAUGCAAUCUUAUUAUAUAAUUAUCAUUAAAUUAGGAACAUUUUCUAUAGAUAUUAUUUACUACCAUUUAAAAAUUGAGUUUAAAUUCUUGCAAAUUCUCCUAAAAUCGUAUUAUUACAUUGAUCUCCCUAAAAUAAUGACAAACAUAGAUUUAACAUUUUUGGAUUAUUUAUAUUCCAAAAUAUUUAUAAAAUUACCCUAUUUAAAUUUUGUAUUUAAAUACCUCCAAAAUACAUAUUGCUCGUAACAAAUUGAAUUUAAAAUUUUAUCUUCCUCAAAAAUUGUGCUAAUUGGUUGAUUUUUAUUUUUAAAAAAUUGUUUUAUUGUGCCAAUGGUAGAAAUAAUUAUUUUCAGACGUGUUUUUAAAUUACGUUAAUAUCUAUGUUUAUUUUCAUCUAGUAAGAGUCUCAAACACACCAUAAUUGUGAUUCACAAUCUUAUAAUUUUAUAGUCAUCUAUUAUACAAACAUAUUUCAAUCAGCAGAUUUGGAAUACACAAAAAAAGAUAAAAAAAUUUGGUCAUCAAGAUGUAGUAUCAUUACCUAUACAAUUUAUUUCAAUAGGUCAAAAAAACGAGAUAUGAUAUUGAAAAUAACAUAAAUUUACUUUAUUUUGUAAAUAACAUUCAAAUUUGAUAAAUCUUAAUUAAACAUGUUAUUUUGUACAAUUUAUUAAAUAAUACAUGAUAUAGUUUUAAUAACAAUUUGAAUUUAAAUUUUAGAUCAUUCCCUAAAAUUAUAUAUAAAUCCAAUAAUUUCACUUUUUUAUAUUUUUAGCCAAUUUUACUUGUAUAGAGGAAAAUUCUUAUCUUAUUGGUAUAGUGUACUUGUGUAGGUUAAAAUGAUGAAAUAUAACUCAGAAUCACGAAUAUAUUGUAUUUGCAAAUCAUUAAGUUGUGUAAAAAUAUUAAAUAAAUAUUUAUUUUCGAAAUGAAUUUGAUUGAAUCAACAUCCCCUAGAUUUAAAGGCUGCAAUUUAUUCUAGAUUUUCUUGUUUGUUGGUUUCAAAUCAAGUAAUUAACAAUUUAUUUAGUUGUGGUUGUUCAAAUUAAAAUUGUAUCUUACCCCUAUAAUUAUGAUGCAUUUAAUGUAUAUAUGAUUAUUCUAAUAAAGUUUUGAUAUUCCUCUAUAAUCAUGAUACUUGAUUGAUUUCCUAAAAUGAUGUCAAACAUAAUUUCAAAAUUUUGGGAUUAUCUUGUUAAUAUUCUUUAUCUAUUCUCCAUAAUUGUUAUUUAAAAAUAGAUUUUAAAUUUUGAUUUGAAACCGUCAAAAUAUUAAAAUUGAUUUAAAAAUUUAUAAAAAUAGUUAUUGUUAACAAUAAUUUGAAUUUAAAAUUUUGUCAUCCCUAAAAUCAUGCUAAGAUAUCUUUAUAUCUCCAAAAUAAUAGCCAACAUAAAUUUAACAGUUAUUUAUAUUCUAUUAUAAAAAAUAAAUAUUUUAAUUUUGGAAGGAAUUAAUUGAGAAGAAAAGAUUUGUUUUAUUUAAAUUGUAAAAGAAAAAAAAAAGAAAGUGAAGAUAUUUAAGGGAAAAUAAUAAUAUAAUAAUAUUACUAUUACUAUUCAUCAUCUUCGUCACUCUCACCAAACCCUGACUGCCGCUGACACCUCCAUCUUCGUUCGCCAUCCCAUCCAUUCUGUUGAUCGAGAACUAAACCGCAAGGAAACAUCUCCUCUGUUGCACGCCACUAGUCGCAUGUUUACUUCAUCCGAAGUCAAGCGUCUUUGUGCCGCUUGUUCAUUCGCAUCGCGCGUCGCACGCUCAGCCGCGUCGAUCUCCUUUGUCUGCAUUCGUUCACUGGUUAUACCAAAACUUCCAGCCACAAAACUUCCAGUCACCGUCAAUCCCCGAAUUUUAGUGACUCUGUUGUUGUGGGGGUUUUGUGACAUACAAUGUAUCUUUUCUAAAAUUCAAGUUGAUAUAUUGUUGCUAUAAUUUAACAAACGAAGAAGAAAAUCCAUUGAAGAAGCUCACUUUUGCGCGAAACGAAAAAGAAUCUAUAAUCGGUUUGAUGAAGAAGAUGGUUGGCAAGAAGAAAUUUUUUUAAUUUGCAGUAAAUGUAUAAAGACUUUGAAGGUUUUGAAGAGGACGAAGCUUAAAGCUCUAAUAUUUUCUGCAAAUGAUCAAAGACUUUGAAGAUUUGGUAGAAUCUACGAAAGUAGAAGGUAAUGAAGUUGGAUUCUUUUCGGCUUUGAAUACCUAAACAUACACAAUUUCAACAAGGAUGUGUUAUUUAAUUACAAGGUAUUUAGGUUUUAGGUAAACAAUUCCACAAUGGACUUAGCGUUUUUGUGAUGUCAGGACGAAUCUUAAAUUAAUGGCCAAAAGUUCUUAUUCAAUCCGAACUACAAGCGAGUAUUAAAGAAAAGAAAUGAAAGCAAGGGCGAGAGAAGAAACGGAGGUGAUGGAGCAUAAAUUAAAACGAUUUUGGUCCAUACACUAAUCACAAAUUACAUUUUAAAUAUUUUUUGUUUUCUUGUUAGGUUUAUCUCUUGCUUUUCUUUUUCUCUUUUCCUUCCUUCAAUUCAAAGGAUUUUUUUCAAAAUAUUUAUAAAUAUAAAAAAAUAGUACUUUUAAUUAGCCAUCGAUGGUGAUAGGCUUAUCUAUGUGACGAUGGACCUAGAUUGCAGUCUAUCUUGAUUUAUUAUUAAUAUAAUUGUGAUAUUUUGAUAUAUUUAGAAAUUUUUUCAUUUAAAAUAUUUUUCUUGUUAUAUUUUGAGUGUGUAUAAAUAGAUUAAAAUUAAAGGGUAAAAAAGGGACAAAAGGACAAAAAGAAGGGUAAAAAAUAAAAAGAAACGUUAGGAAAAAGGGGAAAAGAAAACAUGACUAAAUAAUAAUGAGAAAAAAGAAUGGAAAGAAAAUAAUGCAUUAAAUUAUAAAUUUGGUCGAUGAGCUUUAACAUCCGUGUUUAUCUUGUCCUUAAACUACCAAACUUACAAACUUUAGUUCUCGAUCUUUUAAGUUUUAUCAAAAUUUUCAUAAUCUAUUAAAUAAAAUAAAUUAAGAAUUAAAGUUGGGAUGAAACACAAAAUCAAAAUUCAAAGACCAAAAAUUAAACACAAACCAGCUACGAGUUUAACAACUAGAUUUAUAGGAGAACCAAAACACAUAAAUUAAAAAAUAUGAAUAAUAGAUUCAUAAACUUUCAUCAUAUCCAAAACCCUAAACCUAAAAUGAGGGAACACAAACUAGACAUGACCAAAACUAUUUUUUCAGAAGUACCAAUAAUAGAUUUGAUCACAUGACCAAACUUAGAGCACAUGUUCUUUCUAAAAUAUAUCCAAAGGGUAGCCCUACCUGCGUGAUUUGUUGAAGUAUACUCUCUUGGGGACCUCAAAUAAUUAAAUUACUUUUUCCAUUGUUUUAUCUUUUGUGUGGAUUUUUUUCUAAAAAAAUUUCACGUGAAGAAAGAAGGCCUUAGCUAAGCUCCAAUAAUUCAACUUGACAUUGUACCCUAUGUAGUAAUCCAAGAUUUCAAAUAAAAUGGCACGUGAAAAGUUAGUUUUUUUUUCUUUCCCAACUUGUGAUUAUAUCAUUUUGGAACCUAUCGUUCUUAGCAUUUAGUGCUAGAUGAAGACUCAUUUGCCGUAUAUUUGAAAGGAGAGGUACGUUGACGCUCCUUGUUUCUCUCAUGUUACAAUCCUCUUUUGUUUGAAACCUAUUUUAAUUCAAUCCACAAACACAAUAAUAGAGGAUUGAUAUCAACCUUUCAUUAUGGAAGAUAGAAAUUUUGAAAUGAAUCUAGCAAAAAAACAUAGAAGUCAAGCACGAUGUUGUGGUAGAUAAUGAUAAGCCAAUGAGAGCAUAGAUGGAAAUACACCUAGGAUGGUAACCCAAUUAGUGAGUGUAGUCACCUAUUUCGAAGAUUAGUGUAUUAGAUAAAGAGUCGAGAGAUUAUCAUUUCAAUGGUAAACUCUCUCUUUAAAAACUAUUGUCACACACAAUAUUUUUUUGGUAGCCUUAAAUGAAAUCUCAUCAAUACAUCAACUACUCAUCUUGAGUUUUCACUUUCACCUUUAACUAAUUCGACAGUACAUGAAGCCAAGUAAUAAUACUUGGUCAGAACAAAAACUCAUAAAUUAUAGACGAAAGCAGGCAGGGAAGCAAUUCAAACUUGACUUUAAAGCACAUGUAACCUGUUAUAUGUAAAGUAGUAAUAGCGGCAAAAUUUUAGGGUUUUAGUGUUUUACACAAUAUAGGUUACUCUAAUACCAUGUCAAACAAUGUAAAUUUUCUAUCUUAUUUCACUUAGAAAGAGGGGAUUUCUUAAAUAUGUUUGGAGAAUAUAAUAAAAUAAAUACAAAAAAAUAUUAAAGAAAAAGGAAACAAUCAAUUAAUUCAUGAUUCAUGGUUGUUUCAAGCAUUACACAAUAAACACUUCAAAACACUAAAAUUAUUAGUAAAUACAAAGAGGUUUAUUCGAAACACGUUAAUUAAUUAAUUAACUUGAGAUUAAAAACUAAAUAGUCGACCCACACCUUUCAUGCAAUUGACAAAAAAGAAUAUUCAUCUAAUUUUUUAGUGUCUGAAUUGAUAACUUUUCUUAAAUUGAAGUUUCAUUAACAGAGAGUUCAUUCUUUAUAUAUAAAAACAUACUUAAAAUUGGUUAUAUAAAAUUUUUAUUCAACAUAUAAUAUGUAAGUGAGGAGAUGGAUUGUUUGAAUUCUCUUAUCUAAUUUUAUACUAUUUACUAACAACUAUUAGAAAGUAAAGGAAAUUUAUUUUCAAACCCCACCAUUACCUUUUAUUACCUUAAGAAAGGACAUAAACAUAUAACCCUCAAAAUUAAACCUUUCACAAAUCUUUUCAUCCUGCACACUUCACCAUGGCAAAAAAAAAGAGAAAGAUAUAAGGAAAAACAUAACAAUGAUAAGUUCACACUAACAAAUUAACUCUAAACAACAUUAAUUUUACUUCCCUACACCCUCAACUCUAAACCCUCCAAAACUAUAAUAUUCCCCAAAACACAAUAUGAAUAUAUACCACUUGGCCCAAAACCACCUCCUAGGGUUUUUUAGUGGCUUCUCAUUCUAUGGUGUUUUAGGGGUUACGUACCUUACCUUCCUGAAAUAUUCACGAGGGUUUUUUUUAUUAGGGGUUUCUCUUUCUAGGGUUUUUAGGGUAAUCGGGGAUAGUUCUUAACCAGCGCGGUACUGCCACAAGCCAAAGCCUUCGGCGGAAUCAUUCCCACCAUAUGAACUCCUUCGGCAAACACAACUCCCAUUCCCAUAUGCAAAUGAGGUUCAAUAUGGCAAUGGAACGCCCAAACACCUGGGUUAUCCGCCACAAAUCGAAUCGCCGUCCACCCAUAUGGGAAAAUCACCACUGUGUUCCUCAACGGUGGAUUUUUCAAAUUCAGUUUCUUCUCAUCCUCGGGGGCGUAAAAUUUCCCCUCUCCAUACCCCAAAACCCAAAAAUCAUGGCCAUGCAAAUGCCAAGGGUGAAUCUCACUCAUAUUGGGGUUUAACAUAUUAGCGUUUUGUAGAAUCACAUCUACCGUUUCCCCCAUAUUGAACUUGUAAACGCCGUUGCCCGUUGUCGUUUCAGGGUUCGGCGGUGGGUUGUUGAUGUCGUAGUUCAAUGGGAAUGUUUCUGGUGGUGGAUUUUGGUUGAAGGCAGUGUUUAGCCUCAUUUUCAUGGCGGCGAGGUACGGCGUUGGAGGGAGAGCUAAAGAGACAUUGUUGAUGGCCCAUUUCAUGAACCCGUUUAUUCGAUUUUGGGUGUUGAGGAGGAAGAGUCGGCGGUUGUAUCUCACCGGUGGCUUUGGACUGCCCAUGGCAGCGAAGAUUCUGAAUGUGAAGUUUUUGCUCCGAUCAAAAUCCUCCCAGUGGGGGGUUUCCGGAGGUGGAGAAAUGGGUAAUUUGGAGGCGGAGUUGGGGAGGUAAUUGAGGAGGGUUAGUCCUGGAGGGGUUUUGGGUAGCCGUGCGCGGACGCCGAUGGAUACCCAGUAAUUUUCCAAUGGGUUUUGGUCGGUGGUAAUGAGGACGGAGUAUGACUCGCCGGAAUAAAUGUCGAUGUCGGAAGUGACAAAUGGUUGAACGUAGUUGCCGUCGGCUUCUACCACUAACAGUUCGUGAUUCUGCAGAAGAAGAGGAGAAAAUAAUUAUUAAAAUUAGUUUUAAAUUCAUGGAUAAACAUUAAUGUUGAAAGUUGAAGAUAUUAUUUAGUGAAAAAUUAAAGUUUAAAAAUCUAAAAUUAAAUGGAAAUGAACAAUUUGAAACUUAUAAACUAAAAAGGAGAUUAGAAUUUUUUGUUCAUAAUUAUUCAAGUUUACUUUUGAUUAUUUUUAUUUUGAUUUUCAAUUACUAGUUUGAAGCAUGAAUAUGAAUUAUUAACAUUCUAACAUGCAAUUAUUCUAAAAAGGACAAAACAAAAAUGAAAUUUUGAUCCAUUUCUUUCACCACUGAAAAAGGCUAAGAUUUUGUUUUGUGUAAUUAUUAUGUGCAUAAUUAGAGAGAGAUGGACCUCAUUUUGUUAUACCUUUGACAAGGAAUUAAAUAAAUCUUCAUACUUAACAUACUAUAGAUUUCAUUUAAGUGUAGAAAGAUUUGUAUUUAGUACUCUACUUUUUUAUUAUUUUUCUCCCUUUCCUUUUUUGUUUAUUAUUAUUAUUAUUAUUACUUUCUUUAUAAUUUUCUUUUAAAAAACUAUUCUAUAUCACCCAACUUUUAUAAAUAUUUACUAAUAUAACAAAUUGAUAUCGAUCUAUCAUCUAACUUAGUCUAUCAUAGUCCAUUUUCCAUAAUAGAUAAAAUAUGAAUUUUGCUAUAUUUUGUAAAUAUUUUGAUUUAUUUUAUUAUCAUCUAAAUUGAAUUUUAAAAUAAUAUUUUAUUAUUUUUUUAAUAGUUUUUGUACCCUAAAUUUAAUAAUAUAUUAUAAAAUCUUGUUUAGAAUUUUGUUUCCUAAAGUAUAAAUGUAGAUCCCCACCACAGUACAUCUAGAUCUCAAACAUUUAUGUGGUAACCUUCAACUUUAACAAUUAUUCCAUAAAACAUCUUCCCCAUUAUUAAAAUAAAUGAUAAAAAAAAUGAGGCAAUAGUUUAGAUAUAAAAUCAAAAGAUGGGAUAAGAUCACAUAUUAUUUUAAUCAAAUUAUACAAAUUUAAUCAUAGUAGUUGGGAUAAUUUUAGGAGUUAGUUCCAUAGUUUAUAAAUUACAUAUAUUAUUCACAACUAUUAGCAUUUAUUUCAUCUAGAAAGAAGCAUUAAAACUAUUUAUAAUGUAAAAUCACCUUGGUACCUCAAGGGUCACAUCAAUAAAUAAGAAUAAGAUAUAGUAAAUAAUAUCACUUAUGCUUUACAAUUUCUUACAUAUUUGUUACUUCUCAAGUGGGUUUAUAUAUGUGUGUGUAUAUAUAUAUAUAACUAAAUAAAAGUAUGAUUAAAAUUCUAUAUUAAUAAAAGUACAUAUAUAGAUAUUUUAAGUUUAAGAGUAACAAUCAACUCUCAAGUAAUAUUUUUAAAACAAAGUGAAGCAUUUAAGUGUUAUAUAUAUAAUUGGAUUAGAAAAAGAAAAGAUAAAAAGUAAUAUGAAUAGGACAAGAAAGAUGGGAGCAAAACAUGUGGGAUACCUAAGAGAAGAGUUGGUCAAUGGGAAUCACAUCAUAUUAUCAAUACCAAUAUGUCCAAAAUGUCAGAAAUGUUAGAUUAGGUUAUCUAUUGUUUGUACUCUCCCAAACACUGCUACAUGUGUUUAAAAGUAAAUUUAAAUAUUAUCUCUUAAAUUGCUAUUUUUAAAUACAAUGAAAUAUUAUUAUAUUAUAAAAUUUUGUUAUAUUUAUAAAUAUUUAUGUAAAAAUUUAUAUAUUAAAGGUGGACGUGGAUUAAAAUAGAAGAGAUUUAAUGUAAAGUUUAAAUAUCAAAACGAAUAUUUUAAAGUAUAAUGUGAUAUAUUAUACUCCAGAAUUCAAACCCUAAUAUUCUUAUAGUCAAUUUUGAAAGGAGGGUAAAGUUGAUAAAAUGGCUUUUGAUUGUUUGGUAGCUAUUAUUCUCACUAGUGAAAGAGAAGUUUGUGUGUUUUGGUUAGUUUCCUCUCUCUCUCACACACACACAUAUAAUAUAUAUUUGCUUUCACUAACUACUCCCACUUUUAGGACUUUAUGAGUCAAAACCUUUGAAAUUAUUGGAAGUAAUUUUCAAACAAAAAGCAACUUUCAUACUUCUAACACCUUUUUAACAUAUGGUUUGAUAAAGCUUAAUUAUUUCUUUUGUACAAUUUGUCAUUGGAUGGAGUUACUUUAUCAUGUUUCUUUUAGAUUCAUUCGUCGUGAUUGAAAUUGAACUACUUAUUAAUUUACUCGUUGAGGCUAUUUGAGUGAUUUUUGGAUGUUUAAUUGUUUAAAUUUGAUGAUUUUCGACUGUAAUAUCGAUUUAGAAAGUUUAUUUGGUCAUUACUAAAGGUUAAAUAUCUUUGAAAACUGCUACAAUUAUUUAAAAUUGAAAGAUUAAAUCAUAGAAAAUACCUCAAAAUUGUCAUUUGUUUAAAAAAAAUUAUACCUUCAAAAGUUUAAUACAUACUAAACGUGGAUGGAAUGAAGGUGCAUCGAACUAUACACCAAAACACACAUCCAAUGCCAAAAGUGAAAAUAUUUCAAAAUUACUACGAAAUAUUUACGAAGGGUUAGAGGUAACACUUGAAGGUUUCAAUAUUACUUCUAACUUUCAUAAAUAUUUUAAAAUUUCCUUCGUGACAUGUUAAUGAUGUGACAGUGACCCGUUUUAUUACAUGAUUUCAAGUUUAAUUUUAUGUAUAAGUUAAUACAAUCACAAUAGUUUUGAAAAGACUAGAUACCUAACUUCAAUAUAAGAUAAUUUUGAGACAUUCAUGCUAACAAUUUUGUUACUAAUUUUUUAAUGUAUUUAGUCUUUAUGUUUUAAUCCUUUACCGUUCGAUAAAAAUUUCAUUAAAUAUAUUCAAUCUAAUUUAAAGAUUUUAUCGAAUCAUAAAAACUAAAUUCUACUUUUUUUACGUGAUACGACUAAAUUUGUGACUUAAACCAAAAUGAAAGAUAAAAAGAAGCAAGACUUACUCCAAUGGCAAAGUUGAGGGAAGCCAAGGCAGUGGUACUAGCAAUUCUUAUCCGAUAAGUUUUCUUGGGUUGAACAUGUAGGAUAAAUGGUGCACAUUUUUCUUUUCCACUCAACUCACAUUGCUUCAAACCUUGGUUGUAUUUGGCUGCUAUUGAACAGUCAAAUUGCCCUUUCCCAUUUAUCAAUAUGCUCUGAAAAAUAGUAAAAACACACAAAUAUACGAAGUUACAAUAUUAUUCUUGAACAAAUGUGAAGUAUAUAUAUAUAUAUGCAGAAUUUUAGAUGGAAAUUAAGACUGGAGAUGAAAUGUAUGGUGUUGGCAUGACAAAAUUUUACUUUAUCUUAUAUUCUCCCUAAAUGAAUUUUCAAAAUUUCGUAUUUUGUUUGUGUUAUAUAAAUUGAAUAUAUUUCAAACAAGGGAGGAUUGAUUUUGAAAGUGGGAGAAUAUAUAUAUUUUCUCCAAAUAUUUUUUUCUUUUGUUAGGAGCUAUGGCUUAACUUAGUACAUGUAUAUAUAUAUGUGUGUGAGAAAAGAUAUACAUGUGUUGUUUUAUCCUUGUAGUUUGAACAUGGUGUUCUUUUAAUUAGAUUAUACAUUAGAAAAUUAUUGAAAAAAUAUUACAUUAUAUUGAUAGAUGUUGAUAAAAUUCUAUCAAAUUCUAUUUGUGCAUUGAAAUUGUGAUCAAAUUUAAAAAAAUUUAUUUUUAUAAUGUAUUGGUUAAUUUUGUUUUUUAAAAAUGUUCGAUAUAUAUACUUAUCUUUUAUACCUAAACAAAGAAUAUUUUAAUUUAUUAAGCUUUCUUUUUAAACAGUGGAUUAUUAUAAGAAAAAGAAAGAAAAGAAAAGAAAUGGUCAUUGAAUUAGUUAAUAAUUUAAAUUAAGGAAAUUGAUUUAAGGGUAAGAAGGACAAAUUAUAUACCCACCAACCUCUCAAGUCUAUUCAAUCUACUAACUUUUCUUUUUCAAUUUUCAAAAUGCUUUAUUUAACAAAAAUAUAUUUUUUUUAACAAAUGAAAGCAGAUUCUUGAAAAAAAAAAUAGAAUGAAACUACUUACGAAAUAUAAAUAAUUUCGUCACCUAUUCAACGUUAUUCACAAGUUUGUAUGCAAAAAUAUAAAAUAAACAAAAUUCAGAAUAUGUACUUACUUACAAGUUUAAAUAAUCACUGACAUACAAAACCUAAAAAGUUAUGAACACUUAUUUUAUAUUUAUAACAAUUGAAGUCAAUUAUUUAUCUUGUUAUCAAACAAAUAUAAACCAAUCAUACAUUGAAAUUUUCAAGUCAAACAGUACAAGAGAUGAAGAAAAAAAUGAUCACACACACACACACUUCAAGAAGAGGAAUGGAAAAGGACAGAGGAAAAAGAAUAAUUGGUGGAAUAGUGGUUUUGGUUGUGUAAAGCAAAUUUCAGCGAUGCAUUUUUUCUCAACUUUUUCUCAUGUGUAAUAAAAUAGGAAAGAAAACAAUUAACUUUAAAAGUGGUUUGUUGAUCAUCGUCAUUUAAACAAUAAUAUCCAAAUCUCAACUUUACAUAAUGAAUAACACUUCUUGAUUUUGAAAAAAAAAAAACAAUUAAUUUUUACGCUUAAUUAUGUUAAAAACUUUGUGUUGAAAAUGUGUUUUAAAGUUAUAAAUAUGUUUAAUUAUGUGUUAAAAGUACAUCUUUAAUUUAAAGUUCUACUCGUUACAUCAAUCUCCAUCUUUUUUAAAUUAGUAAGUAGGGAUCUUUUUGAAAUACAAAAGAACAAAAAUUAAACUUUUCUAACCAGUUAGUGAAAAGAAAUUAAACUUUUCAAAAUUAGAGGCAUGUUUCAAAAGCUAAUGAGUCUUCUUUUUUUUUCCUAAUUUAACUAAAUACUAAUAAAUGAUUGUCAAUUCAUAGUUGAUAAAGUAGAGAUGGACCAAUUGACACUACUUUAUUCAUACAUAUUGUCAAAAAGAACUAAAAAAAGAAUACUUAGUUGGUAAAGCACUAAUUACCUGAGGCUCACCAAUCCAACGCAUUGGUUUGGAGCUGAGACCAACUUCUUGCUUGUGAACACUCUGAUGCCACCAAUCACUAAGCAAUAAGUUGAUCUCUUCGUCAUAAUGGAAUGGCUCAGAUCUUCCUUCUGGUGGAUCCACUAUCAAAGAUCCAUACAACCCAGCCGAUCUUUGCAUCCCUAAAUGGCCAUGAUAGAAAUAUGUCCCAGCCUACAGUAAAAUAUGAAUAAAUAUUAUAAAACAACUUGCAAUAUUUCCUAUGGACUCAAUACGUUUUAAACCCUUCUUACCUUAUCUACCACAAACCGGUAAGUGAAGGUCUCACCCGGGUUAAUGGCACACUGCGAGAUGGAAGCAGUGCCAUCAGCCCAAGGAGUACCUCGUUGUAGGAUUCCAUGCCAAUGAAUAACAACACCUUCAGUGUGGAGCUUGUUAGUUAGCUCCACAACGACGAUGUCGCCAGCGUUGGCUCUAAUCGUCGGUCCAGGGAACUCGCCGUUGAUUCCCAUAACAAUGUUUUCAACACAAUCUGGCGACCAAAACAUGUACUCAACAUCCCAUUUGUAGUGUUUUAUUUUGGGAAAACCUGCCUCAGAGAGAGUUAUUCCAAAUCCAAAAAUGAUUGACAAAACAAGGAAGGAUAGAAAAGGCUUGGGGAAGAAAGGCUUAUCUGCAACUUUUGCCAUUUCGAAGGGUUGAGGAGAUGAAAGGGAAGAAUAAUGAUGCAAUGAGGAAAAAGGAAGAAAGGAAAAAAGUGGGAAGUUUGUGUGUAAGAUGCCACUAGAGUUUGCAAUUUGCCUCCUUUUUAUAAUGAAAUUUUGAGAUAUUUUGUUUACCCACUCCCUCUCUUUCGUUAAGUCAAGUGGUUGAUUUUAAUUCUAAUUUUCAUUUUUAUUUUCAUUUGUUGUGUGUGUGUAUAAUAUAUAUAUAUAUAAAUAUAUAUAAUUAAUUUGUGUGUUUAUACUUUUUUCUUUAAAAAAUUACUACAAAAGAAAUGGAAACUGUCUCUCAAUCAAUCUCAGACCUAUAUGAAAUGAGAGACAUCUAUGGAAAGAGAUUAAAUUCAAAUGUAGGACCCUAUAAAUGUUGAUCUAUAAUAAUUAAAUUAUAUAUAUAUAUAUAUUAGGUUUGCUAUAUAUAUACACACACUAUGAAAGAUUCCAUUUAUCUUUUAGGUUGUUUGUUUUUUGGAUCUAGAUAAUAAUCAAAGAGCUAGUUGUUUCAAUGUUUGGAUGUAUUUAUUUGACUAAGUUAUAAAGUAAUGCUUGAAAAUAUCAAUAUUAUUAGUUAUGUUUGCUUUGUAAAAUUUGUGUGCAAGAAAUAUGUGUGUUGAGAAUUAUGUUAUAUACCAAGAUUGUUCAAACAAAUUUUAGGCAACUUAAAUUAACAAUAGUUCGAUACAUUGUUAUGGAUACUUUUUGGGUUAAAGUAUAAAAUCGAUAUGAUGAUAAAUAAGAGAAAGUCAUCGGGUGAUCAAGAAAGCAACAAUAAAUAGGGGCUCGCUAUCCGGCCAAGAUAAUAAAAUUGGCUUAAAGAAAAGAACUAAUUUGUCCCGAUUGGUUUGCUUCGACCAAGGCUGAACCUACACAAAACAUAUAUCGUUACAUCCCAUGCAUGAUGUGAGCUCACACACGAGCCUUAAGAAGAGGAUUGACUUGACCUAAAACCACUUCGAUCGACUCUACUUUGUCCUUUGUGAAGGCUUAACUCACUAAGUCAAACCUAUUUUAAUGUUCUAGAACAAAUUAAAAGAGAAUAUUUAGAAGCUUAGGAAAACACUCUUCCUAAUUAAGGAGAGGAGAAUCCAAUCACCCGCUUUAUAAAUAAGAUGGUAAAAAGACAUAAAAUGUUAGUCGUUCUCUCUCCAGUAACAUCAUACUAUAAUAAAAUCUUUAGAUCAUUUUCCUUGUUUUAAGUAACAAAGUGUGUGACGCCCUAUAUCAUACCAGUGUGUCGUUCUUGCUAAUUAACUCGUAGUUGAUCUUCUUCACCAAAAUAUAUAUUUAUCAUAGUUAUCGCUUUGAGGUCAGAUCAUUUUACCUGCUCAAAUUUUAGAAAAUUAUUUAAAUUCAUUUAACAUGUUUUCUUCGUGGUAAAUUUAUUUAUUCAAUAUUUUAAUAUUUUAAUUUUAUAUCAAUUAGGUAUACACUAACUUUAUUGGUUGUUAAAUUUUAUUUAUUCAACUUUACUUGAUGGUGAUGGUUUUGUAGGCCUUCGGGCAUUUUGGUUCUUUAAUCAAUGAAGUUCUUUUGAAUAUACAAUAUAUGUAUGUUGUAUAUAUAUGAUUUAUUAAAUUGUAAUCAUUUUCAAGAAAAGACAAUUAAUAUUUAAUUAUGAUAGUUUUAAUAGAUCACGUUUAUUUGAUUGCAAGAUUAUAAUUUUUUGUGUGAUUUUUUAGUACAAAACAUUGACUUACUCAAUUAUCCAUCUCUGAGUCGGUAACUAAUCUAUUUUUAUCUCAAUUGAACUAUAUUGAGUUGAAUAUAUAUAUUUAAUAAUUUAAAUUUUAAAAGUAAAAGUGGAUAAUUAUAUCAAAUAAGAAUAUGAACAGUUGGACACUUAUGAAAUCUAGUACGUUCAUGUUUACAAACUCACUUCAAUUCUUUGAAGAAAAAAAACAAAAUACAUGUUUAAUAUGUUAAGGCUAAACUAUGAGUUUUGAUCCCUAUAAUUUGAAUAAUAAGGUUAAAGUUUUAGUUCAUAAAAUCAAGAGUAAUUUAUUAUCAUCUAACAUAUUGAGGGGAUAACCACGACUACUUUACUAUGUUGAAAUUAUUAAAAUGUUCCCAAUUUCUAAAUUAUGUUAUUAAAUACACAUUGGAAACAUUUCAUUCAAAUUUUUUUAUUUAAAUUUUGUGUUUUCAAAUUUCUAUUUUCAAACUGUCUUUAACCUACAUAUUCAUUUAAUAGAUAUUUUAGAUUUUUUCCAAACAAACAACUUCUUUAUUUAUAUGCUUUGUUCUGUGUUUGUGUUUGCAAGUUAAGUUAACGAUUUGUUGUAUUUAACAACAUUCAAUGAGUCAAAAACUAUAUCUAACUUAAUUAACGAAAAGUAUAUAUCACUUCGAUAAAAAAGUGAAAUUUCAUAUCCUUUUCUUUUCAAAAAUCAAGCAGGGUAGGUCAUAUCAACACGCAUUUUUUUAAAAUAUUGUUGUUUCAAAAAGAAAAUAGUAAAAUAUGGUUGUUGGUAAGAUAUACUUUAUAAAAGGAAUAAAAUAACUGAAAUUAUGAACUAAAACAAAUGUAAGGAUUGGAGUGGGGAAAUGGUGAUGUUAUAUAAAAUAUAGACAAGUUGAGACAAAAGUAAGGAUAAGAAAAAGUGCAUCAAACUUUUUAAUUUUCAAAAAUCAUUCUAUUUUUCUUUUUAUAAUAUAUAUAUAUAUUAUAAAGUUCUAAUAUUUAAUAAGGUAAAUCCAUGUAUAUAAUCUUGCUAUUUAUUUUUAAACUCUCUAACCACCCAUUAUCGAUUGAUGGAUAUAAAAUUUUGAAUAUACAAGAAUUGAAAUAUUUAAAAUCCUAAAAAUGUUCAUUUUUGAAAAUUGGUGAAAUAUAAAAAGUAAAUGUUUGUGUUUAUUUUAUUAGUUUUUGUUUACAAUAAUUCUUCUAAAUUAAAGGUAAUUGUUUUUAUUAUAAGAUUGAUCAAAGUUAUGUUUAUAAAUAUAGGAAUAUUUUCAUUAGCUCUCUUAUCAAUAAUAAAUAUUUUAUUAUUUAGUUUAUAUUUAAUUAAUUAAUAAGGAAUAUUCUCCCUAAAAUUAGUUUACAAAUUAACUAAAAAGUAAUCAAUGAUUAACUUUCUCUCUCCUCUAUUGUUCAUUUUUCAAAGAAAAAUAGGUCUAAUCUCCAAUAAGAACAAUAAUACAAAUUAAUUCAAAGUUUAUACUCCAUUAUGAUACUUUUAUAUUUGGAUAAUAAUUAUCUAUUUAUUAAAAUAAAUAUCCACCGAACAAACGUUAGUUGAUGAGAGAAUACAUUUUCUUUUAAACAUUUUCUUGAAAAUGAGUUUAAAUUUAAACAUUUACAUGUUUGAUUAGAUUUUUUUAUGAGUGUUUAUAUAUGAAUUUUGUUUAAUUUAUCUUAAACCAAAAAUGUUUAUACUUAACUCAAAUUAUACCAUAAAUGACUACUAAACAGUAUGACCUAAUUUCAUAAAAAAUACAUAUAUUUUAAAUUUAAAAAAAUAUAUAUACUUUGAAAUUAAUGGCACAAUCUUUUGGAACUAAUUGUUUUAAAAUUUUGAAAUUAGUAAAGUUAGAACCAAAAACAUUAUUUUUUUAUUACUUUUUUUAGAUAGUUUUAUUUUAGAAGUAGAGGUAUACUGAUAUCUAAAUUCAUAAUCAAGAUAAAAAAUAAAAAUAAAUAAGAGAAAAGAAAAUUAAUAAUAACACCAGAAAUAAAGGGAGCUUGAUUUAUUAUAUUGUUUUAGUAAUUAUUCAAAAUAAAAGAAAGAAAAACGUGAGAUAAAAAUUGCCAAUUUUUCAACUUUAAUUUAUAAAAGUUUGGUUUUUAAUGAUUUCUUUAAAAUGAAUUAUUUUAUAAACGAUUUUUUUAAAAAAAUGCAUUAUUCUAAUUUUUCAUAUACGAAAUUUUUUUUUUACAAAAUUAAACACUUCAAAAUCUCAAUCAAACACAUCAUAAUUCUUAUUAAUUUUUAAUAAACUUUUUGUCGUUUGUAAUUAAGUGUGUUUAUUUAUUUUAUUAGUAGUCUUCAUCUUUUUCUAAUUAAACAAUUUUAGUUCAAUUUUAACACGAAAAUAAGUUUUAAAAUGAUAUAUUAUCAUACCAUGAUUUUGUUUGUGACUUUUUAUAAAAUUAAAUAAACCAAGUGAAGAAAUCAAUAUUAAUUUUCUAACCAUAUUUUUAAAACAAUAAAGACCCAAAAACAAGUUUAAUUACUCUUUUAUAACUAGCAAUAAACUUUUUCUUUAGUACUAAUUAGCAAUAAAUUAUUGAGUACUGUGUUUACAUUAUUCGAACUUAAAUUGUGGUAACAUUGGGUCCCAUUUCUACUUCUAGGGCUUAUUUGGGUUUUCAUUACAAAUCACAAUUUACACUUUUGUUAACCUAAUUUUUUUCUACUCUUCUUUCUUAAGGUCAAUUUUCAAUUAGAAAGUUUCAUAAUAUAUAUAUACACACACUUCGUUUUUCCAACUUUUUCACAUUUUGGUACUUUAGAAAAUAAUAAUAAAUAAUAACUAUGUAAUUUAAAAUUUUCUAUUUGUCCACCCUCGUAUUUUCGUAGUUGUCGAUCAUGACUGAGUAUUUAGCUAUAAAAAGGAUUAUCCAAUAAAUCAUCCAAAAGAGAGUGAUUUUAUUUAACAAAGUAUGGUGGCCGACUCAUCGAUUCAACAAUUAGAAUGACUAAAUAGAUAAUUAAUUUGAACUGAUUAGAAACAUAAAGGUCAACUCUGAGACAAUCAACCAUCAAAGUUAAGAAAAUCAAUUAUGUGGAUUUCAUGAAGGUCGACUCAUAGGGUUAGUUAUGGUAGACAAAUAUAAGGCCUAAGCAUGUAGAUAAACCCAUAGAAAUCAGAGUGGCUAUAUAACGUAAGAUCAAGAUCAACAUUACGAAGGCAAAGAUUAUUAUGCCUAAAUAAGUGUUUUACUUUUACAUAUGUUUGGGUCAUUAGUAAAGUAAAUCCACCACUUCAUAGCGGCUAAGUAACGAUUUGAUUAAUGAAUCAAGAAGUUAAUUAGCAAAUGGUCAUUACAAAUACGUUGUUUUUUUAUAAACAACAGGGUGCAUGAUGCUUGUUCGCUUCCUCUGAACAAGCUUUGAAAAUUCAUGGUUGGUACCGAAGUUUGGUAUUGAAAAAGUAUAAAUAAUUGUUCAUAUUACUUUUGUUCAUAUAAUGUCAUAAAAGGAAUAUUUAAAUGCGUGACAUAAAAGACAAUAACAUAUCAUCAAUUGAGGAGUCAAAUCACCCAUGGAAGAAGUAUUUAUGACAGUGGUACCACAAAUUUCAUACACCCGAUGUUAGCAAGUUCCAAGAUAUGUUAGUAACUCGUUGAAACAAGAUGCUUUUUACAAGAAGCUUUUAGUUCUAAAAUGGAAUAACAAUUUAUUAUUUAUUUGCUUUUAUUUUAAAAUGAAAGUAACAUAUCUUAUUUAGGAAAAUUAAUUUUGAUAUGAAUUUAUAAAUUUUCAAGUCAUUGAAAAAAUACUUUUUUCUAAAUUUAAUUAGGGUUUUAAUCCAAUUUAUUUUGUAUCUAGAAGUUACAAAAGGUUACAUUCUACGUUGAUGGAGUAAAAAUUUCAAAUUGGUUUGAAAAAAAUAUGGUAAGAAAACUAAUUAAUAAUUAUAAUUCUUCAAAAUUAAUUAACAUUAACAAUAAGUACCAAAGGGGUUAUUUAGUGAAAUUAAAUUUAAUUUAAAAGUUAGCCGCAAAAUGAAAAUAAAAACUUAAAACUUGGGUAGAUAUAUAAUAUUUUGAAACUUAUAGAAAAUGAAUCUUAAACUUAAAACUAAUGAUAAAUAUUAUAGUAGUUCAAAAUGUAUAAACUAACAUCAUGUUUACCGAACUAUAAAAAAAAUUGAUGUGAUUAUGAAAAAAAAUUUAUUGAUGGAUCAAUUGUAAUGAACUUGAAUCGUAAAUAUAACUAUAUUGUUUUUUUACGGCGUUUACUUACAAUCAAGAACUUUGUCAUAUUUAUUUUUACUUUUACCUCUAUCUCUUAAGGUCAAACAGUAACGUCGAUAAUAGUAAAAGAUGUCAAAAUUGAUAAUUUUUCAGUUGUAACAAUAAAAAUAACAGUAGAGAUAAUUAUAAUAAUAAAGUUAGCAAUACAAUGUAAUUUUCAAAGGAACGGUUGCAAAAAUAACCAAAAAUGUUAUGAUAAUAGGUUCUAUAUUAUUAUAUUUUAUAAAUUGCAAAAAUAACAAAUUUAAAAAUCGACAACCUUUUAAUAACCCUAUGAUAUAAUUAAUUUUGUCAUAUUAGCAAUAUAUAUAGAAAAAUAAGUGUUGUUGAAUAUUUUUUUCUAAAUGUUUUUAUCAUAUCAUACAAUUUUUUAUUUUGAAACGUAAUGAAAUUAUGAAAAGAAGUUUUUUGGAAAAAUAUAAAAAUUUGAAAAUUUUGAAAUAAUUGAAAAGAAAAGGGAAAACGCGUUAUGUGAUUUGAUUGAAUUGCAAAAGGGCAGGCCGAGGCUGCUCCCUUUAUUGUUUUUGUAUUAUCACAUAUCUAUAUUCAUUUCUCACGUGGGAAAAUGAAAAUAAUAUCUCUUCUUGCUCCCUACCCUUAUUAUCUACUCCUUCCCUUACAUUCCUUUUCUUCCACUUUUCUUUUAAUUUAAGAAUUUUUAGCCUUAAAGCCAAGUGAUAAUUGACAUCUCAUUUUCGAUCUGGCCUACAUGUGUGAGAUUUUGUCUUGGUAAGUUUACCAUAAUAGGAUGGUAACAAAUAAUUAAGGAAACUUUAAUUUUAUAGAGUAGGUCUACAAAAUAAUAAUGAUGAGUAUUUUUAAUAUAGUAAAAUAAAUUGAAAUAUUUACGAAAACAUACCAACAUUUCAUAUUUUAUAUGCUCAAUUUAUAUAUAAAACAUUGUAUAAUUGAAGGUUCAGUCCAAUAAUUGUAAUAUUCAAUGCUUCACUUUACUUCACUAUAAAUAUACUAUAAAUAUUCAAUAGAGUUGUCCAUUAUUUCAAAAGCAAAUGCCUUUACAAUGAGGAUACUGAGAUUUCCAUUCUUUUUUACUUGCAUAUGCAAAACUUUGACUAACAUAAAACGUAUUAAAUUCAACACCAAACAAAUUAAAAUAAUAUACAUGUUUUUUUUCACCCGUUUUAUUUUAGUACAAUAACUAUGAGAGAGAUGAUUGAGUAGACUUUUAAAGAUAAAAUUGAUGUCAAUCAUAUUAACCUAAUUAAGCUCGUUUUGAUAGUAUAACUUUGUCGAUGAUACGUUAGAUUUUCGUAAAGUUAAAAGAUUCAAAAUUGAUAAAAAAAUAAUUUAAAAAAGAAAAGAAAAAUGACAAAAUGGUGAUGUAGGAUUUUUUUUUUCUAUAUUCGUAAAUACAUUGAUAUUUUUUGAAAUACCCCAUUCAAAAUUCUUCUUCAAAUUUAUGAAAUUAGAAAAAUUAAAUAAGUUACAAUUGUUUAAUUACUACAAUUCAACCCAAUAUUAACCAUAUAUAAAUUAAUUAAUGAUUCUUCUCAAAGAAAAAUGUGUAUAUAAAUUAUCACCCCAAUUUUGUGGCACUAAAUGACCCAUUUUGUGCACUAAACAACAACAUUGAUAAUUACUAAUUAAUAUUAAUUAGUUAAAUUUUGAUUGACGGAUGACUUUAAUUAUUUAGUACUCUUAUUGAUGAUCAUCAUCAACUUGGCUUGAUACUGAUAUGUUUAGAAUAAAUGAUUGAUUUACAUUAAUUAUGCAAAUAAUUGUUUAAACAAUUUGAGAUGGAAUAUAAUUAUAAAAAAUGUAUAUGGAGAAAUUUUGAUGCGUAUAAAAAUGUCAAACUAUUUACCGAUAAUAGUAAGAUCGAAAAACACUUAUAGACAUUCAUAAACUUUAUCAAUGAUAUUCGUAUAUCGAUUUUCAUUACUGAUAGACAUCAAUAAAAUUUAUGAUAUAGACUUUUAUAAGUUUCUAUCUGCAUCUAUUAGUGAUAAGAUUAUGAAUUAUUAUCCAAAUAUAAACUAAAUCAAACCACACGAUCGUUAAGUUUGAGAGUGUAACGGUAGCUGCUUGUGUACCACAAAAAUAGUUUUUGAGAUUUAUCGGAUAAAAUAAUAACGUGAGCACAUGGCAAAAUGAAGUACGUUAAAAUAAAGAAAAAGGCAGUCUACCCCACACCAUAAACAUAGCCUUUUGGAGUGGGGAUUGAGACAACUCACUGUCCAUCUUCAAUAACUCAACUUUGUGUGUAACCAUUGCUUCAAUUCAUUAUUGGAUAGGACGUAGAUCUUUUAAGUUCUCUACUUCUACUUCAAACCACAAACAUUUAAAACCAAGUUAUUAUGAUUAUUAUUAUUUACUAUGUUUUUAUAAAUAGAGAUGCGAAUAGCACAGUUGGGAUUGAUUCAGUUAUUUAUUCAUUUCUUUAUGUUGAUCAUAAGCUAAAGAAUAAGAAUAUUGUAAACCAAAAUUGUUUGAUCGAAAAUAAUUUACAAAAUUUUAGAGAUUUGAUUAUCUAUUCCAAAACGGUUUGAUGUGUCCUUAAUAUAACUUUUGAAAUUAAAGGGAUUCAAUAUGGGUUAUCCUUAUACUCAAGUUCAAAAGUUAUUUGACAAUGGAAUAGGUACAUUCCAACUAAUAGGGAUUAAGUUGCUAAAGUGAAGAAUAAAUAAUACACUAAUUUUAAAAAAAUAAUAAAUAUAAGAAAACUCGAGGGAAAAAUCAACUUUUUCUUAACUUGGUAACGUAAAUGAAAAUGAUCGAAACUAAAAAAAAAUAAGGGGUCUUUUUAAAAAUAUAACAUAGCCACAAAAUAUUUACACGAUAUAUAACAAUUUCAAAAAUGGAAAAAAGCCCACACAGAUCCACCGUGAGAAAUACCAAAAAUAUCACGUGAUUAAUUGACAUCUAGUGCGCAUAAUUUUCUAUACCAUCGUUUAGAUUUGGAGUCAAGUCUAAAUGAUUUUUUUUCAAUAUUUUUUGGUACACGAUAGUUUAUAUUUGAAACACAAUCGUUUAUGUUUGAAAAACAAUCAUUUAGAUUUGACCUUUUAAAUUUGGCUACCCAGAUCUAAAGAAUUUUUCUUUUAAAAUUCUUUGUACAUAAUCGAUUUUUUAAAGAUUUUUUGUACACGAUCGUUUAGAUUUGACUAUCUAAUAUCCUAACGAUUUUUUUUUUUUAACAAUCUUUUAUUUUUGGAACAACGAUCUUGAACCAAAUAACAAUUUGAAAAGAAAAAAAAACUGCAGAAGAAAAAGACAACGAAAAUAAGAGUAGAAAUACGAUGAAAACGAAUGACAGACUUGAAAUAUUUUUAAAAAAUAGCAAGUUUGAUGGACUUUUUUAUUUUGUUACAUGGACCGUAAAUGUUUCACUGGACUGUUAUAUUUGUGAAAAUUAACGAAAAAGAAUAAGAGGAUUAUGAUUUUGAAGAUUGAAGAGAGUUGUAGGAGCAUGUGGUAUGAAGUUUGAUGAAUGAUUGUGAUAUGAUUUUAUAUGUUGUGAGAUCCUUUUAUUGCAUGUUGCAUGCCAAAUGAGUUAAGUGGUAAUUAUAUACUCUCUUAAUAGCAACUAUUCACACACUAGUCUUUGUCCCUUCGGGUACACCAAUUACUUUGAAUAUGUCUCACCUAUAAUACUAUAUAUUUAGUUAUUAUUCACUUAAAUGUUUCUUCAUAUAAAAUAUUUUUGUGUAGCUUCACCUCUAUAGUGUACGUAUUUUAAAUAUUCAUCCUUUCAUGAAACGUGUUAUUUUAAUCAACAUUUUAAGGGAUUCCAAAACCUAAGUUUGUUUUGAAAUUCCUACAAAAUUAUUUUACUCAUGUUUUAUUUAAUCAUCUAAUAAAGAUGUUUAUUUUAAGUAAGGAGGCCCCCUACUAUAAUUAUCUAAAGGAUCAUUUGAUUCAAUGUUUAUCUUGACGGUCAUGUACGUCAAGAAAAGCCUUCUUGUUUUGUUGAAGGAAAUAUGACAAAAUGUAAAAAAGAAAAUGUGGAUUCUUAAUUUUCUUGAUGGACAAAGUAAAGUUUUCUUAGUUUUAUUGAUGAUUCACAAACGUCAAGAAAACUAUUUCUUGAUGGACAAUACACAUCCAGGAUAAUAUAUUAGUUGGACUGACAAUAUUAGGUUUUUUUAUGAACGAUACCCAUCAAGAGAUGAAUUUUUGUGAUUCGCAAUAGCCAUCAUUGAAAAAAAUUAAUAUAUUUCUUUUGAAUUUCUUGAUGGGUCUAGGGUUUCUUGAUAGACAAAGACAAAAAAAAAAAAAAAUUAUGGGCAAUAUCCAUCCAGAAAAAUGGUAUGCUCGUCAAGAAAUUUUUUUAUAAUUUUGGGUUUAGGAUAAAAUCAUUUGUAUGACCCAUUAAGAAAAAUGAUAUGUCCAUCAAAGAAAAAAAUUAUUUUUCACAAAACACGAAAUUUAGACCCUUGUUAACCGACUCAGUGAGCACCAUAUUCAUCAAUAAAUGCCUUAAACAUUUACUAUUUUUUUUUCAAUUAUUACUUUCUAUUCAUCAAUAAUACAAUAUUAUUUUUCUAAAAGUUAAUUGUAUUAUUACUUUUCUAAAAGUUAAUUGUUUUAAUUAUAACUAGAUUGAAAUAAAUGUCUUUAUCAAAAUAAUUAUUGUGUUUAACUUUAAUGAGUUUUGAAGUUUGUAAUUUAGGAUUUUUAAAAUUUGUAGAAACUGGUUAACAUGAGCUUAGUUCAACGGAAACAUAUAUGCACAUGUGGCCAAGAGGUCCCCAAAUUCAAAUAUCACCACUUGCAUUAAAAAUUUGUAGAAGCUGUUUAUAAAUUUGGAAUUCAACGUUACAAAUGUUAGUACAAGAAUCAAUUAGCAAGGAGCUAAGGUGGGUGUGAGAAAAGAUGAACUCAAGAUCAUGAAGAUAAAGUCUCGUGUGCAUGUAGUGGCGGACGAUAAACUCCAAUUAACUAGCGAUUAUCAUUUUGAUAAAAUCUAAGAUUUUACUAUAUUUUACAAAUAUUUUUAACAAUUUUUUAAUUAACUAUCCAUUUCCUAAUAUUUAAAUAACUUUGCAUACUUCUUCAAAACUUUUAGAUUAAAUUAAAAAAAAAAAGUUAUAAAGAAAAAAGAAAGUUAGAAAAUGUCAGAAAAGUCAUGAAAAAAAGCUAUGGUUCACUCCACAAGUGACAAUUGCUAGAAAAUGAAAAACUGCCAAAAGGCAACAAAGGAAAAACACAGUUGCCCAACCUUUAUCAUAUAUAUGUAUCAGUUCUUUUCCAUCACUGUUUUGGACCAAUUAGUUCAUGAUUUAAAUAUGAAAAUACAAACACAAAAUGAGAAAAAAGGGGGGGUUCACUUCACGUGAAUCACUAAUGCCCACACCAUAACCUACUGCCCCAUCGUAAUUAAUGUAUUGUUACACACAAAAUCCCAAAACUUAAACAUCCUGUACUGUGCUAGAGGGUGACGGUGGGUAGUGCCAUUUGCCAACCCAAGCGGGCACCAAACAACGAACCCAACAUCGCAUCGCCCUUGUAAGCAGCAGUCUACUCAACAAAAUCCACAAGCUUCGUAUAAUAACCAUCCCCAGCCAAGUUUAAUUUAUUGCACUGAUAAGAAUCAGUACAAUCAGACAAACUGGAGGGGAGGACCAAAAGAGUUUACUCUAAAGAGACAAACCUAAUAGUAAUUGCUUCAAGAAUUUUGAUAUUUCAUUUGUAUUCAACCUUGGUACAACUUGCAAAAGAAACCAAACAUUUUUAAUGCUUACUUUGAAGUUUUGAGAAAUCAUUGAUACACACGUUUUAAUUUUGAGGAUUAAAAAAUGUAAUUUAUUCUGAAUUCUUCUAUCAAAUUAAAAUAUUAUUUAAGUUUUUUAACUUGCUUCCUGUUUUGACUCACAAACUUCCUCACAAAAAGUUAAAUAAUUACUCAACUCUACUAAUAUUGAAGUUUGUAUAUUGAUUGAAAAACUCUAUCAAUGAAUCCAAUUGUUUCCCCCGCCAAUGACAAAACUCGGGUGAUAUUCAUUGCUAAAGACAUGCUUUGAUGACCACUUCUAAUGUCUAACUUCAGAAGCACCUGUUGUUGAUGACCACUACUGCCCUAUUCCAACUACAAUGGUUUGAUGACCACCUCUGGCAGCAAACCCCAAUAUUUUACCACCUCCAACAAUCCUCUCCCGCGACCACCUCUGGCGUUCAACUCCGCUUAAGUACUACUACCUCCAACAACCCUACAUUAGUGAUCACCUACAGUGACCAACUGCGAGCACCAAGUUAUUGAUCAUCUUCAACAUUAACUCCCAAUGACCAUCUCAAUCAAUCAUAUACUAGAAAAGCAUGAUCAUUAGUGAAAGUGUUUUAUAAGCAUAAAAACAAUGGGUUAACAGGUACACCCAGAUCAUUUCCACUAGAUGAACAUCUCCUUUAACACUCUUAGCAUUCCUACUUUAUUGAUGAUCAAGAAAUACAAUACAUGAAGCAAGGAACAAGUAAAAAGGGCUAGAAAUAAGUCAGAACAAGAUCCUAAAAUUAUACAAAAGCUUGAAGAUUUACAACAAUAAAGCUAACAAUGUAAUUGUUAAAGAGAUUUGAUCUACUAUUCCAAUAUCUGGUGAGAGUUUGAAUGUCUUCCCUCCACCAUGGAACUAUUCUUAUUCUUGAAAUUUUUGUUGUUCUUCUCAAACCAAAUGGUCCAAAGGAACAAAUGAUGUUAAAAACAAUAGUAUCUAUUUUCCUUUUUUAUGCCACAGAUGUUCUUGCAUAAUGAAGCUAUAUUGUUCAUAAUGUUUAACAAUUGUCUUAUAUAGUAAUCUUACAUUAAUAUAAAUACUUUAAUUUGAGCAUUACAGUCAAACCAAGAAAUUGUGUAUGAAAACACUUCAUGAGAAAAUGAACCUAAUAACCCAUUUGUAUUUUUUAAAAAUAGUUUUUAAUUAUAAGAGUUAAAAAUGCAAAUGACUUUCUAAAAAACAUUUUACAGCUCAACCAUUGGAUACCACCAUGAUUGCAUCUUUUCAAAUGCUCAACUUCUUUCUUCAACCCUCAUUACAAGUAUAAACUCUAAUGAUUUUAUUUUUAUUUUCAUCCAAAAUGUCCUCUCGUAUCAUUCAAGAUAGUUAUCCUUUCAUAUAUACUCAUUGUUGCGAAAUCAACAAUUAAAUAAUAGAAGAAUAUAAAGAUCGACAUAAAAAGAUAUGUGUGGUUCAUUAACAGUGUAUUAGCUAUAUUCACGUAUAGAGAAAAAAACAAAUAUUAUUAGAGCGAAUGUUUUCACAAUACAAUAUAUGACGUCACUGGAUUAGAAAGUUUAUAUAUAUGCACUUCUCUAAACCUUAAGCUUAAAAUCAUAAAUAACAACAUAUGCACAUCUCAAUUGUUUAUUUAGUGCCACAUAAAGAACCCAAGAAGAACACCCAUGAUUAUGAUCCUCUCAUCCAUGCAAUGUGCGUGCGACUUCGAUCACAUUCCUAAUACUAAAAUAGAGGCAUAAUACACUGCAAUCUACAAUUUGACAUAAUGCCAUACAAAGUCCUAUGCCACCCCUUGAUGAAGUACUACGUUUUUUAUGCAUUUUACUUUGAUACAUUCUAAUUUCUACUAUUCAGAAAGUGUAAAUUUUUUAUGUUUAAUUUGUGUAAAAUAAUAGUAUUUUGCAAACCUCGAGUAGAAUGGUUACAUAUUUUUAGGAGAAUUGUGACUAGCUAGAGAGAGUCAUUAGGGUACAAUUAGUUUUACUCACAUUAUAAUUAUGGUCUUUUUUUAAUGAUCAAAUUACUUAAAUCAUAUAUAAUUAUAUGAUUUUUUAUCCGUCGUUGGGAUUAAUAAUUGGAAAAUUACAUCAAAUAACAAAAACAUUUAGAAAAAAAACAAUUCACGACACUAAUUAUUUUGCAUAUUGUGAAUAUAAAAAAAAAGAGUGAUAUCAAAUGAUUAUCAGACAGUAAUCGAAGGACUAUCAAACGAUGGUCAUAAGACUAUGAGACAAUCACCACUUUUAUAUUUGUUAAUUUUACAAAUUUAGAAAAUAGUGUGACAUGAACUCUAUUAUCAUAAAAAAAAUUCUAUUUUUGCAAAAGCCUCUUAAUAAUUGUGUCUCAUCAUCGUGAAAAUCAUCCUAAUUUAUCUAAUACAUUAUUGGAAGAAAGAAACUUUCAUAUUCUUUUUUCAUAGCUAUUCAUUAUUAAACAUGAAAAUAUAAAAGAUGGACAUUGGCAUCCAACAUAUUUACUAGAGCUAGUUAUAUAGUUUAGUAGUUAAGAUAUAUAUCUGUAUACUUUUAACCUCAAACGUCAAAGUUUGAUGUGAUUCCAACUCUACAAUUAUUGAAUUUAGAAAACAUGCAUAUAUACAUAGAUUAGAAAAAAGUAUAUAUUAAAAGCAUGAAAAUUUUUCCAUUGAUCUUGAAAUUGUAUAGAGUAAAUAAGGGACCUUGGAAGCCAUUUAGUAGCAUCAUUUUUCUGUCGUAAGCUUUAAGAAUUAAUACUACUUACUACUUGUUCUCUAAGUCAUCACGUCUCGGUCAUGUUGGCGAUUGCAAAUUGUUGGAAAAAUAAAUAUCAAUCAUUAUUAUGUUGUAUGUUGAACCACUGUCUUAGAAACAAAACUUUGGUCCAAUCUUAGUGCUAAAUCGCAUAUAUUGGUUGUUCCACAAGAUUAACACAUCUCUAUUGCUCUUAAUUUAAAUGUUUUUGUAUAAUCUACUUUUUCGGAUUGGUUUCUGACUUUGGAUCUCCCUUGGACUUUCCUCUAGUCCUUAUUUUUGCUUCCUUGCUUCAUGUACCUAUCGUUUAUUAUUAAUAGAACGAGAAUGAUGAUGGUGCUACAAAUGUGUCUACCUAAUGAAGAUGUUUCAGUGCAUCUGCUAACUCAUAUCAUAUUUUUUUAGAAAAAAACGUAUACUUCUCUAACUCACCGUGGAAUGGAAUCAAACAAAAUGUUACUCAAAACAAACAAAUGAAAGUUUCAAAAAAGAAGAACCACUCCCAUCACCAAAAUCUUUCUUCAAAUAUAUAUAAUAGUUUUAAAUCUAUAAUUUUUAGUGCAUUAAAAUAUAUUAUUAUAACCACAAAACCAUUAAAUAUUCUAAUAAUUAUCAUUGAAACAUUAGUUAUAAAUCAUUACAAUAAUAGUCAUUCAAUUACACAAAUAUCCUAAAACGAGGCACAAAUCAUUACUAUAUAAAUUCAACUCGUAAUCGUGGCAAGUAUUAAGAGCAUCUUGAAUCAUCUAACAGCAUUCUUCUACCCAUUGGUUGGGUGGAUCAAAAUCAGUUGCAAUAUCAACACAUCCUAAUAAUAUGUAAUCACUUGCAAUUGGUGGAGGUGGUUGAUCAGCAGUGACAAAAGAAAAGAAAAAAGAAGGUUGAGAACUGGAGAAGAAGAGAGCAAGUGAAGAGGUUUUGUUGGAAGAACCCAAAAGAGGAAAUUCUUAGAGAGAUAUUUUUAGAGGGGUGAAAAGAUCAGUGUGGUAAUUAUGGAAGGGUUUCUAUAGGGUCUUAAGAAAGAGGGCUGUGCAUGAGCGUCCUGGUGGAUAAACUCAUUGUUAAUUAAGUUAGGCUCAUUAUCUAUAUUAAUUGAUUUGCAAAUCUUUAUGAAGUGGAGAUUACAAUAUUUGUUGAUCAUAUUUGCUGUGAUUUCCACUAAAUUACUUUGUCUUUCAGUGUUAGUGUGAUUUAAAAUAAGCAGGCAUUCGGUAUUUUAAAACUCAGUUAUUCCUCUCAAGUUGCAAUGCUGAAGAUAUUAUUGAUGAACAUAACAAAGUUAAUUAGUGGGCUAACCCAUUUUCUAAGAUAUUGGGGAUGAAAAAAAAUAAUUUUAAUAAUAAGUAUGCAAAACCUAAUGGGAAUUUGACUUUUCUCCAUGUCCAAACCAAAAUUAUCUCUUUAUGAAAAGAAUCAUUAAAAAUAUUUUUUAUUGGCAAUGUCAUCCAACCAUUUGUAUUAGGUUAAUCCCGAACAACGAAAUUUUACGUUCACCCCAAACUUAAAUCGCUCUCAAAUUUUGUGAGUAGAGAUUUCUUGAUUUGCAUACUACUUCAAACAACAAAUAUUUCAUGAUUGACAUGACUUAUCAAAAAAGAGUUACCUUGACUUUUCAUGGCUAUCCAACGAAUUCAAAAACUGAAAAAUCAUCAUUUUUACGAGAGACGACUUACAUAUUUAAUUUGUUUAUCAAGGAAGGUAAUUUUCUUGACGAACGUGCACAUUCAAGGUAAAUAUGAACAUUUAUUGUAUAAAAAAGUAUUUUUUUUUUAUGGUCAAGAAAACUAAGUUUGUGUGCGUAAGAAAAACAAAAGUUUAAAUGAAACAAGAGCAUUUUGUCGGCCAUAAAUAAUACAUUACGUUACGUACGUAUACAAAAAGAAAUGUAGAAUUUAUGUCUUAAGUUAAGUUGAUAUAUAUUUUUGUACGGUAAAUAUGUGUGUAACUGUAGUGUUAAACCAAAAAUUAAGCAAAAAAUUUAGUCUAGUUUUAGGUCAACAACAAAUGGGAAACAAAGAUUUCUUAACUUCACUGUCAUAUUAAUUUCAGAUUUUAGAACUUUACUCAAUUGGUCACUUAGAAGGCUACGUUUUUUAUUUUCUAUAAAAUAAAGUAAUGUAUUUCAAUAUGUCCUUUCUUUUAUUAUCCACAAAUAAGUUGAAUUGUCCACUUGUCACUCACACAUAAGAUAAAAUAGACAAAUGUUAUCACAUUUAGAAAAGGUAAGAUAUGAUUGUACGUGUAAUCUUGUAAGAUAUGUCGUUUGUGUUUCAAUAAUUAUUCAUGGAAUUCAAAUAAUUAACUCAUCACGUUUCUUGUGGUUCUUAAUUAUAUAAAGUUUUCUUUCUGUCCCAUUGAUUAAAUUACAAAUGUACUAUAUCAUAUAAUUGAUCUCUAAUCACAUCAAUAAUAUGUAAUCAAUUUUUUUAAUUUCUAGUGUGAAGUAUCUUUGGUAUAAUUUCUUUUUUUUUUAUCAUUACUUUAGUUUAUUUAAUUAACAAUAAAUUAUGAAGAUUAAAAAAAUAUCUAACUUUUGAAACAAACGUAUAAGUCAGCUUAAAUAAUGUUACUCUCUAUAUUAUCAAAAGUAUUAAUUCAAUGUAAUGUUCACACCCAAUCGUUCAUGCCAUUAAAUCUUAGUUCGCUUUAAUAAUUGGAUUAUGUUUGUGUGAACGAAAAAAACUGAACUGAGUUUAAGAAAGAAAAAAGUAUUACGAAAAAUAUCAUCUAUAUAUAAAGAUUUGUCGGUAUAUAGCAAAAAAUAUAUCUUGCGAACAAAUUUUAAGUUUAAUCUACUGUAGCCUUUAAACUUAGAUUUAGGUUGGAAAUACGCUCAAAAUCUUACGGCGGUUAAAUAAUAUGAGUUUAUAAAGGAAGAUACAAUUAUUUCUAGUGGUUAUGAACUUUUUAGAAUGUGAAACUCAAAAGAAAGUCUUGAAGAAAGUCGGUCUAAAAGUUGAUAAUAUCAUAUCAUUAGAGUAAUAUCUGACAAUUUAAAUAUUAUUUUUCAAUACAAUUUUGAGUUUAUUUAUUUAUUAUUAUUUUGUAUUUUAAAACUUUCUAAGGCCCCAAAUUAAACUACGUAAAGCUAAGCUUAGGUUUUCAAUAAUCCUUCCUAACUCUUUUUUUCACUAUUCCACGUCUCUUUUUCAAUCAUUUUCAAAUUUUGAGAGAUGGAUCCCACACGUCAUUUUCCACUUUUCUACAUUUUCCCAAUUUCCUUUUCUCUCUCUUUCUUAAUUUAUUUCUUUAUAACAUCCUUUCUUUUUCUAUUUUAUUCCUUUUUUUCCUUUGUUGUCUCUUUCCUUCUUUUUUUUUUUUUCCUUCAUUUUCUUUUUCAUUCUUUUUUUUUUUCCUUUUUUUUCUUCUUAAAAUAUAUAUUUAGAGUGUGUUUGGAGUGGAAAUUUACGACGAUUAGAAAAAUGAUUAUAUGGCUCAAACAUUGUAUGGGUCAAGGUUUUCCAUUUUUGAGGAUUAGGGUUAAAAAACCCUAUAAACUAUCAUACUUUAUCUUUUCAUAACCCUACAAAUUUUCCUACUUCACCUUUUCAUAAUCCUACAAAUUUUUCUACUUCAUCUUAUCAUAAAAUUACACUCAUAACUCUUCUCCCAAACACUUGUUAUAAUAACACUACAAUUAUAACCCUUUCCCCAAACGUAUAUUAUCAUAAUACUAUAACAAUAAUCUUUUCUCCAAACACAUAUUAUCAUAACACUACCAUUCAUAUUACUUCUCCCAAACACAUAUUACCAUAAUACUACCAAUAAUAACCCUAACAUCAAACAUAUAUUAUCAUAACACCAUCAUAAUCUUUUUUUCCCAUAACUCAUUCCCUCCUCCAAACGCACACUUAAAGUUUAUUUUGUAGACUUUUUCACUUCCUAUAUAUGAAUUAUAAUUGUUCUUUUUCCAUUGUUUACUCGUAUAUUCAAUAACUCUUCUCUUUACAUUUUAUUUUUAUUUGUUUUAGUACAAUAAUUUUAAUAAUAUAAGUUUGUAAUUAUAUGUUUUCUAUUACAUGGGCACACAAAAAAAAUAAAUUAAUGAAAACUAACGAUUCAAGCUAAAUUUAUGAAAUGAGUUUGAACGUCACAAUUAAGAAGAUUAAAAAAAUUAAUUUGAAGCAAAAUUUUGUAUUUCAUAGAAAAUAUAUAUGCAUAAAAAAAAAAAAGAUUAGUGCAAAAGAAAGAUUGAAGCUUAAUUUAUGAUAUAGACGUAGUAAUUAAAAAACUUUUUUCAUUCUGAUGUACCAUAUAUAUGCAUGCAAAAAAAAAAAUGGUAAAAAGUAACAAUUAAUAAUAGCAGUUUUAACGUUGUAAUUAUGAUGAAUAAGGAAAAUGUGUUUUAAGAAAAAUAUUGCAUUUCAUGAAAAAUAUAUGUGGCAUGGAAAGAAAUAUUAGUGAAAAUGCAAGAUCCAAGCUUAAAUUAUUGCUAGGAAUCUUGUAAUUAGAAGCUUACUUAAUUCGAUGUACAUUAUAUAUGUAUGAAACAUCACGAUUGAUGCUACAUUUAUUGAAUGAAUAUCAUAAUAAAAAUUAUUUAAUAAAAUCAAUUUAUGAAAAUCGUGUAUUGGAUCUACAAUAUAUAUUUUAGUGAAAAAAAUUUAUAAAAAACCUAGAUUGUAAUAGUCUCCACCCAAAAUACACAGUUUAUAAUAACACAUAUUAUUAUCAUAUAUAAAACACAAAUUAUCAUAGUCUACAACCCAAAUGCAGACUAUCAAAACAGAUUAUAAUAGUGUAUGCGCUCCAAACGUAGACUAUCAUAAUACUAGAACUAUCCUAAAUCACUCGCUCCCUAACGUCCCUUUAAAUAUAUGUAUGAAAAUUUUGUUUUUUAAUUAAUUGAUUUAGUUUUUUUUUUCUUUACUUGUUUUAGGUUUUUCUUUUAAUAUUAUCAAAAUAUCUAUUUAAUCUUUUAAACUUUAAAACAUUGGCCAUUGGGUAGCAAUUUUAAUUUUUAGUUUUUUUUUUUUUAAAAAAAGCUAAAAGCAUUUAAACAUUCUUUCCCUUUUUUUUUAAUCUUUUAUCUACUUCUUUACCAAUAUUUUAACAAUCCAAGUUAAAUCUUGAAAAUUAAAAAAAAAAUUGUAAUUUCUUUCGCAAAUAAUUUAACUAUUAUACAUAAGAAUAUGCAAAUUAUGGUAAAGAAUUUGAAAAUAAAUAUUCUUAGUUAAAAAAAAAAAACAAAAGUAAAAAGAUUAUAGAAUAAAGUCUAGUACAUUUUAAAAAUAUCUCACACGUAUAAUAGAAAUAAGAAAAGUACUUACAUGCAUCUUAGACAUUUUACUUAUGUUUCGUACAUUCCACCAAAUUGUCCAAUCAUAACUUAUCAUAUACCAAAUUUUGCUAAUUUUCUUUUCUUUUAGUAGAGUAUUUUAAUAUGUUUUUAUGUAAAUGGUAAGAAGGGAUGUACAAAUUAAAUGAAAUGCACCUAAGCAUACUUACUCUAUACUAAAUAUUCCCCCAACUUCAAUCAACCCAUGCCAACUUUCAAUACACGACCUAUGCUACGAGAAGAUUUAAAAUAAGGGGAAUGGUUUCGAAUACAGCAAAAAUGAACUAAAAUAUUUAUAAAUUAUAGCAAAUUUUUAUAUUCUCUAUCAACUACAGACACUCGUAGUCACUAAUAGAAGAUUAUCAAUAGUUAUGGGUGUCUACAAUUCAUAGAAUAAUUUAAAAUUUUGUUUUAUUUUAUAAAUAUUUUCACCAAUUUUAUCAUUUACAAUAAUUUUUUUUAAAAUAAACAUAUUUAAAUAUGGGAAUAAACUUUGAAUAAUGUAUAUAUCUCAAAAAUGUUUCCACUCUAAAAUUUUUAGUUUCAUUCCAAUUCAAUAUCUUAAAGUUCAAUAAUUGUUACAAACUUUACCCUAAUUUAUUCAAUCUCUAGCAAAUUUAAUUUAUUCAAUCUCUAGGAAAACAUGUCUCUCAAAAAAAAAAAUCAAAUAACACAAAAGAAAAAAAAACAUCCAUAAUUCAUUGAAUUAUUAAAAGCAAACAAACAUUACACCAAACGAAGCCUGCAUAAGAUCAAAUUAAUCGAUCAAAUUCGACUGAAUCAAUAAAAAAACAGAACUUUAGAGCCCCGUUCAGUCAUUAUUCAAUUUUUGGCUUCGAAAAUUUUGCAGUACCAAGUGACAGUUUAAGAAUAUGAUAAUCAUACGUUUUUUUUCCUUUUGUAGAUAUGACAAUUUUUAGUGUGUCAAAAAUAUGAAGUGUAUCGUAUAUAUCAAAGGUGUAUUUUUGUUUUUACUCCCAUCAAUUUUAUAGUGGAGAUAUGCUAAAUUCACAUCAUAAUUAUACUUUUCUAACUAUGAAUUAUAAAAAUAUAUUAAAAGGUAAAAAGUAUAAUAGUUCACACCUUUCGAGGUUUGUAUUCAAUUUAAUUUUUCAACUGACCACUAUAUCAAUUUAAAUUUUAAAUUUUCAAAAGUGUAUUUCUUCUUAAUCAAAAUAUUGUGUUAAACUUUAUUGAGUUUACAUUUGAAAAUCAUCAAAACAUUUAAAAUCCUACACAUGUGCAUGUAGAUGUUUUCGAUCGUCGAAUUAAUAAAAUGAACUAUUAAACAAAAUUGAUAGAUGGAUAAAUUUCAAACAAAAUGUUGAAAAGUAUUCCAAAUUGAUUCGUGAAGAAAGUUUAAGCAUUUAAUCAAUAAAAUUCAAAAACAAAACAAAACUCUUGAAAAGUGUAGGAAUAUAAAUGACUAUUUUUACAAUAAUAUUAUAUUGUUAGACAAAUCCAUAGAUAGUGUAUAUACUAUGCUUAUACUUCCAUCGUUUAUUAUUUGGUGGUAAAGGCACCAUGGAAUUGUGUAGAUAUCAAAUAGAGUGAAAAUCUUUUGUUGGAAACACUUUUUCAUAAUUACCUCAAACAACAAUUGAUGGAUUCAAAGGAAAAGAGGCAAUAAUGGUGGUGGAGGGGUAAUAAUUCCAUCAAAUAAUUAUAUUUCUUUAGUGCAUUUCCUUUAGUUGUAUUUUGAUAAUUAAUGGAAUGAUUAAUUAUUAUGCUCAAUACCUUUUUUUUCAUACCAUAAUUAAGUUUGGUCUUGCAUUAAUGAUAAAGUUUUGAAUUGUACAUGUAUGAUGAUUUUUAACUAUUGUAUUUUUUAAUUUUGUUACGGUACAACUAUGGUGGAUGGUUAACAGUUAAAUGAUGUUAGUUCUUAGUUCAUAAUCAACAGGAAGCUAUUAGAUUAAAUUACGAUAACGAUUUAAUGGUUGGAAAGACAAUUUUGGAAUACAAUGGUGGUAGUUUAUAUGUAGCCAACAUCAUAUAUUUUCAAGCUAAGUUUAAAUAAUGGAUGAAAAAAAUGUUUCAUAGUCCAUUUUAACUUGUCAUUCCUAUAAACUAAGAAAACUCCAUUAUCAUUGUCUCUUCUUUCUUUGUUAAAAUACAACUCAAUUCACAUCAUGAGAAAAAAUGGUUAAGUCAUAGAGAUUAGGAUCAAACCAUGGGGACUGUUUUUAAGGUUUUAUAUAAAAAAAGAGCUGACAGAAAAAAUAGCAAAUUAAUUUACUGGUUUAUUUUAGAUAAAUGACAAAAUUUAAUUUAAAUCGAUAAUAUAGCAAAAUUGUUAAAAAUGAAAAGCAAAAAAGCUGCAAAAAGACGGUGAAAAAAACCCAUCACAAAUAUAAUUAUUUCAAAACCCAAAAUACCUUAUAAUUGAAUUAGACUCCUGACUAUUACCAAGAUCGUUUCAACUUUCUCUCUAAUUUUACCCUACCAAAACUAUCGAACCAAUUAAAAGCCAUAAAAUUUCAAUUUUCCCUCAAACUCAGUUCGUCUACCCUCAUCUCCAUUGAAGUCAAUUUCAAAACUUGAAGUAAAGUGUCAGCUACUAUAACCUUUGAAAGAGCAGUGAUAGUUCACAAAAAAUCCUCUCAACUAAAAGAAAGACAUCCAACUUCGAUUUCUGCAAAAACAAAGUUUGUUUUGCCUUUUCUUCUUUUGUGUUCUCCUCUGAUUCCUGCAGCUUAGUUAAAUUGAUGGUUAAUAGCACAGUGUCAAUUAUCUUGAUGGACCGAUGCAAUCAGUCAUCCACUCCACCAUAAAUUGACUGUAACAGUAUCCAUUGAAUUUCUCCUCUAAAAAUAUCAACAUGCAUAAAAAUAUUUAAAUUUCACAAAAACAUGGGUGUUAUGGCCUAUUUUUCUCAAAAUGUUUUUUUUUGUCGGAUAUUUCUCAAAUUUAAAGGAACCUUGGGCCUUGGGCCUCCUCCCCACAAAAAUCUCGUUGGGCCAUAAACGAGUUACCCACUACCCAAGGCGUCCACUUUAUUCAUCGGAGCUCAGGUUGCAUGAACCGCGGAGCUCCGUCCAUCAAUGGCCAUCAACAAGCCUCCUCCUACUACAAAUUCCGACAACGAACGCAUCGUUAUUGGAUCUGCCAUAGCCUCACGGCUUCUUCUACUCUUCUUAAUCGUCUUCUGGCGUUUUCUCCUCAGCCCUUACGACACUUCAGCAUCGCUUAAUCCUUCAUGCUUAAUCAACCCAUCUUCUUUACCCCUCACCCAACAACCAGUUCUUUUUCCUCAAAUUGGCUCCGCCAUUGAGAGCAGCAUUGUCUGGGAUGGCGUCUACUUCGUCCGAAUCGCUCAGUGCGGUUAUGAAUAUGAGAAAUCCUACGCCUUCUUGCCCCUUCUCCCUUUCUGCAUUUCCCUCCUGUCCCGCACAGGUUUGCUAUUUAUACUUCAUUUCGUUGUUUAUUCCAUUGUUAUUUUUAUUUUAUUGGUUAUUAUGUAGAAUGAUCGCUUCUUACAUUUUACUUGGGUGGCUUAUGAACAACUGCCGAUGUGCUUCGGGGAUUAAUUCAUUUUUUGUGUGGUUAAUGCGGUUCUAAUUUUGGUACAGUAUUGUUGCCUUUGGUUCCGGUAAUUGGGCAUAGAGCUGUAUUGGGACUGUCUGGAUAUCUAAUUAAUAACAUUGCUUUUGUCCUUGCUGCACGUUAUCUUUUCAGGUGGGUUUGUUGAGAUUACGAGUUUUUGGCCUGUAAUUCUUAGGUUUAUACUCUGAUUUUUCAAAUGGGUAAAUAGCCAUUCAUCUGCUUUUGUACUUUCUUGCUUUUAUUCUAUGUAAAAUCCUGACAUCUUCUACCUGGUCGCUGUAAUAGGCUUUCACUUAUUAUUUUGAAGGAUGCGGAAGCAGCAAUGCGGGCUUCAGUUCUGUUUUGCUUCAAUCCUGCUUCUAUAUUUUAUUCAUCAUUGUAAGUGACUUUUUCUUUCCUAUAUCACUAUGGGCGUAAAAGGUUUUGAUGGUGAUGGACUAUACUUGCAAUUGUAGAUAUACUGAGAGUUUAUACUCGCUAUUUUCAUUGGGUGGAUUAUAUCACUUGAUGAGUGGUAGAAGUAGUGUUUCUGCUCUGUGGCUAGCUCUUUCUGGCUGUGCUAGGUCCAAUGGAGUGCUUAAUGCUGGUUACAUCUGUUUUCUGACUAUGCAUUGGGCUUAUGAUGCUCUUUUUCUGAAGAAAUGUAUCCGUGUAAGUAUCCUUUCUAAUUAAUUGAUAAUGAGUUUUAUAAUGUCUGUUUGUUAAGUUAUCUUGGUUGAGAAGUAAUGCAUUUCUCUAAUUGUUUGUGUUUCUGAUUUAUUGGUCAAAUUUCUCUUUUGAGUUUUCCUUUUGUGAUGCAGAUUUCUUGUGCUUUUAUACAAGACAGAAUCGAGUUGUUUUGUAAUUAUUCUCUUUUAGAUAUUGGUAAAAGUUGGAGUAUUUUUAUGUAAGCUCUUAGGCAAUUUUGAGGAGAACUCAUCUGCUCUUUUAUGCUUCAUUUUCUGAUGGAGUAGGUCCUUUUACCCUUCUUUUUACUAGGAGAUUUCUUUGGAAAGUUGGGCUCUUGAUUAUUUUGUAGUAUAUUUGGUCAGAGAGAAAUAGAAGAGUUAAGGUCCUUAAUCAAAGUGGCUUUAUUUAAAAGAAAAAAAAAAAUUUAGAUAGACAAAAUUUCACAUUUAUUAGAAGAAAAGUACAAGAGACGGUGGACAAAAGCUUCAUUUAGGAAGGAACUUAAGAAAAAGCAGUCCUGUAUUGUUUAACUAUGAUAAACAAAAAGGAAGUUGAAGAUGUAAUGUUCUAACUUUGUUUCAUGGUCAGCAAUGUAGCAUUAAUAAUAGUUUAUUAUUUAUUCCAGAAGGGACUGCAGGUUCUCAUUUCUGGAGCCCUAAACUGUGUCUUUAUAUUUGCUCCAUUCAUUGGAUUUCAAGCAUAUGGGUAUUACAAUAUUUGCAGUGGACGGAUACCAGAAGAAAUGAGGCCAUGGUGUAAAGCUAGGGUACCGCUGCUAUACAACUUUGUUCAAAGUCACUACUGGUAUUGACUUUUUAACUUGCCCAGUAUUCCAAACUUUAUAUCAAUAUUCUGUAGACCAUAGAUGACUUCGUAAUUAUUUUCAAAAUCUUUAGAUAAUCCUGUAAUUCUAGGGUUUCUCAUAUAUAAAUGUUUGAACUUGAAAUAGUUUGGAAGUGUAGGAACUUGUCGACAGAGAGAAUUAGGUUACAAGAAUCAGUUAUUAAUCUAACUAUCAAUUUGAACAACUCAGUAUCCCAACUCUAGAGGAUACUAAUUAUACUUUACAAGUGAGAAAAAGAAAUUAUAAAUUUUAUCAAUGAAGAGAAUUUUACAAAGAAUGAGUCUGUCAAGACUCGACAGGAUAAAGUUUCUUCUCUCUGAAGGAAGAGUUAUGAAGAAGAAUAGGGUUCCAAUCACUGCACAAAAAUUCUAAAGGAAUCCAAUUCAUAACAUUGCAAAUGCAAAGUUAUAGACAGCUUCCUAACAUCCCCUGAUACUGACAGGAUGAAUAUGUUAGAUACCUAGAUUAGUAUAGGGCUAAAGGUAGUUAGUUAUGUAGGCAGUUAGAUGGUUAUAAAUAGGAAGUUGGGGAGGGAAGAAAAGGGAGAUUAGUUUUGUGGGUAGUUUUUCUGCACUCUUUCUUGUUCUUAGUUAGUUUCUAUAUUUUCAUUUCAUAUCAAAUUUUUUUUGUAAUAGUGAGUUUAUAUCAAUUGAACAAGAACACGUUUAUUGGUGUUCCAUCAGAAUAACAAUCACAUCCUGAUGCUAUCAUACUCAUUAAGGAAGCAGUGAGAUUAUGUGGCUUCCCACGUUCAAUUAUCUCUAAUCGUGACAGGAUAUUUGUGAGACUUUUGGAAUGAAUUGUUUAAGAUACAAGGAACCCAACUUCAAAAAAACGCCACCUUCCAUGUUUAGAUGGACGAACUAUGUGAGAUUGUCAACAAGUGCUAGGAGAUCUAUGAAGAUAUUGAAGAAAAUGAUUUGUAAGAACAUCUUUUGAAUUUUCUUUUGUUACAUGUCAGGAACCAUGCGAUUUUGGUAAGUUGAAAGGGUGGGAUACUUUGGUUGGGUGUGAAGUAGGACCAUUUCCUUCUUCAUACUUGCAUCUCCAUUUGAGCCACAACCACAAGAUUUGUUUUUGGGAUCUCAUAUUGAGUUAUUGUGAGUAAGAUUCAUAAGAGACUCGUCUUGGAAAGAGCUUUUUCUUGAAAGGUGGUGGAUUUACACUCAUUCUAUUUGCGGAGUUCUCGAAAGAGGUUGCAACGAGAUGGUUGAGAAGUUCCAUCUCAAUCCUUCUUUUUCAUGAGAAUGAAAGGUUUUUAUGGUGAAUCGGGAUGUGUGCAGUCUUGUGGGACUUCUGGGGAGUGCAGAGCAAAGCUUGAGAGAUCGUUGAGUGAUGUUUGGUUUAUUGCUAGUUCUAACGUUUCUUCAUGGGCCUCAAGUCUAUUCUUAUGUGAUAGAAGGCCCUUGUUUUAAAUUGUCCACUUUUAAGGAGCUUUACUUUUUGUAUCCUCUUGUAUUAUUUCAUUCUCUCUUAAUAAAUCCUCUGUUAUAAUCCUCUGUUAUUCAUUAUAUAUAUAGAUAGGUAGAGUCUAAUUUUAAGAGCUUUAUUUUUUUGGGGGUUUUUACAAAAAUAACAAAAAAAUUUAUGAUAAUAGAGUUUAUGUCACAACAUUUUCUAAAUUCUAAAUUUGCAAAAGUAGCAAAUUUAAAAGUGAUGACCUCUGAUAGCCAUAUGAUUGUCGUCUGAUAGCCUUAUGAUUACCGUCUAAUAGUCGUCUAAUAUCACUAAUUUUACCAUAUUUGCAAUAUGCAAAAAAUUGAUGUCAUGAGCUUUUUUUUUCUAAAUAUUUUUGUCAUUUGAUGCAAUUUCCCUUAUUUUUUUAUGCUCUUGAUUUAUUUCAUUUCUGCUCAAUAAAUCCUCUGGUAUUCAUAUAGAUAGAUAGAAUAUAACUUCAAGUUUUUUUGGACACUCAAAUCGGAAAUUAAGGCUCUGGUAGUUUUCAAAGAAGCAGGCGCACAGGAAAAGAAAGCAUGUAGAUUUAAUUGUUUAUACAAUUGGGAAAUAUCAUUCGAUUUUCAGUAUUCCUUACAAACUAUUGUGAAAAGACAAUACGUUAGAAAUGUUUACUUUGUUUCAGAAAUUCAUUAUAAACCUCUUUUCAGAUUUUAUUAUUUAUAUUCUAAUUGAAAUUGCUAUGCUCUUUUUUUAACAUCUUGCAUACGUCUUUUGGGAUGGCAGGGGAGUAGGUUUCUUAAAAUACUUUCGAUUCGAACAGCUACCAAACUUUCUACUUGCAUCCCCAAUUUUGUCUUUGGUUUUUUUCUCAAUUCUCCACUACGGAAAGUCAAAGACAAAGCUUUUAUUCUCGGUGGGUUUCCAACCAAUGGAUGAUGAUAGAAAUUCUGCUGCCAUGCUUUACUUUCCAGAACGUGUUUCAAGGUCAAGCACACCUCAUACUACAUCUUCCUCUGGGUUACAAGGUAAUGCUUAUUUUUCAAUGGUAAUGUAACAAGAUUUUGUGUUGUAUGAGUAGGUAUAAGUUUUGAAAUUGAGUAGUAUCUUGUCUUGACUUUCCUUGUCAUUUUGUUUUGUUGCAAUUUUUAAAGCACCUUAAGCUAUUAUUUCAUAGGAAAUCAGAAUCUUAGACAGAGAAAGAAGAUUUUUGUACAGGAUCCUGCUGAGCUUGCAGUAGAGGAUAAACCGUCCAAUGGGUCAGGAUACUUUUCUGCUCUUGUACUUCCAUUUAUCCUACAUUUGGGGUUUAUGGCUGCCACAGCAUUUUUUAUCAUGCAUGUACAGGUUUGUCUCCUCUCCAUAAUUUGUACUUUUUUCAAAAGAAUAUGUACAUGGUGUGUGCUGAAGAAUAUCAUUUGCUUGCUUUCUGUUAUUUCAGCUACGAGUCAGCAUUAUUGUUUGCAUUAUAAAUCUAGUUUCAAUAUAUAUACAUAUAUAUAUAUAUAUACACAUUAGCAGCUGUUGAAGACAACUAUCAAGUAAUUUUUGAGUUUGGAACCCUCUGGUCCUAUGAGGCAAUAGUUCUCAAGUUAUUCCUUAUAAAUACCGAUAAAUAGUCCAUAUGGUAUGAAUUGUGUACGAGAAUUUUAUCAAACCAUUAGACUAUUUGUGAGAUUUUAUUAAAUCAAAUGGAUUAAAUUCCAAUUAUAAAUCAUAGGGACUGAAUUCUAAGUUUCUCCAAACGAUUCGAACCAAAUUUGCAAUUUAACCCUAAAACUAUGGUUCAUGUUGUAUGGACAUUACAUAGUUAAUUUUCUAUAUUUUAGAGAGUAAUAUUCAGCAUAAGCCUCUUCUGUUAGAAGCAUAAGUUAUUCAAACCCUAGCAAAUAGCAAAACAAAUCCAUAAAAACAUUCUAAGUUCCAUGUCUUGUUUUUAAGCUUAGUAUCUCAGAGUUCAGAAUUCAACAGGUUGCAACACGAUUUCUCUCUGCAAGCCCUCCUCUCUAUUGGUUUGCCUCAUACAUUACAGUUAAGCGAUGGAGAUAUAUUAUCUGGGCAUACUCUAUCGCAUAUAUCCUCCUCGGUAGUCUGCUGUUUUCAAAUUUCUACCCAUUCACAUGAUUUGUUGCAGCAAAACAACACUUUAGCUUUGGUAUCGAAUCAUCUUGGUUGCUGAUGAUCGUGCUAUUGCUUCAUAGUCCACACUGUUUUGGAUGAGAAAAAAUGUUUAGAACAAGAGCCACAAAGUUCGUUAUAGUUCAUGUAUUAGGGGAGUUCUUCGAGUAGAAGUUAUUUAAGUAAUUUAAAGAAAUUUUGUUCACCUUGUAUGUAAUAAUUGACUUAAUGAGGGUAAUUGUUGAUUACCAAGUUGUAUAAUUGCUUGUGUUUCAGGUUGCUUUUAGGUACUGUCUUCAAAUACAAAGCUUUCCUAACUAUUCAAAUGUUCCAUUUACAAUUUCUUCUCCUUUGUUUAUAUGUAAAUAUUUGGUUAGUUUUAGCUUUUGAAUUUCACUUUUAAGUUUAUUUUAGUCACAAACUUUUAGAGAAAUGUAUUUUCACUUUUAAAAAGUGAUUAUUUCAAUUCCGUUCUUUUAACAUGAGACUUUAUUUGCGACAGUUCUUAAAAUAAAACCAUAAACUGAUAAUAAAAAUUUUGAACUGUGUCAAAUUUAGGUUAAAAUUUUGUAACUUUGGAUCAAAACAGUCACUUUUUUAAAGACUAAAACAACAAUUUAAACUUUUUUUUUUCUACUUAAGUUUAGUAGGAGAAUGUUGAUUAUUAGUAACUAUAAUCCAAGUCCAACGACAAUGGUUAGAUGUCAUUUUUAAAUACUCGUCAAUCGAAUUGCUGCUUUUGUUUACAGAUUUAGACAAUGGUCUCAUGUGUCAAUACAAACUAAGCAUAAUCAAAUGAAGCUCAAUUUUUAAAUUACAAUUAAUUCAUUCUCAUUGCACUUAGUAAACAUGGUCUAGAUGCCGUCUUACUACUUUAUAGAAAUGAUGAUUAAAAAUGGUUAGUGAUAGUCUGACCAAGUCCAUCUAAAGUUUCAUAACUAAAUUUCAUAAAAUUGAAACCUUGAUGUCGAUUAAAUAACCUAGGCCUAUCAUAAAACGAUCACAAUGAGACAUUUCUUCUAAAAGCAAGUCCCUAUCAACAUUAGAGAUGGAUUAGUUUCAACUUUCAAACACUGUACAAAGAAGUUGAGAUACAAUAAUACAAAGAGAUCAAGAAAUAUCUCAAACAGAGGGACCAGAUCUGAGCACUCUCUCCAGUUUCUCAGCUUUUGUGUAAUCAUUUUCAUUGAGAGGCCCAGCAGGGAAUGGAGUUAUUUCCACAAUAAGAUGUGGGGUUGGAAGCUCAUCAAACAAAGCUCUCACAUUGUUGCAACAAACACUCUCCCCAUGAGCACUUUCCCUCCUGAUUUGACAACCCUACAAAUCACAAACCUCUACAUUGUGAUGUCUUUGAGAAUAAUCAUGCAAUUGAGCAAAAAACGGAACGGUUUGUGUGUGUGAAGAGUGAACAGGAUGGAUAACAAGCAUGAUGUGGAAUGGAAAUGGAGGAAUGAAUAAUUCUAGGAUUGUGAUUAGAUUUAGAACCUUGUGAGAUGUGGCAUCAACGAAGUGAUCGUCGUCGGAAAGGAGGGACAUGAUGGCUUUAAGAAGACGCCGUCCUUCGGAUUUAGAUGGCACUCGAUAGUUCCUUCUGAGGGUUCCCUUUGUGGUAGGAUGCCAUUUGCUCACUAGUUUUCUUUUAUCAACUGCUUCAUCCACUGUCAACAAACACAAGAAAGUAUGAUUCAUUCAUCCACUGCCAAUUCCAGAGGUUGAGGAAAGAAAACACUGAAAGGGAUUAAAACAAAUUCCUUUAACCACACUUUUUAAUUUCAUAUACAAAACUCUAAUUUGCUUGUAUCGUUCCAAAUUCCAAUUUUAUCAGAUGUCUCCAAAGGGGCGAUACAAAACUCUAAUCUAGAUAUAUUAUACAAUUCAACAGAGCUACAUAAGGUGUAAAGAAAAGAAUCAAAGAAUACCAGAUAAUUAGCAUACUAAACUCUAGGAUCAAAUUAAACAAAAUGUUGUAAGCAGAGUUGUUCAAUGUUUAUAAGUAUUCCAUGUUUAUUAGACUAAUAAACAUGGAACAACUCUAGAACAUUCACAAAGAUCACUGAGAAUUAUAGAUGGUCUGCCAAACCUAGCAUUCAAGACUUUCUUUUAUAGGAAACAACUAUAUUACAAAAAGAAAACUCUAUACAAGAGAUCCCCAUCAAAUAGAGUAGCAAAGUGCCUUCCAACCCAGCAUUCAAGAUUCAGCAGAAGAAUGGAUUAACAAAGCCCCAAAGUAUUAGUUCCAACAAUGUUUACAUUCAUAACUUAACUGCUAAAACUUUUUCUAUUAAUCUUUCGUACCCUAUCAAACAAAAAGAAGUCAUUCAAUGUCAACUACAUAGCUAAUGAUUAUUGAAGCUUCAGCCAUAUGAUUUGUAGAAUUUUAGUCCCUUGUUUCAAUUCAAAAUCAAAACAAAAGGCAACGUUGAUCAGUGAAUUCUUCAGUUAAUGUAUCCUUCAGUGUAUUCUAACAAACUAUGCUCAGUUUGGUAAGUUGAUAAAAUUCCUUUACAUAACCCACAAAUCAAGCAGAUUUAAAAGAUCACCAACAAACCUGGCUUUCCUCUUACGCUCUCCAACCAUUUAGAAAACCCCAAAUCACUGCUGCUUUCUCCAUCAGAACUACCACCAUAGGAUAAGUCCAAAUCUGGAAAGAAAGAAGAACCAAAAAAAAAAAAAAAAACACGAACACAAACACAAAAUUUCCCUAUAAAAAUCAAAUCCCAUAAUAAAAAAUAAAAUAAAAAAGGAAAGGAAGAUUGAAAAGGCAAGAAAAUCAGAAAGAAGACGAACCAGAGAUAAGUGGGUUGGAUUGAGAUCCAGCAAGACCAGCUCUUAGAAGGGCAUAGAAGAUGCAAAGUCUACCAGCCCACAAAAUAGGAGCUUCGAUGAGAGAAGCGCGAGUGGAUGAAGGAGAAUUGAAGGUGUUGGAGAGGGAUUUGUUGGAUCUUGUUUUGUGGAAAUGGAGGAAGGUUGUGAGGGCAUUUUUGGGGUGAGAUGGAAAACCAGGGAAAAGGGAUUUGGGGAGAAGAAGAUUAAUGGAAUUGAGAGAGUGAAAAUGGAAGGGGAAAGUGGAGGAUUGGGAAGGGGAAAUGAGAGAGUGAAGCAUUGUUGAGUUGUAGACUGAUGAAAUGCUCUCUAAUCCACGCAGUGGCAGUGCAUAGCGAGGGAGACAAGCUGACUCUUAGCCUUUCUACUCACAAAACGCUACCGUUUAACCCCUUGAAGGGAUUUUUUCUAUUUUUCUUUUUGUAAGUACAAAUGUCUAACCAAGCAAAUUAAGAGCAAAUUCAAGUUAUAUCGUUAAAUAAAAGUAAGCAUUGGAUAGAAUCAUGGUUAUAAAAAUCACAAAUCAAAUCAACCAAAAUUUCAUUCAAGUUUCUAAACUUUUUUAUCAACAGGUUUUCAACAAUUUGAGAAUCAGUUUGAAUCCAAAGAGAGAAAAUAUCGUUUUAAGAGCUCUAAUCAAACAUGUCAAAGGACUUAGCAAGCAAUUCAAUUUUGUUGAGCAGAGAUGUAGACAAAUUGAAAAUAGGAAGGAUGGUGAGUGGGUCCAAAUGGGCCAUUUUAAUGCCUUAUCCAAAUGCAAACAAUGUAUCUAACAAAAGUCUUUAAUUUCCUAAGAAGUUGUAACUUUUGGAACUUACGAAAUUAAUAGCAAGAGUGAUUUUAGCCUGUCAAACUCACUUGUAUUUAAAAUAAUCAUGUUUGACAAUAAAAUAAAAUUAAUUUUUAAAAAAUAAAAAAAAAAUCACUUUAAAUUGAAGUGAUUCUUCUUUAGCAAUGGUAAGGGAAGCAUCUCCGAUAUUAUUAGAAAUAAACUAAUAAAAUUAGAUAUUUAUUUAAAAAAUUGACAACCACUUUCGGCAAACUUUUGAUUUUUUUUUUUUUUUUUUUUGUAACUACGACUGCUUUUCUAUAGCCAUCGAUCAAUGUUUGAUGAUCACAUUUCUUGGAUAUGGGAUGAAAUAUAGGUUGAGACGUAUGUGGAUAUUUUUUAAAAUGUAAAAUGUAGGUUUUGGUUGUUAUCGUUUUGUAAGUUGUCAUUGUUUUGGUUCUAGAGAAAAGUUUAUGAGCAACACUAUUUUUUUUUUUUGUAAGUUAUUAUUGUUUUGGUUAUGUAAAGUAAAAUUAUUUAGUAUGUAAGUUGUUAUGUUUUGGUUGUAGAGAAAAGUAUAUAAGUUUAUUUUUCAAAGUGUGUUUAUUGAAUAUGUUUCUAUUUUUUACUUUUAUUUGUUUUUCAUAUUCAACUUUCAAUGGAGAUCACUUCAUGGCAUGCAAAUAAAAGUUUGUGUACUAUUUAUGUAUUGUUUAUUGAAAUUUUUGUUACUUUAGAUUAAUUUACUAUUUUUGGUAUGUUAAUUUUGUAAGAAACAAUUGUAACUUUUAUUGAAAUAUUAAAUAAAUUCUAGUAUUUUCUAUUUCUACCGUUUGAAUUGUGUUUAGGUACAAACCAAAAGUAUGGUGGAAAAACAAUACAAACAUAAAAUAUAUAAUUUUUUUAAAAAUAUAGGCUUCUACCCACAACACACUAUUUUAUAGCGUCGACAUUUCGUGGAUUUGUCGACAAAAUCUAUAAUUGUCGGCGUAAUAGAGCUACAUCGUCGACAAUACAAGGAUAUGUCGAUGACAUUCUUACAUCAUCGACAUAAUAAAUGCCCACGAAAUAUUUUCACCGUUGGUGAAUAGCCCUUUCACCGAUGGUUAACUUCUAAUGUGGGCAUAGUUUCGUAGAUUCAAUUCUGUCGGCAUGCAAUUUCAGUAUUCACCAACGAUCACUUUUUCGACAUCAACGAAGGCUCUUUCAACGAACCUACACCAACGGUUUGUGUCAACAGCUUAAUAUCGUCAACAAAAGAAAAGUCGACGCAUUUUUGAAGAUAUGUCAACGAUUUAUGUCAUCGGCAAAAUGUCAAAUUCUUGUAGGAAUUAAAUUUUUGUAUUUAAAAAAGUGAUAUAUAGAGUUGGUGUGAAUGAUUAUUUAUUAUUUAUUACUAUGAAAAGAUAUUUUUUUCGAGAGAGAAAAUUGUCAAUAUAAUAAUUAGAUUAAGAAAGUGAUUAAUGAAGCAACAUUUAAAAAAAAAAAUCAAAUAUUAUCAAAUUUGUGAUAGCUAUCAAUGAUGAGAUAAAAAUCUAUAAUUAAUAUAUUAUCUUAUAAAUAUUAAUUUAUCAUUGAUAGACCAUGAAAGUUUAUGACAGACUUUAUUAUAUUUACAAUUUAAAAUAAAAAGUUAGUUUUAGACAUUAAUAUUUCUUAAAUUGCAUUUACACAUUUAUAACUUUAUUAAAAAGAUGGCAUUUGGAAAGAAAGUGUCUGGGCUUUAUGGAUAUGAUCAUUGGGCUUACCUAUACAAUGCAUAAAUAUCUUCUCUUUCUCCUUUCUAGGCUACCUUAUAUAUAUUUUACUUUUAACUUUUUCCAUUUCCUACUUAAUCCAUAAUGAUUCGACUUAACAGAAAACAUAUCGUAAUAGGUCAAGAGUAAUUAGACAAGAAAAAUAAAUUGACUUAAAAAUAAUUAUUACCUAUACCUUUUUAUUUUUGUCUAAUUGGGAUUACCAUGGUUAGACUAAACAUUAUCAAAUUAGAACAAUUGUUUAAAAGAAAUUGUGGUUUAUUAAUUUAGUAGUCUACAACCCUUCUUUUAAGGGUCCAAAGUUUGCAAAUUUUACAUUGUUUUUCAGCAAAAUAAUACUGCAUGCAAACACCAAAAUGCUCCAUUUCAACAAAGGAAUGAUCCUUCCUAAUAGAUCUAGAAUCUCAACCAUAACAUAUUUGAAAAUAAUCGUCAACAGGUUAUUUGGUCAUUAAGUAAAAUAAAUUAAUAAGUUGGAGUUCAAAAGUUAUUUCACAUUUGAAACAUAGAGCUGUAAGAUUGAGUUUUACUCUAGUUGUGAAAAGUAAAAAGAUGAAGACAACGAUAGAAGAUAAUGUAAAUAAAUUAAAAAAAGAAAAAACGAAUUUGUUCGAAAAACGUAAAAAAUAGAGAAAUAAAAGAAAAGAAGUUAGUACUUUAAAGUUUAGUUAUCUAACACGAAGCUAAUACAAUUGGUUGCUCGAACAACCCUAAACUCAUUAAUUAAAAGUAUAGUUGUUGGUGUCUAUAACUUUGGCAUUUCAAUUCCUCUAACAACUCUAUCUACAGAACACCCCUAAUUUAUCAACUCUCUUAAUCGUUCUAGGCGUAUUUUUCUUUUCAUCAUUUACCUUCCUAAAAUAUGUACAUAUCUACAUUUCACUAAAUUAGCAAUCACCUUAAAUAUAUCUAAAGAAAUUGUAUUUGUGUUUUAAAUUAGAGCGCUUUGUUGUAUAUAAAAGGUUUUCAAUUAUAUACCAAAAUGAACUAACUUAUUUAUAAAUAUAGCAAAAUUUUAAUUUUUAUAUGUGAUAAACCACGACAGACUCAUAUAGAUAUCUAUUUACCUUAGUGACAGACAUUUGCAAAUGUCUAUUUUGAUCUAUCAUGUAGUCUAAGAAAAUUUAACCAAGAGAAAAAAAUAAUUGAAAUUACCUUUUCCUUUCUAAAAAGAAAAAUGUUUAAACGAGAAACUAUGAAAAACUAUGCACAUUAAUCAACCAUAUGAAAUGGCAAAAGGGUUAAAAGAUCGUGAGUUAAAUUUUUUAUUAUCAUUUACCUAAGAUUUAGUAUCUACGAACGCUUUUUACAUAUCUAAAUAUCAUAAUGUCAAAUUAAGUUUAUUGUCGUGUAUGAUUAGUCGAAUUACAGGCACUAUAUAAAAUAUAUAUACACACACGAAUGAAUGUUGAUUGAACUUACUGUUAGGAAUUUUAAUAUUAAAAAAAUUAUGAUGAAGUUAAUUAAAAUUAAAACUUAAAUAAUUUUUUCAAACUCUCUAUUAUUAGGGUUUUGAAAAAUCAAGAAUAUGUGUCAUUUUUGUAGCAUGAGAAAUAUAUAUAUUAUAUAUAUGCUCCACUAAAUCUGAAAAGGGCUGGAAGAGGGCUCUCAUCAUGAGUUAUAAAUAAUUAAUGAAAAAAAUAUUGUCCCAAUUUUGAUUCUACUUUUUAUUUUUUAUUAAAAAAAAUACAAUAACCAAAAUCACAAAUAAACAAAGAAAUAAAAAAGUCAUAAGUGGUUGUUUAAUAAUUAGGUUUAAUUAUUGGUUACAAAUUAUAGAGGAGAAAAUGGUCCUCCCUAUGUAAAGAAAUUUUUGUAACAGAGUAGCCUUUUCCCUAUUCAAAAUUUAAAACCAACCUCUUUUAUUGUGAUUUUCAAAUUAUAUGAUGAUAAUUUUAGUGAAUCUAUCAAAUUUUACUUAUUUAACUUCUUUUUAUAAUUUUAUAUAUAACCUUCUCAUAACGACAACAACCGUAAAUUUAUAAUUUGAAUAAGAGAGAAUUUUAUAAAACAAAAAAAAAAAAAAACGACUUUAAUAUUGAAUUCAAAGAAUAAAUAUAUUUUGAAUGGAUUUGAUUUAGGUUUAUCUUAAUUGGACAUGGUGUUUUUUUCUUUCAAUUGAUAUGUUAUUUUAUUUUUUAUUUUUUAUGUAAAAUUCUCCCUAGUUCUAAAAUUAAAAUAAGUAAGUAAUUGUGUAGAUGAUAUGAGAUGCAUUUCUACCACUAAUUUCAUAUAUAUUAUUUAACCUAAGUAAAUAGGUUUUUAAUUCUUAAUUGUAGCCUUUAUAGGGUUGAGGGGUCCAAAUUGUGUCAUCAACUAAAGAGUGAGGAUUUUGUUAUCGAGAAAAGAAAUGGUAAUAGAGAAGAAGAGAAAAAAAAAUCCAAAGGCUAACCUUAGGGAGGGGAUAGGAAGGAAGAGAGAAGCUGUGUGAUGAUUGAUAGAAGAUAAAAGAAUAAAUAUAUAGUUGGUCAAGCAAAGUUAUGGAGAAAAAAGGAAUCUAUUAUAAUAGGUGGUGGAUAUGAUUCGAGUCAAAAGACGUUUUAGUUGCUAGCUAGCUGACUACCAAAGGUAUAUGUUGGUUAACCUAUGUUUGCUAUAGAAGUGUUUUGUAUAAUAUGUGCUAUAAAUUGUUUUUUUAUAUGUCAUUUGAAUUUAUCCAUGAAAAUCUUGUUUUACUUAAAAGCAUGACUUAAUAUUCGAAUCAACGUAAGCAUGACUUAAUAUUCGAAUCAACGUUAAAUAUGAAUUUGGUCUCAAAUACUACUGGAAUAAUCAAUGACUCUAAUUCUCAUAGUAAGAUUUCUCACCAAAUUAUCAUUUUAAUAUAUAUAUUAUUCUUUUUAUAUAUAUAUUAUUUCUCUAUUUUUAUUAUUCAAAUUAAACUACAGUAUAUGUAUAAAUGAAAGGAACUAAAUUUUUUUAAAAAAAGUUGUAAAAGUGAGUGUGAAAUAUGGAAGCUAAAUCUAUAGGUGUAAAUUGAAACAUUAGAACUAAAAAUAUAUUUUGGAAAAAGUAAUAAUUAGACUUCAAAAGAUGAGCAAUUUUAAGGGUGUAAGAAUAUGGGUUGAAUCUGAUAACUCGAACUACCCGAACUAUUCAACCCAUAUUGUAUGGAUUGAGUUGAUUGGGUUAAAAAAACUUGAUUUUUUCGAGUUGGGUUGGAUCUUAGGUUGAAGGAUUGAAAAAUUCGGUUCAACCCAAUCCAACCCAAAUUAAUAAUAUAUAUAUCUAUAUAGUAUUUAUUUAAAAGGUCUUCCUCUUCUCCUUCACGCACGACAUUCCUAUUUUCGUUUGUAACCUUGAAUGUACAAAUAUAUAUAUAUAUAUUUAAUAAAAUAAAACUUAAAAAUAUAGGUCUUCCUCUUCUCCUUCACCUUCAAGCACGGCAUUCCUAUUUAUGUUUUUAACUAUGAAUGUUUGGAUUUAUGUAUGUUUAAGAACUUUGAAUUUAUUUAUGUUUGUAUAACGACUUUGAAUUUAUGAAUGCUUCAAACUUUGAGUUUAUAUAUCUAUAAAAUUUUGAAUUAUGUAUGUUUGAACUUUGAAUAUAUAUCAAUUUUGAACUUUUUUUUUUUUAGGAACUAUUUUGAAUUUUACAACCCUUGGAAAGUGUAGGGAAAAAAAAUGCAAUCCGACAACAAAACUCAUAUUUUAUGGGUUGGGUUGGGUUGGAUUGAGUUGGAAACUAAAUAACCCAAAAAUAUUGGUUGGGUUGAGAAUGUCUUCCAACCCAACUCGAUUACACCCCUAAGCAAUUUAUAUGUGUGUAAAUCGAUAAAAAUAAAAAAAUAAAAAAAAAAUUAGGUUCAAAACAUAUAAGCAAUUUUUAAAAAACACUUUAAGAGAUUAAAGAAAAAAAGAUAGAUUGAACAAGGAAGAUUUACUCUUUUUGUUUAUUUUGUAGAAUUUUUUUGAAAAAGCAACAACAAAUAAAAAAAUAUAUCAUUUUUCAUCAUUUUUACAAUUUCAUUUAUACGUGUGAAUCUUAUGAAGGUUGUGAGUUAGAAAAUCAAAUAUUUGUGUUAUAAAGACUUGCACUACGGUGAUGUAUUCAUGUUCUCCAUACUUCGACAAUUAAAUCACGAAUGUAGUGUUCAGUAAAAACGUGAUUAAUUAAGUUUUAGUACCUUUAUCAUAUGAUAGAGCUUAACUAUUUACGACCGCUCGUUUUUCAUGCAUUUAAACUUGUUCAUUAACGCAUGACAAUGUGUCAUCGAAAAAUAUGUCAAGGUAAUCAAUGGCAGCUAGAACAGUAAACCCAAGCUCAAGGAUUUCUAAUUUGAAAGUCUCACUGUUUCUUUUAGGUCUAGACCUUGCUUGAAAUUUGACCCUAACAACAUAAUUAUUAUUAUAUAAAAAGAUGUCCCAACCAAAUAUGUAGUAAGUAAGAAGUUGGAAUCGAGUAGUAGUAAUUAAUUUGGAGUAUAAAAGCUUUUUUAUUUCAAAAGAGAAAAAACAAAAGGAAAUAAAAAAAAAAAUAGAAAGAAUAGUAACUAGAAGAAGAAUGAUAGAAUGCAUAUGAAUGAUUGAAAAGAAAAUUUUGAAGGAAAAGUUUAAUAACAAGAAAAAAUGAUAAGAAGCACUUGGAAAGUACAAAUUGAGUUAUGAAAGUAAUUUGGUGUGUUUGUACUAAUAAAUUAACUAAUAUGCUCACAUGUGUAGCACUUUUGAUAUCAUUGGAAACAAAUGGUUAGUGGCCAAAAGAGGGAAAUAAGAAUCAAAAGGGGACCAACUAUGCCCUUUAAUUUUUUAUUUUUUAUUUUUUUUUGACAAAACUACAAAAAUCAUCGAAAACUAUAGCGGUGGUUGCAAUUAUAACCACAAACUUUCAAAAUUAAAAAUUAAGCUUUCAAACUCAUUCAGAAUUUAAAUUUUGACUUUCAAACUUACAUGAUUGUAUAAAUUAUUAUAUUGAUUUUAAGGUAUGAGAAUUAAACUUUUACGAUUACGGUAAGUUCACAAGGGUUCAUUUAUUACUUUUGAAAGUUUAAGGAUCUAAUUGCAAUAAUUAUCAUAUUUUAGAAGUGGUUUUUGUAAUUUGCCCUUUUUUUCAACAAGUGUGUCCUUUAAUUUAUCGCAAACAAGAGAAGAGAUCUAAUGUGUGUUUGAUCAAGUCAUACCAAAUGAUUGGAUUUUGAUAUCAAAUUUUGUGAUGAUAUAUCAAUGCUCAUUAUAAGGGUUGAUCAUGUAAAAAUAUGGCAUUCUUUUUUUUUUUCUAACAUGGUUUUAGUACUUUGUUUAAGAAAAGUCUUUUAAGGAUGCAAGAUAGAUUUCAAAAUUUCUAAAAGAAAAUUAAAAAUUAUUUACAAAAUUAGUGCAAAUUAUUGCAAAAAAAAAAAAAAAAAACUUUGAUUACAUCAUGUAUCGAUAAGAUAAAUAAAAUCAUGUGUUCAAACUUUGAUAAUGUUAUUAUGUAUUUAAUGUCAUCACAAUAUAAUCUUCAAUUAAUAUUAAUUUUUACUCAUUCAAAUUUACAACCAAAUUAAAAGAUUAUAAGUAAAGAAAGGGUGAAGUAUUCGUAAAAUUAAGUUUAUUUUAAUUUAUAAAUAUCAAUUUGAACUUUUGCCUUGAUAGAUGCUUUAACUAUCAUUACUUUUAAUCUAUGAAUUGAGACUUUUGAUCCCUCGUUUCAUACUGUUAUUAUACUAAAAAACUAUGAAACUAUUGAAAAUUUCAUAUUCUAUUUACGUUAAAAUCAUUAAUAUUAAUUGAUAGAAUAAAAUUUUGAUAUGUUUUAUAAAUAUUUUACGUUUAAUGUGUUAUAAAUUUGAAGAUUGCUUGAAUCAAUACUAAUAUAAAAAGAAAAUCUUUGGGAUAUAUACAUACAACUAAGUAACAUGCAAAAUCCAUAUAAAUUAACCUUCGUACCUAUAGCUUAUACAAAUUAUCUAUUUGUCUUCACUAAUAUAAUUUGAUUAAAAUAUUAUUUUAGUCUUUUUCUUUUUUAAUUUAUUCACUUUUAGUUCAUAUAUACUUAAUACAUCUUAAGUAUAGUAUCUUGCUAAUUUAUUGUUGAUUAAAGAUUGUAAUCUAUUAGUAUUUUCACAAUAAAUUUUAAAAAUAUAUUCAUCUUGUAUAGUUAGUAUGUUUAUUAUUUAUGGGUGAUUUUUUAUAAUUAGUAAAAAAAAUAAGAAUAAAAGCAAGAAGACCAAUAAAUCAAAAAAUAACAAAAUUUUAGACUGAAAGUACUAGCCUAAGCAUAAACGGGCUUAAAGAAGAUAAGUUCGUGCCAAAGCACAAACUUAUGUGUUUAGCUUCGGCCAAGGUCAAGGACAGUUUUAGCAAAAUAGUUAAUAGGACAUAUCCUACAUAUGCUCGGGCAAAAAAGGCAUUGUCCUAAGAUCAAAAUAAGGGCAUGGCUGUAAAAUUAUAGGAGAAUAACCUAGUUUUAAGUUUCUCUAUAAAUUACGUACACAUUGCUAUAAAUUCACGUGUUAACUUGAAUCUUACUCUCAAACUCUCUAGUUUCCACUCUUACUUGAAAAUUAUAUUAGAGUGUGUAUGGUCGUAAAGCACCACAUCAGAAUGCAAGUCUUCUCUCCUUCAAACAAAUCUAUUGUCAGUGUCACACGUGAAUGUCAAGUACGUUUUUCGAAUUUAAAUUUUGACAUCAAAAUUAUUUAACCAAUUUUAGUCAAAUAUAACUUUCAAAUACUAAACUCAAGUUUUGUUAAAAUUAGUAUAGAUAUUAGAACUGAAUAAAUUUGGAAGUAUAAACACUAAAAUGAUAUAUUAACGGAUAAACUAUUUAUAAUGAUUACAUAAGUUAGGAAGUUGUAGUUGUAUAUUAUUUGAUCAUUACAUUGGAGAGGAUGAACUUCAAUGAAAAUUAAUUAUAAUAUGAUUAGAACAAGCUUUUAGAUAAAGUUAUUAAUUGAUUUAAUUAAUUUUGAGCUGACAAAUGGCCGAAAGAAACGUUGGAUCCCACAGAGAGUUAUGAUUUUGAGUUAAAUAUUAGGUUUCCAUUAUGGUAAUACUUAAUAUUAUUUUCAUAUGCAUGAGAGAGACUUUAAUUUUCUUUUUUAAAAUAGAAAAAAGAACAAUAUAACAACUAACUUUUUGGGCAAUUAAGGUUUAAAUGGUUACCAUGUGCAUGGAAAUUAAAUAGUAAAAUAAAGGUUACAUACAUUACUAUUAUUUUCUCAUUAAUCAAAUAAUAAUUUGGCUAACUGGUUUGAAUAUUCCAUCGUUUUAGAAUCUUAUCAUUAUCAUUUCAAUGCUAAAAUGAGUUUAGCUCAAUCAUGAUUGAUAUCAACUUUUCGUCCGAGUCUAGUUGUGGAGUUGAGGGUUCUAUAAUCUGAUUUGCAUAUUGCAGAUUAAGUGGAAUCUACUAGCUUUUUCUAUAUACUUUUGAAUGAUAUUCCAAUUUUUCUUUUGUGUAUACCAAUAUAGUUAUCGUACUAUUAUAGAUAUUGUUUAUCAUUACAACCAAAAUGAGUCUUAAUGUUAAUUUAAAGAUGCUAUUAUAGAGGUACGAUGUCAGUUGUCAAAGUAGGAGAACUAUAAAUAUGUUAAAGUAUUAUUGUCAUUAUAGAUAUCGAUUAUCGAUUGACUCUAAAUGGUAACGGUAACACUAAUGAUAAAAACAUAAUGAUAUUAGAGUAAACAUCUCUUCCAAUAAUAAUUAAAUUACAUUUUUCGAAGGUAUAAGUAAAUGUAAUCAAAAGUAAUCCAAUUGUAUUUUACAAUCGAUAUACAUCAACAAAAAUCCACUAUGUGAUUACCCAUUCCUUAUUACGAUUAGUAAACAUAGCCUAUAAUCAAUAUUGCAAGUUAUUGUAAAAUUAUUUGAUGAAUUUCAUUUUAUUUAUUUUAAUUGCGUGAAGGAUCCAUUUGACUAUUUAAAAUUUAAACCUCCAAACGUUAUUUUAAAAAAAAUAAUGAUAAAGAUCAAUUUCAUUUUAAAAUUUCAAUCAAUCAAACUUGAAUCAAGUUCAACUAAUUUAAAUAUAUCUUCGAUCAAAACAUUAAAGAUUUGAAUUAUCACGUUAGAUAAACUAUAUAGUAAGUAGAUUUUAAUUUUAAUAAUUACAUAAAGUUUUGGAUUAAACUUUGGUAUGAUGAGGAAAAAGUAGAUUAGAACGUGCAAAGAGUUGCAAUCAAUUUAUUUAUACAUAAAGCAUUAAGAGUGAGUGUGUACAUAAACUUAUCUUUAGUUGCCCUUUAAUUACUAUUAAUUUUGUUAAUUUUGCUUUGGAAAAAAGGGGAAGGGUCGAGAAAAGGGGAAGACCCUUCCUCUUCAUCCCUAUCGUUUUUUUACGAGUGAUAGAAUCUAAAAGUUUAUUAUAUAUAUAUUUAGUAAAUAUUUUGUUUAUUGAAUAUAUCUGAAAAUAUCUGCUAACCAAUUAAGAGAUAUAUGAACUAAUUGACAAAAUUAUUUAAUCUCCGAAAUUUUAUUAGCUAGUAACUUAAUUUUUAAUUUUGUUGUAAAUUAUAAUCCAAUCUCUAUCAUUAAAAUUACCAAAAAUAAAGUGUUAAUAUUUAAUAUUUAAUAAAUUAGUCUAUAAAAACUUAGAAUAUAUAUACUUUGGUCUAAUUUGGUUUGCCUUAAAAAGAAAUUCAUAUUGCUUUCUUCUUGUGGGUUUGGUUUUAAGCAAUUUAUUGCUUUACAUAAUGAUAACCUCAAAUUACUACUUAACAAAAAUAUUUAUGACAUCAAUCCUAAAUUAUUAACAAUUUUAAAUUACAAAAAUGAAAGAUUAUUACCUAAUCGAGCAAUUAAUUAAAUCGUUACCAACUUUGGAUGGACUAAAUAAUUACUUCAAUUAAACAAUUACCAUCCUUUUUAUUUUUUAAAAAAAAUCUUGUUCUUUGAUCUUCUUAUCUUUAAAUAAGGAUUAACAAAAUUACAUGAACAUAGAUCACAAAAUCUCUCAUUUUCUUGGUGGUUAGAUUACCUAUAGAUUGUACUCAAUGAUAAAUUUUUACAAUUACUUGUAAAUUCAUUUUACUAAAUUACAAGUCAAGUCUUCCAAAAAAAAAAUUUAUAGAUGCAUCACUAACAAACAUUCUUCAUAUUUAACAUAAGAAUUUAAAAAAAAAAAAAAAAAAGAUGGGUUUGAGUUUUUUUUUUUUUUUUUUUUUUGUAAUAUAAAGUUCAUCCAUAAUAAUAAAAAAAUUUGUCUUAUUACAUAUAUAUUGAAAAAGAAAUAGUAAGAAGAGAAAUACAAUGUACAUAAUUAAUAGUUACUUAUUUAUAACUUUUACAAACCCUUGAAAUUACUUAAAUAUGUUAAUCUUACUGAAUAAAACUUUAAGAAAAAAAGAAAAACUUCUACAUACUUCACUAUUGUACCUGAAAUUUCACAAAAUAAUACACAUUGGGUUUGAGUAGUUUUUCUUAAAUAUGAAGUUCUUCCAUUAGAAAUUUACAAUGGUAAUUAACCAUAACAUGAUGAUAAUUAUGAUAAUUGGAACCUUUUCAAAUAUACAAUAUAUGACCCCAAAAAAAGAAGCCAAAAAAGGUCAGAAAUGCACUGACAAUGGCAUCCUACAAGUUAAGACAUAUAUAGAUAGAAACAAAGUUAUACUCAUAAUGCAUCCCUUUGUAAUUUUAUAUAUAUAUAUAUAUAUGUAUAUAUUGUUAUUAUUUUAGAAUGUCUCAAUUUUAGUCCAUGUUUUUUCAAAAAAAAAAUCUUAAAUUUAAUGGUUGUUAGCUUGUUUAUUGUUUAACUUUUCAAAUCAUUUUUUCCUUUGUUAUUUAUUAAUACUUUUUACUAUAAGUUUUGGAAAUAUUGAAGUUCUUUACACGGAAAAAUAUUAUUUCUUUACCCUAAUUUGAUAAAAAUAUUAACUUCGACAGAGAUUAAAUUUAAGAUUUUUUUGAAGCACUUUGCAAAAUGGUAUUUUAAACUGAAAAGAAAAAAAAAGUAAUUUACUUGAGAACUUACAAAUGAAUUAAGGGAAAAUUCAAUUAGUAAGAAAGAAGAAAUAAAGUAGAAGCAACAAAAUGGCAACACUCCAAGGAAACAGAAGCAAAAGCAGAAGAAACCCAACUCCCCAUGGGAAUCCCACAGCUGAAUGGUUGUUGUUAUAUCCUCCGUCGCGGCCGAGAGAUAGCCAGUGAACGGCAACAACCAAAAGCAACGGCGAAACAACGACGAGCCUCUGAAAUACCUCUGAUGCCGAGGCAACGGCGGCAUCGUACACGGCAUAAGCCAAGAAUCCAAAGAUUAUAAGAGCAAUGGUUGCAAGAAGCCAUUGGUCUGAAAAGCUCAAGCUUGAAGAGUUUCUACAAGUAGCCAUAAGAAUAGAGAGAGGGGGAGAAAAAAAGUGAAAAGGGUGUUGUUGUUUUGGUGUUUGUGUUUAGGAGUGGGAAAUGAUUUGUAGUUAAAAAGAAGUGAAAUGUGAAGAAAUACAAAAAUGGGGUUUUCUAGUUUUGGCUUUAUAUUGUGGUCUUUACUCAUACUAUUGGGUUUAGAAGAUAAAUAAUUGACUGUCCCAUUGCUGCCACAAUCAUACAAACCCUUAAAAUUACAUACAACACCCUCAACAACUCUAGUGUCUGCCUUUCAAUUAUGUUUUUUAACUUUUAAAAAGUAUCUUUGUAGAGUUUUUAAUUUUUUUUAUUAAAAUAUGAUGAAAGGUGACGUGUUGGUUAACGAGAAAAGAAAUUAAAAGGCAUGUGUGAUAUUGUUUUCAAUAAUGCCAUUUAUGUAAAUCGAUAAAAACCGAUGAUGUGAAAAUUUUUAUUGUUAAAAUGCCUUGAAUCUAAUAUUAGGUGCUCCGAAUUACUAAGUAUUGAGCCUUUGAUGGUUUGUAUUAAUAUAUAAUAUUAUAAAUUAUUCUCUUUAAUAAUAAUUUGUUUUUCAUUUGUCCAUGGUUAGUAAUUGUAGCUAACAAGCUGUUAGUUCCACGACUCGAGUUUAAGAGGGAGAUUACAUGUGAAAAGAGGAAUUAUGAAGACAUGAGAUAUUGGUAAAAAACACUUUAAAAGAAUUGAAAAUUACUAUAUAUACCAACAAGAGCGGUGUAUCUUCAUUUUCAUUAAUUCAAUCAUAAGAACUUUAAAGUUAAGUAUGCUAAAUUUACCUAGAUGCAUUUAAGUGAGAACAAAGCAUGUUGAAAGAAUUCAUGUUUGAAUAACUUUCACUUUUAGAAGUAUUCGAAACAAGCAAGAAUGAAGUUGUUAAGUCACAGAUGGGAGUGUCGAGGUCAUCAAGUGUCAAAUCCUAUACUUACAGUGUUAUAGUUAGUAAAUCAGAACCACAUAAGUCUAUAUGUUGAUUCUAUGUUGUUUAUACCAUAUUGCUAAUCGAUUUUAGUUAUAUGAACAAUUUUCGUUGUCAAAUCAAUUUAUAUCCUUUUAAUAAAAGAAAAAAUUGGAAUGAAUUGCAAGGUUGAUUGGUAUCUUUAGAAUAGAAAGUUGAUGAGUAAAAAAUAAAAAUCUUCAAAGUUUGAGGAGAUGAUUGAAAGUUUAGGGAUGUUUUAGUGUAAUUGAAGCUCACAAAAACAAGAAAUAUGAGAGCAAAUAAUUGCACCAACUGUCUAAAUAGUCCCCAAAAUGGAUCCAAACUUACACACCCUUUGCUUAUAAACCUAUAGAGAGAAAUAGCUUUGAAGUUAAGAACCACAAGGACACUUUAUUAAAAUGCUUUACUCUUCUCGCAUUUCUAUUUGCUUACUUCAAAGGAAAUGAAAAUACCAAAUUAAGAAAUCAAUAUGAAAACAAUUUGAAAUAUAACUCAUCAUCUCAAAUAUAUAUAUAAUAAAAAUUAAAAACACAAUGAGAUUUAUGUUGUUUUUUUUAGAAUUCGUACUAGCCAACCAAUAUAGACAUGACUCAAUUAACAUAAUGUAUAAACAUUCAAUCAAUUUUGAAUUCCCUACAUAUGAUGAUGGAAAAAAUGAAAAGGAAAACGUUGAAUAACAAAUACGUAGAUCUCAACGUAUUAAACAAUUAUUGUUGUUUUUAAAUAUGUGUGAUUAGGUUACACCUAUCCAAAAUCAAGGUGAUGCAUUUAAAGUCUCAAUUAAAACUUGUUAAAAGCAAAUAACAAAAAUCCAGACUUACUUUGUAUAAUUUAGCUUUUAAUUUAGACUAUUCUCUAAGAUCUCGAUGAUUUCCUUAAUGAACGUAAUAAAUACAAAAAUUAAUCUACUUCCCAUGCUUAAAAGAAGAGUUAACUCAAUGUGUAAUAAUUUUCUAUGAAGUUCAUACAAGUGUGUGUUUGAGGUGUAUAAUCAAGUUGAUUGAGGUCAAAAGUAUCUAGCACCAUUUUUGUAAUCUAAAAGACUUUGAUAUUUUUGUUGGCUAUUUUUGUUUGUUGAACUUUUCUUGGACAUUCAACUAAGAUACCAAUUUACAAACUUUACACAUACUUGACAAUUAUGUGCAUGCAACUUUUGUAAUUGAGCUACGCAAAAUACUUGGUCACCUUUCAUUACAACAACAAAACUGCAAUGUUAGGUACUUUACAUUCAAUUAGGCCUUCAUAUGUUAGAAUUAAGAAAUUCUUAUUCAAAGAAACAUCUCUUUUUAAAUAGAAAAACAAAUAACCUUAAAUACCUUAGCAACUUAGAUCAAAGUACAUGAAGAUAAGGAGAUAUUUCUUGCUUUCGUUCUUUACAAAGCUUAGCAUCUAACCUAACUCUCUAGAUCAGUAGCACAUGUCUAAAUGCCAACAAAAACUUAACUAAACUAACACGUGAGUGUACUUAAGAACCAAAAAGUUUCAUGCUCAAAUCUCUCCAACUAUAAUUUGCACUACAAGAAAUAGCAUAUGUCUAAAUUAAUUAAGUAAAAAUUUCAAAUUUUGUAUUUAAAAAUAUUUUCACCAACCAAGUUUUUUUUGUUUCAAGAAUAGAGUCAACUAAGUUAGUCAUUGGGAAUGAUCAACUAAGUCAAGUUAGUCAUUGGAUCAACUAAGUCAAGUUAGUCAUUGUGAAUGAUCAAUUAAAAUAGUGAUUAGAAUUCACCAAAAAAGUGGUACUCAUUAGAGCUGGUCGCUAGAUGUGACUCUUGCCAGAAGUGGUACUCAUAGAAUGUGAUCGUUAGUGUUUGUCAACAAUGGUUGUUUCCAAACUUAGUCAUCAACAAUGACUGAUGUGUAGAAUCAUUGCAAACAUUGGAGGUGAGGAGAUUUAGGUCGAUUUAGUAAUUUCAUCAACAACGGUGCCUCCUAGAUUUAGUUGGGUUGAGUUGAUAAAAACUAACCACCCAACUUAGUGAACAGAACAGCCAAGCAUUCUUAAGAUACUAGUAAAGAAAAUGGCAAAUUUUCAACUCGUUGGAUUAAAAGAUCAUACACAAUUCUUUGUCAAAAACCUUUUUAGUUCAAUUAUAAAUAAAGAAAAUUAAACUUCUAACCACUGGUUAGUUGAACAUAUACCUAAACUAGUUAAAGAAUGUGACCCGAUUGACUUGUAACUUAUUUUGCUUCAAAAUUCAAACCAUUGAAUCAAAAUUGGGUAUAUUUCUAGAGAACCUUAAGACAACUUGUAUAUAUAGCCAGAACAAUAUUGGGAAAUAAGAGUGUACCAAAAUGUUAAAGUAGAAAAACAACAUAAAAAAUAGAAACUAUCUGACUUUUUGCCAAACUGUGUUCAUUUUACAUGGUUCACAUCUUAAUAUCAAAAACUGCAUUAGAAAAAAAAAUUACAACGAUCUCAAGAACUUAAUAAAAUAAUAACAAGAGAUUCUAAUUACUGGAUGAGCAUAUAUCAUUACUAAAAUCAAAAAUCACAAUCGAUUCAAUGCGGAAAUCUAAUUCAAGUUACAGAAUAGGCACUGAAUAUGACAGAUUAGUGUAGUAUAAUAAAUGUCACAUAGCCAUGUAAUUGGUUGUGAUAUAAAUAUCAAGGCUAUCUCUUCGUUGUACAUUUCAACGAUACAACAAUGAGAUAGAGCGAAUAAUCCAACAUGUUAAGUCAGCAUACAAAAUAAUUUUAUAUAAGAUCUUUUGAAAGAAUUGCCUCUUCAAGCAACUUCUUCAGAUGAUUUAGAAGAACGUCGUUUGAGAAUGUUGGGAAAUCUUUUGGGUAGACUACAUACAGGCGUGUCUCCCGCUAAACCUUGAAACGCCAUGCCUAAGGAAUAUCCUAAAGCUCGAGCAACCGGUACCGCAACUGCAUUUCCUACUUGUAUGUACCUGUUACAUGACCAGUUCUUAUAUUGUUCGUGUUUUGGAAUAGGUACUUUGAUCACUAAUCUUCAAAAGAACAUAGUAUAUUAUUCUGGGGAUUCACUCACUAGAACAAGAAAAAUGACUAUGUUCAAUGGUGGUCAGUCAAAAAAUUGUUUUCUAAGGGACACGAAGCAAGUUUUUCUAAAACAAGAAACAGAUUAUUGAUAAAUGAAAACAUAUAAAACAAGAUGGAUAAAAUGCAAAUAAAAUACGCAGAAAAGGGGGAAAAUAAAACAAACAGGCUCGCCGAAAGGGCAUACUAACCAAAAACUCCAAAACAGCAGACUAGUCCACAAAGCAAGUUAUUGCAAAGGUCAACCAAAAGCCUCAAGAAAUAUUUGCUUUAAUUGAAUUGGUAAAGCAAUAUAUAUUAUGUUUCAGAUGGUGGAAUUAAGUCCUUCCUUAAAUGCAAAGUUUCUAAAACAUACCUUUCUUUCACAGGCCCAAAGAGCUUAUAAUAAUCUGGAAAGCCUUGAAGUCUUGCAUUUUCUCGAAUCGUCAUUACUCUAUCUUGCUCUGGAUGUGUAAUUGCCUGUACGUAUCAGUGGACAACACAGAAAUGAGUUGGUUGAAGGCUGGUUUAUACUGGAAAAUUAAGUAAUUUCUCCUACGCAAAAGAUAUAAAAAGGCAUACAAGUAGAGUUAUAACCUGGUUGUGAGGCUCUGCCCGAGUAACAACUGUAGGCACUGUCUCGUCCCACCAUAAACGAGCAAAUGGCCUUUUUAUCAUUUCGUAAAAAUGGGAAAUAUAAGUAAGGAACAGGGAAGUAAAAUGUAUAAAAAGGAGAACGAAUCAAAAUCAAUGCUUACUUUGAUGAUGAUCCAUUCACAAAACUCAUGGCAUAAUCAGGAACCUGCAAUUGCAGUGGCGUAAGAUAUAAUAGGACUAGGAAUGGAAAGAAACCAAAAAUGCUCCCAGGAACUUUUAAGCCAAAGUUCAUACUGAAAUGGAUACAAAUGAAGUAAAUAGAGAUCCAUGCAAUGAUGAAAAUUGCAAUGGUCGUAUCUCAAGUGUUGGAUGUCAAUUGAUAUUUCAGAAAAAAUAACAAUAGACCACCACAACAGAAACAUGUAAAUUUGUUUAAAUUGAUGAAUGAAACCUUAUUGUUUUUACAUUUAAAAGUACACAAUUGAAACUUGCAUAUUUUGCUCUAUAUUAAUUUUAAACACAUCUGAGAGACACAAGCAUCUUACCAAUGGCUUCCCAGAUUCCAAAUACACUCUCUUAACAUCAGGAUCCCAUUCAACUCUUUUAUCAGGGCGAACACGAACACCAGAUAAAUCUCUAAAGUUUGCUCCCUAUGGAAAACAUAGGGGUUAGUGACUGAAUUUUAAAAACUAAAAAAGUCCAUCAAACACAUUAACAUUCAAGAAAACCUUUCGCUUUGGAAUCUGACAAACACGUUGGUAGUCAUCUGUAUUUAGUUCAAGUGGCCGAUGAUCGUAAAGUGGGUGCGUAGCUGGCUUAGACAUUGUAGAAGUAUCAAACAUUUCUGUAAAUAACAAUCCACCAAAGAUAUUAUAAUGGGCAGGAACAUAUUCAAUCAAAUAAAUGAGAAGAAAAUCCUACAGAAAUAGAAUAACUUGUAUUAAAGACUAUAACCAAGGAAACCAUAACAAAAGGUUAUUCAGAUCCUCAACAUCACUUCAAAACAAGAGAUGAGGCUUCCAACAAGACACUGAAAAUACUAAUCCAUCCAAGGCAGACAGCCAAGCACUCAAAAAAAAUUCUAGAAAGGAUUCUAAUGGUGCCGUUUGCACCUUUUGCUUUCAAGAGAAAGGUCACAUGCUUGGCAAGCCAACCUUUUUGGUGUUUUCUAGUUUACUAGCUAGAUAGAUAGUUCAUAUAAUUAAAUAAUUAAAUCAAUUCUAGAAAGGAUUGUAAUGGUGCAUUUUUUUAGCCUCAUCUUUCAAGUUUCAUUUUAUUUCUUCUAAUUAGUUUUGUAGUGUUCCUUGCUUUUGGUUGGCUUUCUUUCUGUGGGUUGCUUUUACUUCCGGUUAUGAGUGAGCUGAUUUUCCAUUUUUUUAAAAUAACACAAUAGAAAGGUCCAUCCAACAAAUUUGGGUAUGAAGAUUUGGACACUCUACCUAAAAGAAUAGAGUGUAUAUGUUAGUUAUCACUAAGUUGGGCUCAUGUUAGACCUUUCUCGAUUGACCACUCUACCACUGCCAUUAAUAACAUUACUCUCACAAUUAAAAUAUUGUUGAUGUCACUCUCUUCUUGUUUGACCUUGCUUCUACAGGUAUUGCUUUCACAUUUCACUCUCUACCCUCACAGCCUCAGCCUCACUUUCUCCCCAGCCUCCCCUCUCUCACUCACUCUCUUUUCCAACUUGUCACUGCUGCUUGAUAACAAAAAUAAUAUUUUCAAGAAUAUAAUACACAUAUAUAUCCCAAACCAUCUAGGAAACUGACUGGUAGUCUGGUUCAACUUUUAAAUCCAAAACAGUUCUCAAUUUAGAAGAUUCUAAAACAAGAUGGUUGAGUUCAAUCAUUGAUUUCAGCAAAAAGAUCAAACUGAACCAAAUUGUUCAUAACCUUGUCAUAAAUCACAAGUUGCACAAGAGACAUGAACUUUGCAUUCAAUAAAUCUAAGAUACAUAUCAAAAGAUACUUGGGGAAGAAAUAAGUAGCUAACCUUCCCUUGGUGAUCUAAUUAAAUGCUGAAACUCAGUCUUGGGAGGUUCAUGGUAAGGCAUUUCAUCUCGCCGUUCAUCAUUUUCAACCUGCAUAUAGCAAAGCAAACAAAAAAGAAUAUAAGCACAAAAUUUAUAACUGAAAACCAAUCUGAUAAGACAUGUAUAACAUACAGCAGGAAGAUCAGAAAUUGCAUCUUCCAAAAGAAGCUUCUUUUCCAAAUGAACGUCUUUAUGUCCUUCCUCGUAAGCAACAACAUUCAUCUGCAUUAUUAUCAUAUGUUCUCGUUAGAUAAAAUAAGAAACGAACAAUAAUGCCUCAUUAACUAUCCCAUACCUCAAAUUCAGUAGGAAUUACACCCCUCACUACAACAUCGUGAGUUGGAAGAGGAUACUGUGGAAGCUUCUGAAAAAAGGGGAAAUUAAUGUUAUUACAAGUUCCACAAGGUCCCCAAUACAAAAAUCAAAGUUCUUAUGAAUCAACCUCUGUUGGUUGGGCACCCCACAUAAACAUUCGCAUACGAAAUUGUGGAAGACCAUAUGCACCUGCUGCCAUCAUUCCCAUUCGAACUUGAUAAUUCAUUGAUAUUAAACGACCAAGAGCAUAUCGUCCCAAAAAUCCAUUGGCAAACUUUACUAUAUCAACUACAUUCUCCAUCAAAACAUAUUUAGGCCUGAGAUACUCCACUAAGUCCAUAUAGACAACAAGCUGUUUGUUUUUCUCAUCUUCCAGUGGAUUUUCUUUGUUCCUAAAGCGAUUGAAACCACUAAUGCCCUGGCAGGGAGGCCCUCCACAUAUAACAUCAACAUCACCCUAUCAACCCAAAAGUUCUAAUUAGACCAACAUUGAAAAAAGAGGACAAGUAAUGAAAAAUUCAGCAAAAUACUUAACUUACCGGCAAAGGUAAGAUCUUUGAUUUGUAACCACUUGUCACAAAAUCUUUUAACUUUUCCUUGCAGUUGCUGUUCAAUAGAAUGUAACAUAUAACUCAUUCAAAUGCUUGAUCAUACACACAUAGAUCAUAAAAUUAUAACAGGCAAGACAAAUACACUAGAAUAUGUACCUCAACCCGUCAAUUGGCUCCCAUGUGUCUUCAUCAGAGCCAUAACCCUUCCAACGAACCUACAUUUAAAUAAAAAUAACUAAAAUAAUUUAAGGGGUAAUUUUAUUUUUAAAAAUCAAUAAUAAAUAAAUAAAGAGGAAGAAAAUGCGUCAGGAUUAUGUAUUUAACUCAUAUCAGCUACAACUUGACCGUUUGAAACCAUGCCACACAGCUAGAACUCACUCGAUGCUUCUAGAAAAUGCAAGAGCAUGCUAAUGCUAUCUUUCCACCUUCCCUUCCAUCUUUCCAUUUUAUGCUUCUUCUCUUCCAUUCUUCUUCCUUUUCUUCUUUCAACUCUUCCUAUUGUGGGUGAAGAAAAGUGGCAUGUUUCCAUUAAAACGUUCAAAAUCCACAAAUAGUGAACACCCUUGACCCUUGACCCUAUUGAAGAUGUUCGCAUAGAUGCACACAUGCAAUGGUCACACACCUCAUGCCACCCUCACCAAAGUCAAUCAUCUAAAUGCAGCUUGAAAACAUUGAUCAUAGCUUUUUCCAGUCGGAUGCACAAUGUGCAAACCUUGUUGUCCCAUUUUGGUUGUUCCAAAAUUUCCUAGAAAUUAGCAACACCAAAAUUCUCCUCCAUCCAUGUUUCCAAUAGCAUCUUCUUUAAGCCAUAGCAAAAUUUACUCAGCUGAGUGAUACUGCUCUGAAGGAUACAUAUUGAUCAAAUUGUCCAAGCAUUUGUGUAUUGUGAUCUCUGUACAUAUUGAUCUAAAUGAUCCAAGAUCCUCAUCUGUUCUACAUUCCCAAUUGCUCUCAUUAAAAUAAAUAAAAAUCACUCUUAACACAUUACUUUGCUCCAUAUAAAUAUUACUUUAAAAUUUACCUACAUCUCCUCGUAUCUUUAGAAGUUAUCACGAGGUAAAAUAAUAUAGCUAAGAACAUCACUAUUCUGGAACUCUAUUAGGAUCAGAAAUAGAAAGGAAGAAAGUGAUCAAAUAGACAAAUAUUAGUUCAAAAUCAUAUCUACAUCAAACUGAUUUGGCAAAUUGAUAAUUAUGAUUCAAGUUCAAAUACCUUAAGAAACAAUCCUCGCUUUUUAGUUUCAUUGGGAUCACCAUAACAUAUUGCAAGUAUUUUUUCUACUUCAAACACCUCUUCAUCCUCUUCAGUUUUUUCAUCCUCAUUUUCCUCUUCAUCUUCAUCAGCAAAAAGAUCGAUGUACUUUUGUUGAGGCUCUUUACUCUUUACCAAAGAACAAUAUUUGCAAAGCACUUCCCACUCUUUAACCAACGAUAAAAAAUCUUCUGCCAUUUCAUUUCUCACCUGCAAUAAAGAAGCUUAGAAAGUACAAGCCCAUAUUAUGGCAGAACAUCAAGUUGAACUCAAUUAUAAAGUGUACCUGAGUCUCUGGAUGAUUGAACCUCAGACUUUCACAAGCGUAUUGAUUUAAAUCAACGGCCCAUUUCUAUUAAACAAACAAAAAAAGACAUUUAUAAAUAAAUGUAACCAACCAUAGGUUCCAAAAAAAGGCAAAAUAAAAAAAAAUAACUGAUGAAAUAACUUUUUGCUCAGUGGAAGUAUUUAUAGCAACAUACUGUGACUAGGUUCACCCCAGACAAAUUGCCCCCUAAACAUAAUCCAGUUGACAUGGCACCACAUCCUGAAUACAAAUCGAGAAGUGCAACGUCAGGCUUACAGCACUGCUGUGCUUGAGUAACAUCCCCAAUUUGUGAGUUCACUUCACAUGCUUCAUUGGUAUCAACAUCAGAGGAAAUUGUUGAUGAUGUCUCACUGCCAACCUUUUUCUCACCUACAAGUUAAUAUGCAUGUGAGAACCACAAAUUCUUGAAACUUGAGUUACAAUUGAAGAAAGUGUUCUCAGAAAUUAAUUCUUUUACAAAAUUACUUGUUGGCAGUUUAACGAAUGAGGAAUAUGGUAGCAAGUAUAACAUGUCACAGUAGAAGUCACAAGAAGGAAGACAAUUUUUCUUCUCAUCCAUCUAGAAAAAAACAAACAGACAAACAAAUUAGUAUCACUCUAGUACGAAAAACCUGAAACAUUGACUAGACGUAAAUAACAAAAUCAUACAGUUAGAGGUAUUCUAGCAAUAUUUAGCUUCUUAACAAGACAAUCCAAUGGAUUAUCGUCCCGAACUUCUGAAAAAAAUACACGCUUGUCAUUGAUGAGAUGAGCGUGGUCUUUCACAACCUAACAUGUAAUAAACGAAAAUAUAGCGUCAGCUAAUUAUCUAAACACAUUUAUGACUAAAACAUAAUAAAAUUGCAUAAAGAUUAUCUUACAGUAUCUUUAGCUCUAUAAUACCAUUGUGCAGUGAAGUAGAGUUGCCCGUCAACAGCCUCAAACAUUUCAAUAAUUUUACAUAUAUAAUCAUCCUCCUCACCUUCAGCCUAAACAAAACGCUCCAUGUACAAUUAUAAUAAGAAUCUAUGCAAAGAAUUUAAAAAGGAAUAUACUACCUUACAGAAAUUUUAAAACUUCCUCUAAACGUGACUGUAAACCACACCUUCACAUGGGCAUCAUCAAGGAGAUUGUAUGUGAUAUUGUCAACUUUGGCCUGUGAGUAAUGAUGCAGAGCCUGGAUUACCUCCUCAGAGUCAUCCCUAUAAGAUAUCAGAAACAGAAAGGCACCGAGAAGGGAUAAAAAAAACUGUUAAUCUUAAGAACACAUUCAAUUUAAGAAAGAAACCGUUCACUCCAAGAAAAAUCUACACUGUCAUCCGCACAACAUUUCUUUCCUAGAGUAUUAUGCUUUCCUUGAACAAUAAUGAGAAGUCAUUUUUUGGUAAAAGAAACAUUUCAUUGAACUAAAAACUAUAUAAUUAAAGGUCAUAACUCAAAAGACUUGUAAACAAGUAACAUCAAUCUAUGAUGAAAAAAAGGUUAUCUCGUCCCUUCUUUGAGAUAACAGAGGAACUCUACGACACACCACUUUCCCCCCACUGCCGUAUCAGAUAUUUGACUUAAAGUAAAUAAUAGCAUUAUUAGAGAUGUGCCGAGCUCUUAGAAGGAAUUUAGACCUUAGCUAGGUUUAUUGCCUUUCUUAGGUCAUUCACCAGAAGAAAAUAAUAAAAAUAAAAAAUCAAAGAGUUGUAGUUAUCCUCUCUCUGGUUCUUUUGAGUUGCUGAGCUGCAGACCUUUUCAUUCUUAUGAAUUGUCUUUAAGUCUUGAAAUCUUUUUCUUUGUAUUGUCAUUGUGUAUUUUUUUUUUUUUCAUUUCUUUUAACCAGGCUAAUUUUAAUUUUUGAAAAAAAAAUAAUAAGAACAAAACUGCACAUCUGUACGUAUUCGACAUGCAUAGAGCUUAUCAGCAAGAGUUGGGAUGGUUCAUAAAAUAAAGACAGUACCUUGAUUUUUUUUCCUCAACCACGUUCUUCUUCUGAACAAACAAAUAAAGAAGAAAAUGAGUAAUGUUGAGUAGUGUUGAGAUAAGAAGAAAAUGAGUAGAUAUGAGUAAAUCUAUAACCAAUUCUGAAUACGUUGUCCAUAAACAAGCAUAGUUAAUAACAAUAUAGGUCACAAAAAUCAACUAAUGAUCAAUGUGCCAGAGAGCCUAAACAGCAAGAGCAACUACAUGGACAACUUGGAGAUCAAUGGCACAAUGAGAACUUAAGUAACACUGUAUCAGCAUGCACAUGAAGUGUCCUCUAAUAUUACUAAAAUUGAACCAAAAAUAACAUUAAGAUAAUGUCAACCAAAUGUAAUAGGAUCAAGUUGUCCCAUGAGUAAGUGGGAAAGUGGCCUUGCUACCACAAUUCACUGAGAUUCAAUACUUCUUUGCUCCAAUUAGUUACUUUAACAAAAAAAAUCAAGUUGUCUCAUGAGAAUGGUAGCACACAAGCUAGCCCAUACACUCAUGAAAAUUUUUAUUUUAGAAGAAGCUCCUAAUUUUUUUAUUAUUAGAAAAAUUAAUUAAGUUUACAUUUUAAAUUAAAUAAUUAUUAAAAAAAAAAAAAAGUAAGAAAACCCUCCAAAUAGGGUUUAACCUUCUUUCAUUUGAAGCUUUACUCUCCUCUUAUAUCUGAGUUUCAUCCAAUCGAUAAAAUUGUUUGAAAUAACAAAAAUUCAGUGCAUCAUGAGAAUUCCGACAGCAAAGAGUCUACAAAACCAUGGAAGCAUAGUACAAAUUCACACUACAAAGACUUCAAAAUUAAACACAAAACUGUUCAUAAAUCAUAGAACCCAAAACUUUUAGCAAAACACCCACUUGAAGCUCCAACCUAAUCGUAAAUACAAUAUCCCCAUACACAAAUAGCCACCUCACUCCAACCCCGCUCAAGAACCAAGAAUGACGAAACGAAUCCACUUUCCUCUCACGUAAAACCAGCACAAACCCCCCAAAUUCUUGCAGCUAAAUCCCUCCAAUAAACCCAACAAGCAACAGAAUCUUGAAAAAACCCAUCAACAUGCAACAACACAAAACCCCCAAUACUCAACUCAAACCCAUCCACAAAUAAAAUCACCAAAACCCCACAAAACAAAUUUCAAUUCUCUUUGAAAAUUCCAAUCACCUUUCUCGCAUAGCGAAGAGGCCACCGCACUCUGGCGUCACUAUCAGGGAAAUGUGGCUGUAAAAACCUAGCAGGAGCAUCGUCCUCCUCAACACUCAACUCCGCCUUCACUUUCCUAGUCUUAGCCGCACUCGGUUUAGGAGAAGAACGGGAAAUGGGAGUUAAAUCAGCAUUAAGCUCGGUUUUAAGCUUCUUCUUGGAGGAAGAAGAAGCUUCAGGAUCGGGCUUAGGAGAAAUGAGAGAGAGGGAUUUGGAGCGGCGCCUGGAAGACAUAGUGAGAGAGAGAGAGAGAGGAAAGGAACGGCCGGAAGAGAGAAAGAGCGGAAAAAAUGGAGGAGAGGUAAAGAAAGAAAGGGAGAAAAUGCAUUUUAUAGUGUCGGAGAAAAUCGAAAAUGGAAAAUAAAAUUGGGGGUAAGAUUUCGAAGUUGGGCGGGAACUCAAAUCUUUUUUCUUUUUCUUUUUCUUUGUUUUAUUUAUCUAAUUAUUAUAUUAUUGUUUUUUAAAUUUUAUUAUUUAAUUAUUAUUCUGUACGGUCUGUAUGGGUUGUGAGCCGGGUUUGGGGAUUCGGGAUUCAAAUUUAUUAUUUAGUUCCAACCUAAAAAUUCAACCAACAUAAUCCAAUUUUAAAUGGUUACUUAAUUUUAUAUUUUUAAAAAGGUUUCCAAAACAAAGUUUUUUAUUGUCUUUUUUUCAAAUGUCUCAUCCUUCCCAAAAGAAAUAAAACAUAUACAUUAAUGGAUAAUUACGAGUCGCACAAGAGUCAUUAAAAAAUAUAUUUUCUCUCAACCCAAAUCCUUGUCCAUCCUACGUACCACCAUGGAAGAUCUACUAGUUGUUGUCUCCAUUUGUGUUGUCAUCGACGACCCUUCCAUGCUGUUGUCAACAACGUGUUUGCCUAACUCAACCACCGCAUGAAUUUCUUCCUCAUAUCUUGCAAUUGUGUGAGUUUAUUUCAUAUAUCUCACCAUCGUAGUUUCUUCUUUACAUCUCGUCAAUAUGAUUUGGUUAAAUUUAAUGGAUAUGAAUCUGGGAAAUGACAUGAUGACAAGUACUUAACGAGAAGGUAUUCACAGGGGAAGAUGGUUGUGAAUACACACAAACACACGGAUGGACAAAUAGGCAUAUUGAAUUUAUUUCAAAUAAUCCAUAUAUACCUGACCAAUCUAACUUAAGGUUGAAAAUAAAUGGACGACAAAUCUGAAUAUAUUAUCAAAUAUAUGAUUUUCAAUUACAAGCAACAUAGUCUAUACCAUUGUUGUUUUAAUGUAUAUUAUUUUUUUAAAAAAAUUAUAGUUAGUAUGUGAUAUUCUAUUGUAUAUUAUAAACUCAUACAAUUUACCCUACAUUAUACAUCAAUUAUACAAUAGAAUAUGUAUAUUGAAGGAGAAAAAAGAUUAUUGACCCAUUUUAAUUCCACAAAUUUUGUUUGCUUUCUUUGAAUAAGUUUAUCUAAUUUGUGGCAUAUAAUAUGAGGUAUAUAUUUGCAAAAUAACUAAAUAUACACAAGUAUAUAUGAAAAGUUACAUAUAAUAUAUAACUCAAAUAUAAACAAGACCGUAUAUUCUAUUAUUCUAAAAUAUACUUAAAAAUAACCAUGAAAUUAACUAGACUAUAGUAUAUAUGAGAUAAUAAUGAAAAAUAAAAAGAAACUAAAACAAACAAUAUCAACGUAGAUAAGCUAAAAUAAGUCAACAAUGACAUACAUAUCAAAUAUUGUGAGAAUAUGUUAAA
This 113420-nucleotide long non-coding RNA is filed under the name Cucumis sativus (cucumber). RNAcentral's name for it is "long non-coding RNA (CSAT_LNC000415)". The record is from RNAcentral. Lineage: Eukaryota; Viridiplantae; Streptophyta; Magnoliopsida; Cucurbitales; Cucurbitaceae.